This 103930-nucleotide long non-coding RNA is filed under the name Arabidopsis thaliana (thale cress). RNAcentral describes it as "long non-coding RNA (ATHA_LNC000441)". Lineage: Eukaryota; Viridiplantae; Streptophyta; Magnoliopsida; Brassicales; Brassicaceae. The record is from RNAcentral.
UUUUGAUAGGUGUGUAUGUGAGAAGGUACAUCCACAUCGUGAUGGUAAUCUGCUUAUUUAUAAUUUUAACUUGCAUUAUACAGCAGGUAGGCUUAUAUUUUAGUUAAACUAAAAACUUUUAUUGUAAAGUUGAUUAUAAAUAUAUGAUAUUAUUUUAUUUGAUUUUAAAUGUAUAGUAAACUGCGAGUUGUAUAUGUUUUGUUGAUAUUAUUUAUAUUGUUUAGUGUUUAAAAUUAUAUACUUGUAUUUUGAUUGUUAUUUUUAGAGUUUCACCUGUAGUAUAUCAUCUUGUAUUAAUAUUGAUUUAAACCCGUCAAUUCUAGGAUUUUCCAGCUUGUAUUAAAAAUUGAAUCACAUUAUACACAUUAAAAAAUCUAAUAUGUUAUUAAUUAUUGUAGUAUAUAUGAUUAUAAAUUUUAAAAUAAUAUGUAUGAAAUUAAAUAUAAAUAUUCAAAUUAUGACACAGUACUCAGUAAUUUUUUUUCUUAAAUCUACUUUUGACCCGUUAUAGUAUUUUUUCAUGUAUUGAACAGUUUAUAUUCGUUUUUAAAAAUUCAAAUUGUGGCAUAUGCGAAAAAAACUCUAAUUAUUUUUUUAUAACGAUGGUAUUAUUUUUCGCAAAAAUAGAAUCAUAUAAAGAUGAGAGGUGAACUAUAAUAAUUAAUAAAAAAUUAAUAUGAUAAUUUAGAUAUCAAAUCUAAUUUGUUGAUUUUAAUUGGUUACUUUUUUGGAAAUUAAUAAUGUAUUUCGUUUUUGAGUUAAAAUUAAUUAAAUUAGUAUUUGACUUUUUAAUUUUUAAAGAAAUGAAUUAAUUUACUCUUUAAAAUUUUAUUUCUAAUGGCAUACCUAUGUAAUUACUUAAAAAAAAAUAAGGUUAUAUUUAAAAUGUACUUCCCAAAUAAUAUAGUAGGAUAAUAUGUCUUUGACACUACUCCAAAAUUAAGAAACAUAUUUCUAAACAAUAAAAUCAUAAGUUUUAGUUAACUUAAAUUUAGAUAAUGCGUCCCUACCACUAGUUAUAAGAUAAGCAAUACAAUGCUUAGGUUGACAAAGAAAAUGUUAUGCUUAUGAUUUUUCUAGACAAAAAAUUGUUGGGCUUAGGUCGACCAAAGAAAAAAAAAAUUGGGCUUCUUAUUUUCAUGUAGAACGAAAAAAUAGAGGAGGGUGGUUAUGGUUAUUGAUAUUGUGAAGAAGAUGAAAGUAAUAAGACAAGUAUAAGAAACACAGACGAUUUUUAAGGAGAUAAGGAAGAGAAGGUGUGUGAAGGGGAAAAAGGGUUUUGAUGAAAGGUUCGUUGUGGAUUAUAUAGAAACCAAAUCUGAAGCAUCCAAGAUUUGCAAAAACAUAAAAUGAAGGAGUGCGGUGGCGGAUUCUCGAAGCCCAUCAUCGGAGCCGUGUCAGAUUGUUGAGUUGUUGCUAGCUCUGGUUUUUAGGUUUAAGUGUGUUUCUGAUUUAGAUAGGUUUGAAGAAGUGGUUAAUUCUGUUGGAAUGUUAGCUCUGUUCCAACUUACGUGAGAUUUUGUCUAGCCUUAGAAGCGAGUGUAAAUACGUUCACAGUGAGCAAGAGCUCCAGAUGAAACCGAAUAAUACUUGAGAUCCGAUUUCUGAGCAAGGCAAGAAAGUGAAAGGAUAUGAAGAUGUCUGAGCAAGAAGAGGGAGUGAGAGAAGACGGUGAGGUUUUGUUCACUGAGCAUAUGAGGGAAUCAAUUGAUGAUGAAUGAUGUGGUGGUAGUGGUGUUAAUUUGUCGUUAAGUAAAUGUUUGGAUCAUUUACACAGAAAAAGGCUAUCAUAUGAUCUGAAUUACGUUUUAGGAGAGCCUGUUAAGUUUUGAUCUUUUAGGGUUUUAGAUCUAAAAUUAACAGAGCUCUUUGAUUUAACAUUUUGGAAAUUGAAUCCCAUGUUAAUGUAGAUGAAGAAUCUACCCAAGUGUGUUGAAAUAUGUUUGUGAAUUUAAAAACUGAUUUAUUCAUUUUUGGAGGAAUAUUGAUAGUUGGUUUUGUUACAUUUGAGAACGUAGAACAAUUGUAGAGCGGCGUGUAAUUGAUUUUGUUAGUUUGUGUUGAACUUAUUUAUUUUGAGAUAUAACAAAGAAAUGAAAGACGUCAACAACAAAUUGGUCUUAUAGUUCCGGUUAUUUAUUCUAUUCUAGAAUAGAUUAUGUUGGCUUAAGAAGACAUUUAGACUUAAGAGUUAUUUCCUCUGUUAAAAUAUAUGUCCUUCAUUCUUCCAAACGAUUAAGUGAUUUUAAGUUUUGUUUUUGAAAUGAUUAAAUGACUCUGAGUUUUGUUCUUCCAAAUUAAAUCAAAAAUAUUAACAACAUAAUCUGUUCUUAAGAAACUGAUUAGCGAAUCUCAAGAAAUACAUAUUUGUAAACAAGAAGAAUUUGGAACGAGAAUAAUAUAUUUAUAGGUUUCUUAACAACAAGAAUUUGGAACGAUAGAUUGUUUGGCUACCAACAACAUAAACAAAAAAACAAGCAAACGGAUAUAGUUCCAAAAUAAAUAAUUUUAUAUGGUCAAAACUACUGUUGCUAUAUAAAGCACAAAAACUAUAGAAACCCAACUCAACAAUAAUUAUCCUGUUACUUUUUUUGUUUUUUUGCUAUAUAAACUAAGCAAAAUUUUCAUAAGUUUGAACACUCAUAAACUCAUCUCUUCAAAAUAAUGGCAACUCAAACAAUAAAAAAGAUAUACAGUGUUUUGAUGAUUGUAGUUUUAUUUACGAUGAUGGUUUCAACCAACGCGAGUACGGUGGAAGUGUGUGUUAAGCAUUGUGUCCCGAACCAAUGCAUGAAAGUUUCUCAGAAGGCAACUCUUCCAUUAUGUGAGACUGCUUGCACAAAACUCUGCAAUGAAAACAAACAUGAGGAAUAUGUCGUGCCUCGGAGUUACUGUGAGGGAUUAUUUUGGUUUCUAUGUGAUAAUUGAAAUUUAAUAAAUAUGCAAAGUAAUAUAUAUGUAUUUUUUAUCUGUAAAAAAAUAAUCUAUAAUGUAAAAAUGUACCUUUAAUCAAUAUACUAAUUUCAUGUAAUUAUUUUAUUUAUACUAAUCAAAUUGACACAUCAAAAUGCUGAGAAGUUAUCUAAUCACCCAACUAAUAAAAAUCUUAUAAAUGCAAUAUUGUUCUCAUCAUCUCUCCACAUCAAUAUUUAGAUCGUUUUGUAAUCUCUUGCUAAAACUAAUCCAAUCGGUUCUCUAUCGAACCAUUAAGUUAUGAGUUUUCUCUUUACAAUUUUGUAUGAAUGACUAGAAUGAUUGUGAAAGAGGAGAGCAAUCUCGAGUUAUCUAAAUUUUGUUUUGUCACUUGUUCAUAACAAUAACAUUUUUGUGCUACGAAUGUCAAAAUUUCAGGAUUUGUUAAGUAUUAGAGAGGAUGAAUUUAAUAGUUUUUUUUGUUUUUGUGUUUUAUUUUUGGGUUUUUAAUAGAAUUUAAUAGUUCAUGUAUUGUUUAAUACAAUGUCAAAAUUGUGUAUAUAUUUAAGAAAGAUAUUAUUUAAUUAGUGUACAAAUAUAUAUUUGUAAACUUAUGGUCAAUGAUGUAAAAAUUUCAAUUAGUAAUUUUGAGGCUUGUUUUUUUUUUAGAUUCAAGCCACUUCUUUAGUGGGCUUAUCGAAGGCCCAAUACCAAAUUUACGUCUCCUCUCUCUCUCUCCGAUCUCAAUAGAUCGCUGGAGUUGAGAGAGCUUCGGGACUUCGCGUUCCUUGACGAAGAAGACGAUACUUCUUCUCCUUCCAUCACAGCUUCACGCAAAUCUUUCUGCAGUUACAUCUUCUUAAGAUUCUGAGUUCCGACUUAUUUCGUGGAAGGAUUUUGAUAUUUCAACAGUGAUUUUAAUUUUAUACUGGAACUUAAGCAUCACUUAAUCUUCCGGCUAAAAUGAUGUCGCCGAAGCAAAUCUCCGACGAUCGAGGAUCUUCACAUUUCAGGUACCUUCAUACCCAAUUUUUCCAUUAAAACCUCUCUGCUAUUGUGUGUGGUUUCUUCUUUUGCUAGUUUUGAUUUGCGUAGAAAUCAAAUGAGAAAAAUCAAAAAUCAAGAACGAAGUUUCUUCUUCUUGCUCCAAUGGAGUUUCAUUGAAAUUACAACAAAAUGUGUUCUGUUGCUUCAUUUUCCUGAAGAUAAUGCAGUAACAUAAUUAGGUAGAAUCACUGAUUUGAGUCAUAAUUAGGUUAAGAUUUUAGUUCAUUGGGUUUUGAUACAAUACUAUGUUGAAGCAGUGCUGUGAGUCCUGAAAAUUGUCAUUGGCUUAGAAUUGAGUAAUCUGCUACCUAAUUUUUUGUAUUGUUGACUCUCUUUAUUUGCAGGCAUACACCAUUCCAGAUAAUCCACCUUAUUGGGAACUUUUUUAGGAUAUGGUCAGUAUAUUCGAUGUACCGAUACUUGAAUCAGACGGGAGCGCCUGUUGUUCUCUUUCUCUUCUGCUGUCUGGUGCCUUCAUCAAUCAUCUUCUUGAUAAUUCAAAAGCCAUGGAAAGGAAGGGCUCUUUCUAAUCAACAGGUUUACUUUAGUCAUAUCUAAUUUCUUGCAUGUAUAUUUAUGUGGAUAGUUUGGACAUAAAUUAUAUCUUGACUGUUUCAGAUUGUACCUUCUCUUAUCAAUGGAGUCAUCACGGCUCUAUACUUCAUCUUAUGGGGAAAAGGUCUCAAGUCUUGUGGACCUCUUAGGUAUUUGAUUAGUUAUUAAGCAUUCAUACUACCGUAAAAUUCUCCUCUGGUCUUAUCUGUAUUAGGAGUUCCCGUAGAUAUUGGCUUUUGAAAGGUAGAGAAGUUGAAAGUUUACCUAUGAGCAAUUUGGUCCCAGUUUAGCAGUUUGGUUCAAUACUAGACUUACAAUCCUCUCCUUGUCCUUCAUUUCUGCAAUCUUCGUAUUUAAGCUACAGUUUCUGUCAUUUGGUCAAAAAAAAUAUCUUCAGUGAUAUUUGAUUAUCCUUGCUUAUGAUUCUUUGUAUAUUAUUUUCAGAGCUAUCUUGUCAGAGUAUUCUGGUGCUGUUCUUGGAGUACUUUCUGGAGUAUUAUAUGGACGGAGAGGCCAUGUGUGGAAAAAGGUAUUCAUCUUACAUAGCAUCUCAAGUCAAUGUAACCAGUUAACUAGCACGAUUUACAUAGUUUUACCCAUAGUGUUAUUUUGUUUAGUACCCUUGGCAUGCAUCAGCUCACUUGUCUCACUGACCAACUAUAGAGCUGUGCAAUAGUAUCUAGCAUUUAGUGAUGUUUCUUCUGGCUAGUCCAUAUACUUAUAUUGCUUGCAGUAUAAUUAUUGAUAUGAAUUUUAAUAUGGAAAUAUCAAAAUUUAUGUUUAUAUAUCAACAAGGAUACUUAUUCAAAGAGUAGGAAAAUAUUUCUCUCAUAUUUUGCAAAUCAUGAUAGGUAGGUGGCCUCAUUGCAAUGCUGGUAGCUCUUUUUUUCUUGUCUCAAGGAUGGGCGACAUCAUCUCUCUCCCCUUUUUAUAUCCUUUUUCGCAAGUUCCUUCUUCUUAUCUCGAUCUUGAUCUCUAUGUAUAUAUAUCUUGCUCGUUUUUAAUGGUGUGGAUAGUUUAACUUAACAACAAGCUACCAACAAAAGAUAGUACUGAAACCAAAGAGGAAGAAGUACAAACAGAACAAGCACUAGGUAUGAUGGGAAUGAUGAUACCAGUUUUUGCUGGAAUCUUAUCAGCAUUAAGGCGGGUUAUCGCACGCCGUGUUUCUCUAAAGGUAAUGCUCUCAGAUUCCUUCGAUUUCUCCAGUCAUUUCUUUUCUUAUUUCUGCUUCCUUUGUGAACAAUCAAUUUUCUUGUUUUGCAGAACCAGCAGAAGAAACGACUACAUGCGAUAACCAUUACUUCUGCAACCUGUUUCUUGUUCCCUGUGGCCAUGUGGGACCUUAUCAUAGUAAGUGUUGCUACUCUUUUGCAAUGAGAAGGAUUAAUGUAUCAAAGAUGGUGUUUUCUCAAUCACCCAAGGCCGGUUUGGUUCACUAUAAUAACAAAAUUUCACUUCAGGGGUCAUCUUCUGGGAAAACAUCCGAGUUACCAUUUUCUGCGUGGGCUUUCCUUAGCACCAUUAUUUUCGGGAUCAUCCUAAUAUUCUACGUUGAUAAUAUCGCAGAAGAGAGGUUUCGUAAAGCUUUACCCUUAAAUCAUCUUUACAUUGCAUUUUAACACACAAACAUAUGCUUUAAACGAAUAUGUUCUGUUUGUCGCAGAUUGCAUAUGGUGUUUUCUUCGCCGAGGCAUUUAAUGGUAGCAGGUGUAUGCAUAAUAGUCAUGGAGUUAGCUUAUGAGAUGGAUUUUUCUCUUCCCGGUUUCAUCGUUUGUUGCUUAGUAUUAGGGUUUGGAAUAUUCGAGGCAACAUCUCUAGAACGGAACAAGAAAGACUCUUCGUUGAAAUCAGAAGAUCCAUCAAACGGAAUCCUUGGUAAUAAUGACUUUGAUACUUCUCCAAUUCUUCCCAUAUAGCUCACCAAUCUUUCCCUACACUAACGACGAUGUACUGUUGAAUGUACUUGUCCUUGACGAUGUAAAUCUGUCUGGUUUUAUUCGUUUCUCAAUCUUUGUACCUUCAUUUUUCAGCUUUUUUUGUUUUCUUGGUGAAGCAUAUGCAAAUAUUUUGGUCUAACGUAGACAAAGAUGAUAACCCAUGAUGAUGAAUAUACUUACGGUUAUACGAAGAUAACUCUGUAGAAUGAUCGAAUUGAAAUUUCUUCGAUAUCAAAACAUGUCACGGUUUGACAAUAAUACGAAGAAAACCAAACCGAUCAGGACCAAGAGAAUUUAAACCAAACCAAAUUUCUUAUGGUUUGAGUUAGCAACGUGUAGUAACCAAACCAGUCAAGCGUGAAACGCUUCGUUUCCUUCUCUUUUGGUCUCUGUCAAUUUUGAUGUUUCGCCGAGAAAAAAAAAAAACAAUUAUUGAUGUUUCAGCUUCUUCUCCGAUGCAUUUGCUUGCCUUCGUUGAAGCUCUUUCACGUUGGUCGUAGUAGUGUUGUUGUAGUUAAGACUUAAGAAGAUGGAUCUCUCUUUGACAUCAAUGACUCUUGUCUUUCUACAUCCCGAAGAGGGUAAAUGCAUUGAAUUCUGGAGAACUUCGUCAACAGAGUAUUUGCUUUCCUAGGUGUUGAUUUAGAUUGCAUGAAUCGUUGGAUAUGAAAUAUUGAAAUGUAACGCGCAGCAGCGUUGGUGUUUCUUAAAACUCUAGUAGUUUACUCAGUUUGGUUUUCUAGUGUUAAGUUUCAGGUGCUACUUUCUGGUUGAUGAGGUAAAUGAUGAAAUCAAUUCUUUGAACUCUUUCUUGUGUUUGUAGGAGAUGGAUAUAUACACUAAAGAGAAUAAUUUAUAGACCUCAAAGUCUCUGGAAUGUUUAACGUUGUAGCAACAAGUUUCAUAGUUUUGAUAUUUAACAAGUGGACUAGUGCACACUAAUGAGUCUCAGUGUUUCUUCAGAAGCUAAAGUUUUAGUUACAUAUUUUGCUCUUCUUUGGUCAACUUUUGCUUUCCUUCUCUGAGUUCUCUUCUCUUUAAGCAAUACUUGUAAAUUUUUGCCUAAAUCUGUUUAAUCCCAAAUAUCAAGCCGUUCCGGUUUAUCGAAACUAAACCGGUGAUUUUAUAGAACAGGAAGAAACAAAACCCUAUACAGUAUUUUGUUUGCUUGCUGGUAGAGCCAUCGAAUUCAAGGGACUAAGUAAAUCCCAACUCUCUUUUUCACUGAAACCCCUAAAUAUUAGGUCUUGGAUAAAGCUUUUGUAACAAGGUAGGUUUCGAGGUUUUACUGAUUAUUUUUUUGGGGGUUCCUUAGUCCAUAAGAUUCCUAUUUGCGUUGUGAACUCCAAGUUUCCCUCUAUGCAAAGUUCAUAAGAUUCCUGUUUUACCAAUUUAACGUGUUUCAUUUGCACUUGCUUGGAUUUUACAUGAAUUGAAACUUUAAAACUAAUUGAAUUUUUGUCGCCCGCGGUUGUUGGCGGACCGGACCACCGCAGAGUGAACAGAAGCAAGGUCCGUCGCGAAGUGCCCGUUUGGUCGCGGGCUCGCCUGUCUGCCACCCCUAUUCAUCUCUAUUACUUUUAUAUUUAGACUUUACAGAAUCAAUUAUUUUGGAAUUUCUUUAUAUUUCCAUAUUUUUUCUUAUAAUUUUGUAGACUAUAAAUUAAUUAAUAUUAAUUACUACUAAUUCAAGUUUUCGAAAAAUAGACUACUUUUUUAUCAGAAUAAUCAGAAGAAAUUUAAAUUAAUAUUUUGAGAAGAUUUUGUUUCCAUAUAAAUGUAUAUAAUUAUAUUUAAAAUAAGUAAUUUAACAAAAACAUGUAGAGUAUAUGUAAGAAAUAACCAUUGACUUGAAAAGAAUACACAAAAUAACCUUGGACCAAAUAGUAUUUGUCGGCUACAGAAAUUUUGGUAAUAUUUAGUCUAUUUUAGCCUUUCUCUUUCUUAUUCCUUCUUUUGUUUUUUUUCCAUGUUCUUUACGAGACUUUAGUCAUAGAGUUCUCUUUCUCUCUUCAUUUUUAACACAAUUCAUCUUCUUCAGAUUCACCAUGUCAUUUUCUUUUUCUAUUUCUCUCUUCCUCUCCUAAAAUAAUCUUCACCACCUUUCAUAAAAUAUAUCAUCAUAUCUUUUUAUUUUGUUCACCCACAUGUUCUCUCUUUCUUUUUCCAUAGAAAUCUCUCUAUCUCUCAUUCUUUAUUUUAUUUUUUACCUGAAUUCUCCGUCAAUGUCGUUGUGAUAUAAGAGAUUAGAUUUGAUUUUAAAACAAAUGUCUGAUUUUAAAAUGCAUGUAUUUUAAGAACAAAACAUGUUAUUAACACUGAUAUAUUAAUAUUUGUCAUGCUAUCCCACAAAAACUCAUGAAAUAAAUAAAUAUUUGUCAUGUUAUCCAAUAAAAACCCAUGUAAUAUUGUAACAAUUCUAUAUGUUUUUUUAAACUUCGCGAUCGAUAAGAGAAUUGUAUGCUUUUUAUAAAUAUUUUGUGCUAUUUCAGAAAAACACAUUAUUUCAGAGAAACAUAUAUAUCGUUUUGUAUGUAUUUUAAAGAAUUGCAUGCUUUUUUGUAAAUAUAUCAUGUUAUUUUAGACAAAUAUAUAAAAACUUUAUAACUACAACCACCGAUAUUUUUGUAAAAACAAGAAAAUCUAAAGAUAUUUUAGUAUUUUAUCCACCAUAGAAAAUGUUAUUUACCUAAGUUUCCUGACACAAGGCUAUUGUCUCAAUUCUUUUCAAUUCCAUGGUUACUCUCUAAUAUUACCUUUAGAAUGGUUUUCCCUACCCUUAACCUUAAAACCUUUCUUUCAAGCCUAUGUACUAUUUGUGAGUGAGGCCUCUUGUAUGAAAAUGCUAUAGAUUUUGAAAUCUUCAAAGUAUUGAGAACGACAAGGUUUUAGCUCUUGUUUUUAGCUAGCUUUUGGAACAUCUUUGGACUAGCUACUAGGUUGGGAAUGAAAGAUUUAAGUGGUUAGAUUGAAUACUUGGGAUUGGGUUUGAAAAAAAAAAAAAAAAAAAAAAAAAAAACCUCUUUUUCUCUUAGUUUUUGUUGCUUUGCAUUCAUAUUUUGGCAUAUAGUAUUGCAUUUGCAUUUGCAUUUGUUUUUUUUAGGUACAUGAGUGGAGUUUAAAGUUUUGGAAGUAAAAUGGAGCAAAUGGAGCAAACAAAGGAGCUAAAAGAUUGCAAAGUGGCCAAAGAAGAGAAGCUAGUAGGAAUCUACCAAACUGGUCGAUUGCGUGGUCGAUUGGUCAGGACCAGAGCUACGGAGGAAUAUGAAUCUACCAAAGUGGUCGAUUUCGUGGUCUACUGGUCAAGGAUUAAUGUUGCGGACGAUAUUGAAUCUACCAAGUGAUCUAUUGCUUGGUCGAUUUCCUUCCUUAACCGGAUCAAAACCCGGUUUGUUCCGGGUUAAUCCGGUUUAUUUUCUCGUUACUAUAAAUACUCUUAACCUAGUUUUAGAGAGAGGGAGCUUUUGUUUAGGGAUAAAAACUUCUCUUGAAGGUUCUUUAUCUAAGGUUUUUGUAUGAAUGUUGAGUUCUUAAGUUUCUAUAUCAAGUAUUUCUUUUAAAUUUCUCAUCUAUUCUCUAAUGAUUAUGGCUUUACAAAGAUCAAACCAAUUCCUUUGUAUGAUCAUGAUCAUGAGUGAGUAGUCUCCUAGAGUUCUUUGGUUAGGGUAGAUUAGGAUGGUUUAGAUGUUGGGUUAUGGAGUUUAGGGCUAGAUUACUUAAGAUUCUUACUUAUUGGUUGCUUUUAAGGCUAGAUCAACCUUGAUCAUGAUGAUUUAGACAUUAGGAAUUUCAUGCCCGGAAGGUGUUCGAUGAAAUUCCCAAACCAAAAUCUUUAAGUGCUUUUCAUACCUUACCUUUGGAAAUUGUUGAUUAGGGUGAUUAGUGGCUAGAUAGACUUGUUAUUUAUGCUUAUUGAUCAUUUGAUUGCCUUUGGAAAUUGUUGAUGAUUGAUUGAUUAGUAAAGGGAUUAAUAUCAUGGAAAUGUAUUAGUCUUGUUUAGUGUUCUAUGGCCUAAGGAUCAUUGCUUGUUAGAAGUUGUUUGUUGCUCCAUAAUCCAUCUCUUUAUCAUUUCUAAUCGAUUACCUUAACCCGAGAAUUCGUCUUUAGUUUUCGCUUAGUAAUUUGUUAAUUUCCCGCUUUGUUUACUUUCGAAACUUGUUGGUCUUUUGUUUCUUGCUUUCUCUUAUCUUGUUUUGCAUUGUUUGUUUAAUAAUGCAUUGUUACUAAGAUUUAGAAUACUCAAAAUCAUCUUGUUAGCUUAGAUUAAGCAAGUGUGUGUAUUCUUGGUGAGUUGAUUAAAUUGCAAAUUGUGGUUCGAUAAUUAAUUGAAAGAAAUGCUACAUCAAUUUGGCGCCGUUGCCGGUUUGCAAUAGUUAUUAGCCAUUAGGAUUUCAUAUUUGUUUGAGACUAAGCCUUUUACUUUAGUUACUAAUCCUUUAUACUUGAUCUUUGCUCUUGUUUUAAAGGUGUAUGAACCUACGAAGUCACGGUCGAGCAAACUUAGUAGAAGAGAUUAGUGACAUCCGCCGGUUUGAAAGAGAAAACGCUAGAGCAAGAAGAGAACGAGAACGACUUGAACACCUUGCUCGGUUAGGCGUCAUGAAUGAACCCGGAAUUGAGGGCCAUAAUGGAAAUGGCCAAGCUAAUGGGGAUGGUCAUAUGCCACAACAUCAACCAAGAGCUCAUCAACCAAUUGGAGCCUUUGAUGAGCCAAACAUCCGUGGAAAUAGAAACGGUAUUCAAGCUCCUCCGGUUGAGAACAACAACUUUGAGAUUAAAUCAAGCCUCAUCAACAUGGUUCAAAGCUCUAAGUUUCAUGGUUUAUCAAUGGAGGACCCUUUGGAUCAUCUAGACCAAUUUGAUAUGUUGUGUAGCACGGUGAAAAUCAAUGGGAUCUCGGAAGAUGCAUUCAAACUUAGACUCUUCCCGUUUUCUCUUGGAGAUCGAGCUCGUAUUUGGGAGAAGAAUCUACCUCAAGGCUCCAUCACCUCUUGGGACCAAUGCAAAAGAGCCUUCCUCUCAAAGUUCUUCUCCACAACAAGAACGGCAAGGUUGAGAAAUGAGAUAUCUAGCUUCACUCAAAGGAGUAAUGAAAGUUUUUGUGAAGCUUGGGAAAGGUUCAAGGGAUACAAAAUGCAAUGCCCUCAUCAUGGUUUCUCUAAAGAAUCUAUACUAAGUACCUUGUAUAAAGGAGUUCUCCCUAAAUUUCGCAUGUUGUUGGACACGGCAAGCAAUGGAAACUUCUUGGGCUAAGAUAUUGAUGAUGAUUUGUCUUUGGUAGAGAAUCUAGCUCAAAGUGAUGGUAACUAUGGUGAAGAUUAUGACCGCACUCCAAGAGAAAGUAAUGAGAUGAGCGAUCUACACCGCAAAGAGAUCAAAGCAUUGAAUGAAAAGAUGGAUAAGAUGAUUCUUGCUAAUCAAAAACCGAUCCAUUUUGUAUCCGAGAGUGAUGUCUACCAAGGUUAUCAAGAGAAUAUGGAAGGUUGUGUAGAGGGACAAGAAGAGGUCAACUAUGUUAGUGGACAAGGCUACAACAAAUUCAACCCUAACUAUAGGAAUCACCCCAACCUUUCAUAUAGGAGCAAUAAUGUGGAGAACCCACAAGAUCAAAGCUACCCACCUUUAAAGCCUCCCGGUUUCACACAACAACCUAACUAUCAACCUAAACCCCAAGGGAACUUCCAACCAAAGCCUCAAGCCUACCACCACAACCAACACCAAGGGAGUUCAUCAAAUCCUCCACCUCAAGCGAAUGAUACAAACGCUCUUCUUAAACAAAUUUUAGAAGGGCAAGGAAGAGGAGCAAUCGAUCUCGCCACACAAAUGAAAGGAAUGCACACCAAAGUCGAUGACCUUUAUGGUGAGCUCAAUGCCAAAAUAGAGCGUUUGAAUGCCCAUGUUUAUAGCCAAUCCUCAUCCACUUCCAAGCGGCCAAUGGGAACUUUACCGGGUAAACCGGAACCAAAUCCGAAAGAGUAUAUAAAUGCUAUAACCCUUAGAAGUGGUAAAGAGUUGCCGAGUGGAGAGCUCAAUAGAGACAUUGAGCCUAAACAAAAGGAGGGUGUGAUUGAGAUUGAUGAAGAGGAGGUAUUGAAUGAGAAAGUUUGUCAAGAUGAGAUUGAUGUUGAAAAAUGUAUUGUUGACAAAGGGAAGGGUAAAAUAGUUGAAGAGUCUAAAGAAGACAAAACCCAAGAAGAAAUCUCCAAGAAGGAUAAAAGUUUUGCUAAGAAAGAGACUCUAUUUGUACCUCCACCUUAUGAACCAAAGUUACCAUUCCCGGGUCGUUUCAAGAAGCAACAACUAGAGAAGUAUAGAGCAAUGUUUGAUGAGCAAAUGAAAGAAGUUACUAUCACCAUGCCUAUCAUAGAUGCGUUCUUGUUAAACCCGACUUACAACAAGUUUCUUAAAGAUGCGGUUGUAGAAAAGAAGAAAACAUUACAAGGUAUGGUCCUUUUGACUCAUGAAUGUAGCGCUAUCUUCCAAAACAAGAUUGUAGCAAAGAAGCUUGAUGAUCCGGGUAGCUUUACACUUCCAUGUGCUCUUGGUCCUUUAUCCUUUGACCAUUGCUUGUGUGAUCUUGGUGCUAGUGUUAGCUUGAUGCCUCUUUCGGUUGCCAAACGCUUAGGUUUCACAAGAUUUAAGGAUUGUAGAAUUUCACUUGUCCUUGCGGACCGUUCUAUUAGAACCCCGGUUGGUUUGCUUGAGGAUCUUCCGGUCAUGAUUGGUCAUUUUGAGAUACCAACGGACUUUGUGGUCCUUGAGAUGGAUGAGGAACCGAAAGACCCACUUAUCUUAGGACGCCCAUUUUUGAGAACCGCGGGAGCAAUGAUUGAUGUGCGAAGAGGAAUGAUUAAAUUGAACUUGGGUAAGGAGGUAUUAACCUUUGAUAUAAAAAAAACGAUGAAGAAACCUACCAUUGAAAACCAAGAAUUUUAUAUCGAAGAGAUAGAAGCUUUAGCGGAUGAGCUUUUGGAAGAGCUAGCAAUGGAGGAUCCACUUCAUAGUACUUUGACUAUAAAACAAGGAGAGUUUGGAUUACUUGAAAGUGAUAGUGAGGGGUAUGAGAAGAUACUUGAUUCUCACAAGCCUUCUAAUGAAGAUGGAACCUUCCUUGAGUUGAAAGAAGUUAGUCAUGAGGUUAAUGUUGUUGAGAUUGAAGAGGUGACAAACAAGGAGGGAGCUAGCAAUGGUAAGUCUAGCAUAGAUGGAGAUUGGAGUGAACUCAAGGCUCCAAAGGUGGAACUAAAACCUCUUCCCAAGGGGCUAAGGUACGCAUUUCUUGGAACAAACUCUACUUAUCCGGUUAUAAUUAAUGACGAACUUAGUGAUUUAGAGGUCUCCACCCUAAUAGAGGAAUUGAAAAAGUAUAGAAAAGCUAUUGGUUAUUCUCUUAGUGAUAUUAAAGGAAUUUCGGAAACUCUUUGUGUGCAUAGGAUUCAUCUUGAGAAUGAGUCAAUGACUUCCGUCGAACAUCAAAGGCGGUUAAAUCCUAACCUUAGAAAUGUAGUACGGGAAGAGAUCCUCAAACUCUUGGAUGCGGGAAUAAUUUACCCGAUCUCGGAUAGCACAUGGGUUUCUCCGGUUCAUGUGGUCCCAAAGAAGGGUGGAGUCACGGUUGUAAAGAAUGAUAAUGAUGAGUUGAUCCCAACUAGAACAAUAACGGGGCAUAGGAUGUGUAUAGAUUAUCGAAAAUUGAAUGCCGCUUCUAGGAAAGAUCAUUUUCCUUUACCGUUUAUUGAUCAAAUGCUAGAGAGGUUAGCCAAUCACACCCACUAUUGUUUUCUAGAUGGAUAUUCGGGAUUCUUUCAAAUUCCGAUUCAUCCAAAUGACCAAGAGAAAACAACUUUCACAUGCCCUUAUGGUACAUUUGCAUAUAGGAGAAUGCCAUUUGGUUUGUGUAAUGCUCCCGCUACAUUUCAAAGAUGCAUGAUGUCUAUAUUCUCGGAUCUAAUUGAAAAUGUGGUUGAAGUUUUUAUGGAUGACUUCUCCGUCUAUGGAGACUCUUUUGCCUCUUGUCUUUCUAAUUUGUGUAGGGUCUUGAAACGUUGUGAGGAGACUAACCUUGUGUUAAAUUGGGAGAAGUGCCACUGCAUGGUUAGAGAUGGGAUAGUAUUGGGUCACAAGAUCUCCGAGAAGGGUAUAGAGGUUGAUAGAGCUAAGAUUGAUGUGAUGACCAAUCUAGCACCGCCAAAUUCGGUUAAGGGAAUAAGAAGUUUUUUGGGCCAUGCCGGGUUUUAUCGAAGGUUCAUCAAGGACUUCUCCAAAAUAGCAAGACCACUUACAAGACUAUUGUGUAAAGAAGUUGCUUUUGUGUUUGAUGAGGAAUGUCUAGAUGCUUUCAAAAAGAUAAAGAAAGCUUUGGUUAGUGCCCCAAUAGUGCAAGCACCGGAUUGGAAUCUACCAUUUGAGAUCAUGUGCGAUGCUAGUGACUAUGCGGUUGGAGCGGUUCUUGGUCAAAGAAAAGAUAAGAAGCUUCAUGUCAUCUACUAUGCAAGUAGGACUCUUGAUGAUGCACAAGUUAAGUAUGCCACCACCGAAAAAGAGCUCCUUGCUAUAGUGUUUGCAUUUGAGAAGUUUCGAUCAUACUUGGUUGGUUCUAAGGUGAUAGUUCAUACGGAUCAUGCGGCAUUAAGACAUCUAUUAGCCAAGAAGGAUGCGAAACCAAGGCUUUUGAGAUGGGUUUUGCUUCUACAAGAAUUUGACUUGGAAAUUAAAGACAAGAAAGGGAUUGAGAAUGGUGUUGCGGAUCAUCUCUCUCGGUUGAGGAUUGAUAAUGAUAUACCAAUCGAUGACUCUCUUCCCGAGGAGCAACUAUUGGCAAUUAGGCUUUAGGAUGCAAGUCAUGAGACCUAUAAAAAACUUGAGGAGGUGAAGACAUUGAAUGAAAAUGGCCCAUGGUAUGCGGAUUAUGUUAACUAUUUGGCAUGUGGAAAAGAACCUCCAAAUUUGAGUAGCUAUGAAAAGAAGAAGUUCUUGAAAGAUAUAAACCACUUCUAUUGGGAUGAACCAUUUCUUUAUACUCUAUGUAAAGAUAAGAUCUAUAGAAGAUGUGUCUCGAAAGAAGAAGUAGAAGAAAUUUUGCUCCAUUGCCACGGUUCAAGCUAUGGAGGUCAUUUUGCAACUUUCAAGACGGUUACCAAGGUUCUACAAGCGGGUUUAUGGUGGCCAACGAUGUUUAAAGACGCACAAGAGUUCAUUUCGAAGUGCGAUUCAUGUCAAAGAAAAGGAAACAUUAGUAGACGAAAUGAGAUGCCCCAAAAUCCAAUUUUAGAGGUUGAGAUCUUUGAUGUAUGGGGAAUAGAUUUUAUGGGACCAUUUCCUUCUUCAUAUGGAAAUAGCUACAUACUUGUGGCGGUUGAUUAUGUGUCAAAAUGGGUUGAGGCGAUUGCUAGUCCAACUAACGAUGCAAAAGUUGUGUUGAAGCUAUUCAACACUAUAAUAUUUCCAAGAUUUGGUGUUCCUAGAGUGGUCAUAAGUGAUGGAGGGAAGCAUUUCAUCAACAAGGUCUUUGAGAGUCUACUCAAGAAGCACGGAGUGAAGCACAAGGUCGCCACGCCUUAUCAUCCGCAAACAAGUGGUCAAGUUGAGAUUUCUAACCGGGAAAUCAAAGCUAUUCUAGAGAAGACGGUUGGGACUACAAGAAAAGAUUGGUCGGUAAAACUUGAUGAUGCAUUGUGGGCAUAUAGAACCGCCUUUAAGACUCCGAUAGGUACUACUCCGUUCAAUCUUCUCUAUGGAAAAUCAUGCCAUUUGCCGGUUGAGCUCGAAUAUAAGGCUUUGUGGGCAGUAAAGCUUUUGAAUUUUGAUAUCAAAACCGCCGAGGAGAAGCGGUUGAUUCAAUUGAAUGACCUUGAUGAAAUCCGCCUUGAAGCUUAUGAGAACGCCAAAAUUUACAAAGAGAGGACUAAGGCAUUUCACGACAAGAAGAUCGUUCCAAGAGACUUUAAAGUAGGUGAUCAAGUGUUGUUGUUCAAUUCUCGUUUGAGAUUAUUUCCGGGAAAGCUCAAAUCUCGUUGGUCGGGUCCAUUCAAGAUCAAAGAAGUGAGACCCUAUGGAGCCUUGGUAUUGUGGAACAAAACGGGAGGAGAAUUUGUUGUGAAUGCUCAACGCUUGAAGCCUUACUUCGCGAAUCAACACAUUGGGGAGGGAACCAAAGUUUCUCUCUUGGAGCCUCAAUCCGCCUAAUUUGUGUGGAAACGUCAAGCUUAGUGACUUUAAACAAGCGCACUUGGGAGGCAAUCCCAUGGUAUCCUUGUACAUAUUUUGAUUCUAUUUAUGUGCUUUUGGUUUGAUUAAGUUUCAGGGAAGUAUUUGGAAAAUUUCAUAUCAAGACGGGCAAGCAAAACCAUUUCUGGGCAAGCGAAUCGACCGCAUGGUCGAUUGGACGGUCGACUCAUCCAUGUCCGCAAAUCCGUCAGAUUUCUAAUCGAGCACUCAAUAGAGCAGUCAAUAGACGAGUUGGUCGAUUGGACGGUCUACUGAUUCAUGUCCGCAAAUCCGUAAAUUUUCGAAUCGACCAAUCAAUUGAUCGAUUGGUUUUGAAAGCCCAGGUAAGUCAUCUCUUGACUUCGUCGGUUCACUAGAAAUUUUCCGGUUUAGUCCCUUAACCAACCAAAACCGAAAAAAAAAAUAAUAAUAAUAAUAAUAAUAAUUCCUUCUUUUUCCUUCUCUCACGACCUCUUCCUCUCACUUUUCUCUCUUUUUUCAAACUCACUCUCUCUUUUGUUUUCAAACACACUUGCUUGUUUUUAGUGAUUCAAAUCUCUUGUUCACUUUUUUUUCUCCAUAGAACCCGAAUUUAGCAUCUCCACUCUCAGAUUGACAAGGCACAAUGGUAGAAGGCACAAAGAGAACAAACCCCAAACGUUCUAAGACAAUGACCUCCACUGAACCGCAAAGUGAACCCGUUGCUCAUUGGACUAAGGAAGAUAAGAAAGCUCUCAAAGUCAUCUCUCCACUUCCUUCAUUUCCAACGCGUUUUGCAAAUCGCGAGAUCCUAGAGAAGAUGGGUUUGCUCGAGACUAUUGACGAGUUCUUCACAAAGAUGGGACUUGGCGCCUUCACCUCCAUGGAUCACCCUACAUUCAGUGAGCCUACAGUUGAUUUCUUUAGCACCAUGGAGUACACAUUUACGAACCCAAAGAUACCACUAGCUAAAGAAGGAAUCAUCAACUUCAAGGUCAAAACAAAGGCUUUCUCCAUAUCAAUUCCCGACCUUUGUGAAGCCUAUGGAUUUGAGAACAAAAGCGAGAUGAGCUUCCCGAAGUUUAAAGGAAUCCACUUCUUUUGGGGCGAGCUAGCAAGCGGGAAAUUCAGUUGUAACGCAAGUAUCAAGAGCGUCCGCCAUCCGGUAAUUCGUUACGCCUUGAAGCUUCUCGCGCAUGCUCUUUUUGGGAGAGGUGAAACGAGUUCUACUACGGUUUCCGAGAUGUGCUUUCUUUUUCAAGGAGUCAAAGAAUUGUUGGUAGAAGACGCGGACGAGAAUGGCGAUGGAAGGUUGGUACAUGAUGAUCUUGGAAAUGAUGUGAACUAUGGGUGCAUCUUUGCUUCUUAUCUAGAGGAUUAUAAGAACCGGCUAAUCAAGGGCAAGACGAAAUCCAUCUACAUUGGUGGUACUCUCACACCACUUUUUGUUAAAGCGGGAGUAGAUCUUUCUCCAUUCAAUGCUCUCCCAAAGCGUGAAUACAUUGACUAUGAGAACUUGGUGCGUUCUUGCUCUUUAAAACGUAGCGAUGAUGCUUUCAUCUACUUGUACACGGAUCGAGAGGAUAACAAGUUGGAAUGCAUACUACCCUCAAAGGAGAUCACAAAUGUAGAGAGUCAUGAAGACAUUAUGUUUUUGCCAAGUAAGGAAUAUCAAGUACCAAAUUUGGAGCAAUUUAUGGAGAUUGAAGAAGAAGACUUGCCACCAUCUCCACGAGAUGACCCUUACAACCUCAACAAGUGUGAUCUUCCCGAAUUCACAUUUGUGCCAAAGACCAAGAUGGAGAAGUUUCUUCAAUCCGUCAUCAAGUCUCAAAGGAAGAUAAACAAGUGGAAAUCUUAUGCAAUAGGAAAGCUACUUAAGAAGGUGAAGAAGCUCCAACCACCGGAUUAUGUCUCUUCCGAGGAUGAACUUGUUUUUCCUUCAAAUGAGGAGGAAGAUAGAGACAAUAUUUUGGAGAGUGAUGAGAAUAAUGAAACGCCCGCCACUUCAUCACACUCGUCUAGGAGGAAGAACGCCUCGAGAGACCACUCCUACAUGCCUUAGCCACUCCACGGUAUCACUUGUAUAUACGACUUUAUUUCUUUUAGUUCUAUUUAUUUAUUUUCGUUAGUCUUUUCCUCAUAUUUUUCUCUCACACCGAGACGGUGUGAAAUAAGUUUGGGGGAGAGACUAACCAUCUAACGUUGUGUUUUGUUUUGAUUUUAUUUCUUUGAGUCUUGCAUUGUCAAUAUCUAUGUUUUGAGAAAAAAUAAAAAAAAAAUCUGAAAAUUUUGAAAAAUCCAAAAAAAUCAUGUAGGUUUGCAUAUUAAUUUUCUCUUUUAGAAUUGAGUCUAGAAGCAUCUAGUGUGCAUUUGCAUUUGCAUAGGGGAUAAUGAUUUAAUUACCUUGUAGAAAUUCAAGCUUAGGAUUGAACUUAAAGCCCUUGAUCACAGUUAAUCGUUGCUUGAUCAUCUUGGAAAAAAUGGAAAAUCCAUGCUUAGACUUUUGCGUUUCUCGAAAGCAAUUUCUACUUGUGUGAAGCUUACAUGACUUUUGAAAUAUCUCUAUGAAUUUGGACUUAAUUUGAUAUUGAUUUCUCGCUUAUGGAUCCUAAAUGCAUUCUCAUGGUAGUCUAAAAGACUCAUUCGGGUUAUCUUAUUCGUUUUGCCAAUCUUUUGUUAACCCGAAUGGCCAUUCUCACCUUUAGAAUGGUUUUCCCUACCCUUAACCUUAAAACCUUUCUUUCAAGCCUAUGUACUAUUUGUGAGUGAGGCCUCUUGUAUGAAAAUGCUAUAGAUUUUGAAAUCUUCAAAGUAUUGAGAACGACAAGGUUUUAGCUCUUGUUUUUAGCUAGCUUUUGGAACAUCUUUGGACUAGCUACUAGGUUGGGAAUGAAAGAUUUAAGUGGUUAGAUUGAAUACUUGGGAUUGGGUUUGAAAAAAAAAAAAAAAAAAAAAAAAAAAAAACCUCUUUUUCUCUUAGUUUUUGUUGCUUUGCAUUCAUAUUUUGGCAUAUAGUAUUGCAUUUGCAUUUGCAUUUGUUUUUUUUAGGUACAUGAGUGGAGUUUAAAGUUUUGGAAGUAAAAUGGAGCAAAUGGAGCAAACAAAGGAGCUAAAAGAUUGCAAAGUGGCCAAAGAAGAGAAGCUAGUAGGAAUCUACCAAACUGGUCGAUUGCGUGGUCGAUUGGUCAGGACCAGAGCUACGGAGGAAUAUGAAUCUACCAAAGUGGUCGAUUUCGUGGUCUACUGGUCAAGGAUUAAUGUUGCGGACGAUAUUGAAUCUACCAAGUGAUCUAUUGCUUGGUCGAUUUCCUUCCUUAACCGGAUCAAAACCCGGUUUGUUCCGGGUUGAUCCGGUUUAUUUUCUCAUUACUAUAAAUACUCUUAACCUAGUUUUAGAGAGAGGGAGCUUUUGUUUAGGGAUAAAAACUUCUCUUGAAGGUUCUUUAUCUAAGGUUUUUGUAUGAAUGUUGAGUUCUUAAGUUUCUAUAUCAAGUAUUUCUUUUAAAUUUCUCAUCUAUUCUCUAAUGAUUAUGGCUUUACAAAGAUCAAACCAAUUCCUUUGUAUGAUCAUGAUCAUGAGUGAGUAGUCUCCUAGAGUUCUUUGGUUAGGGUAGAUUAGGAUGGUUUAGAUGUUGGGUUAUGGAGUUUAGGGCUAGAUUACUUAAGAUUCUUACUUAUUGGUUGCUUUUAAGGCUAGAUCAACCUUGAUCAUGAUGAUUUAGACAUUAGGAAUUUCAUGCCCGGAAGGUGUUCGAUGAAAUUCCCAAACCAAAAUCUUUAAGUGCUUUUCAUACCUUACCUUUGGAAAUUGUUGAUUAGGGUGAUUAGUGGCUAGAUAGACUUGUUAUUUAUGCUUAUUGAUCAUUUGAUUGCCUUUGGAAAUUGUUGAUGAUUGAUUGAUUAGUAAAGGGAUUAAUAUCAUGGAAAUGUAUUAGUCUUGUUUAGUGUUCUAUGGCCUAAGGAUCAUUGCUUGUUAGAAGUUGUUUGUUGCUCCAUAAUCCAUCUCUUUAUCAUUUCUAAUCGAUUACCUUAACCCGAGAAUUCGUCUUUAGUUUUCGCUUAGUAAUUUGUUAAUUUCCCGCUUUGUUUACUUUCGAAACUUGUUGGUCUUUUGUUUCUUGCUUUCUCUUAUCUUGUUUUGCAUUGUUUGUUUGAUAAUGCAUUGUUACUAAGAUUUAGAAUACUCAAAAUCAUCUUGUUAGCUUAGAUUAAGCAAGUGUGUGUAUUCUUGGUGAGUUGAUUAAAUUGCAAAUUGUGGUUCGAUAAUUAAUUGAAAGAAAUGCUACAUCAGUAGGUUUCGAAGUUAACUCAUCCUGUAUUUGGGGUUUCUUAGUUUACACGUUUCCUUUGGGGCAGAUCCCUAUUUGCUCUGGUUUAUCGAAAUUAAACCGGUGAUUUUUAAGAACUGGAUGAAAUAAAACAUGAAAACUUAAAAAUUGAAUUUUUCGAUUCCUUUGCAUGUCUUGUCGAAACCUGAAAGCUUGAGUAUUUUCUUUAUAUUUUUCGUUUGAGAGCCAAAAACACAAGCAAUUAAGCAAAUCCCAACUCUCUUUUUCAUUGAAAUCCCGAAACAAUUAGGUCGUGGAUUAAGCUUUUGUAACAAGGUAGGUUUGGAGGUUUACUCAUUAUAUUUUUUUAGGGUUCCAUAAGAUUCCUAUUUGCGUUGUGAGCUCUAAUUUUCCCUGUAUUGAAGUUAGAAGUUCCUGUUCUCAGUUUACCAGUUUAUACUCUCUUUGUUUCGUGCAGAGCAGAUGGAUCACUUAAGCAAUUUACCAGACGAGCUUCUUUGCCAUAUUAUGUCCUUCCUUACCACCAAGGAGGCUGCUUUGAUAUCGGUUCUCUCCAAAAGGUGGCGCAAUUUGAUUGCAUUUGUCCCUAAUCUUGAUAUUUUUGACUGUGAUAUUCUGCAUUGGGAGGUGCGUAAAGAGGAAAGGGACGAUAUUCGACAGCUCUUCAUGGAUUUUGUGGAUAGAGUUUUGGCAUUGCAAGGUAACUCUCCCUUAAAGAAAUUCUCCCUCUGUUGUGGCGGCGGUUCUUAUUCGGAUAGAGUGGAUUGUUGGAUACAGAAUGUGAUGGUGCGUGGUGUUUCGGAGCUUGAUCUAUCAAUGAUUUUUGAUACCUCUUAUCAUAUGUAUCCACAAGUUUUCGAGAACAAGAAACUAGUUAAGCUCCAUUAUCUGGAUUUGAUAUUCGUUGCUUGGAUGGGAGCAUUUUCUUACCAAUGCUUAAAACUCUCCUUCUUGAAUCAGUUUUGUUAUCUGUUGAGAAUUUUGAGAUUUUUCUUCGUGCUUUGCCUGCGCUUGAGGAAUUAGUCAUGAAUCAUAUAUACUGGAAAGAAUUGGAUGUGAAUGUGCAUGUAUCUGUAUCAAGUGCAAGCCUCAAGACCCUAACAAUAAAAUGCAUCGUUUGUUUACAUACUAAGUCAUUUGAUACACCUAGUCUUGCUUACUUAUCUUACUCUGAUUAUGCCAUGGGAGAUUAUCCCGUAGCUAAAAUGGAAAACUUGUUUGAGGCUCGAAUCAGCCUUUUUGUACCUGAAGACGAUAUCAGCCGAGUAAGAGCGCCAAACAAUGAUUUGUUAGAGGAUGAUGAGUACAAUCAUGCAUGUUCUCCGAUAUGAAAAUGUGGGGAAGCUUAUGAAUAGCAUUCGAAAUGUUCGGUAUCUCUAUUUCUCUCGUGAUACUCUUGAGGUUAGUGUUUUUGUUCUUUUCUCUAUUAGCUGGUCUUGGUAAAAUAAAUGAAAGAUAACCAGCACUUCGUCUCAAUUUAUGGAGCAUGGCAGUCAUGUUUGUUCAAGUCCUAUUUUUAACAAAUAAGCAAAAGUCUAAUUAUGGUUUGUCUUGUUAUCAGGUGCUUUCUCUAUGCUGUGAAUCGAUGCCAGUGUUCAAAAACCUCAAAUCUUUAUCUAUCAAGAGUGUUGAGAGUCGAGGAUGGCAAGCAAUGCCAGUUCUUCUAAGGAACUGUCCACAUUUAGAAACUCUAGUCCUUGAGGUAUAGAAAUAACUAAUUUACCAAACAUGUACAAAGAUAGAGUUCACACAUUGAAACCUUAAAUGUCUCCUUUAUGCCUUCAGGCUCUCUUGCACCAUGUAACUGAUAAAUGCGGGGAUGCUUGUGCCUGCGUCUCUCGGGAGGAGAAAGGUCGUUCGCUCAAAUCUUGUCCAGUAAAAGUGUUAGAGAUUAAAGAGUUUCAAGGAACAAUGAAAGAGAUGCACAUGAUAAAACAUUUCCUGGACUAUCUUCCGUGUUUGAAGGAGAUGAAAAUCUCCUAUAUGAAAAAGAAUGAUCAUACUACACAGUUCAGAGUCAUCCCUCAAGUUAUUGCAGAGAUGGUGGAACACUACAACAAGUUAUCUAAUUGCAAUGUCCAGCUUGUAGUGAGUGGUUAAUUUUAUAAAAAGUUGACAGCACAUUGAUUCAGCCAUUUAUGAUCUCGCUUGUGGUAUAAUCUUUCACUUCCCUAGCAUUUUGCUUUGAGUUCUCUUUACGUUUUAGAUUUUGUGGACGAAUCGUUAAGAGUGAAUUAUUUUAGAGCAGAACACCGAUGUUUAAUAUUUUUUUCCUUGGACAUAGUGCUCAAUUGUUUUGUUUUAUCGCAAAAUCACGGAUGCAAUACAUACAUGUUUGACACUAAGCGAUGUGAUAUACUUCUAAGAACUCAAAACUCAAGCAUUCCCGGUUUACCAAAAUUAAACCUGUAAAAGAACCGGAUAAAAUUGAACCAGACUCCAAUUUUGUUCAACUCUUAAAAUUGGAUGCCUUUUCGUUGUCGAACUCGAACCUGAAAGCUUGGGUCUCUCUUUUCACUGAAAUCCUAAUGAUCCUGCAAAGCUCAGUGUCACUGAUGUUUCUGAAGUUAUCACGGGGGUCGGGGGACAUGAUGGAACACUACGAAAAGUCAUCGACUUGCCAUGUCCAGCUCCUAGUGGAUGCUUACUUGUAUAAGAAGUGGACUGCACAAUGAAGUCUCUAAAGAGCAAAAGUCGCUCUCCUUGAAACUUGACUCAGUUUGGUUUUCUAGUGGUGAGUUUCAGAUGCUAUUUUUUGGUUUCCCUGCCCUUCCGGAAUUAGACAUAGCAGAGGUAUACUUCCGUCUAAAAUGAAGAAAGCAUUUCUCUGGACCUUUUCUUGUGUUUGUAGGAGAGCAGGGAUAUACAUAUAUAUACCAAAGAGAAUGAUUUUAUAGACUUCAAAGUCUCUGGAAUGUUUAAACUCGUCGCAACAAGUUUCAUAGUUUUGAUAUUUAAAAAGUGUAUGGAUUAGUGCACACUGAUGAGUCUCUCAUAGUCUAUUCUUUGGUUAACUUUGCUUUCGUUCUCUGAGUUUCUUUUUUACUUUAAGCAAUACUUCUACAUUUGGGCCUAAAUCUGUUUAAGCAAUGUAGCCCAAAGAUCAACCCGUUCCGGUUUAUCGAAACUACACCGGCGAUUUUAAAGAACAAAACCCUCAAUUUCCAUAUAUUUAUUUAAUUGGUUUUUACCUCUCUUUUUUGGCAAGUUUCUAUUACUUUUGGUAAUCAAAAUGUAAAUCCAAAACUAUCUUCAUUUAUAUAAUAGUAACAUUUUAUCAAAAAAAAAAAAAAAACUCACGUCUUCCUCUUAAAAAUUGGAUGCUUCUCUGAUGCCUUUGCAUGUCUAUGUCGAACCUGAAAGCUUGGGUAUUUGCUUCAUAUCUCCUCCUUUUUAAAGAACCGGAUGAAAUAAAACCCUAAAUUAAGAAAAUCCCAACUCUCUUUUUCACUAAAAUCCCUACAAAAUAGGUCUUGGAUAAAACUUUUGUAGCAAGGUAGGUUUCGAGGUUUACUCAUUAAUUAUGUUUUGGGGGUUCUUAGUCCAUAAGAUUUGUAUUUGUGUUGUUAGCUCUAACUUUCCCUCUAUGAAAGUUCAUGUUCGAAUCCAUAAGAUUCCUACUUUACCAGUUUAACGUGUUUCUUUGCACUUGCUUGGAUUUUACAUGAAUAACCUUUCUUGUUUGGUAAGAUUCCUCUUCGUUUCGUGCAGAGAAAAUGGAUCUAUUAAGCAAUCUACCAUACGAGCUUCUUUGCCAUAUAUUGUCCUUCCUUACAACAAAAGAGGCUGCUUUGACAUCGGUUCUGUCAAAGAGGUGGCGCAAUCUAAUUGCAUUUGUCCCUAAUGUUGAUAUUGUGGACCAUGAUAUUCGAGAGCUUUUCAUGGAUUUUGUUGAUAGAGUAUUGGCAUUGCAGGGUAACUCUCCCAUUAACAAAUUUUCCCUCGAUUGUUCCGGUGUUGAUUCGGAUAGAGUGGAUUGUUGGAUACAGAAUGUGAUGGUGCGUGGUGUUUCCGAGCUUAAUUUAUCAAUCUUUGUGGAUUCGGUUUUCGAAGAUGACUAUAAUCUCUUUCCAAAAGUGUUUGAGAACAAAAAACUAGUUAAGCUCGGAUUAAGUUAUAUUUCUUGGUUGGAUGGGAGCAUUUUCUUACCAAUGCUUAAAACACUCGUUCUUGAAUCAGUUUUGUUAUCUGUUGAGAAGUUUGAGAUUCUUCUUCAUGCUUUGCCUGCGCUUGAGGAAUUAGUCAUGAAUAAUAUAUACUGGAAAGAGCGGGAUGUUGUCGAUUUGAUUGUUUCAAGUGAAAGCCUCAAGACCCUAACAAUAAACUUCAUCGUUUGUACACAUACUUUGUCAUUUGAUACACCUAUUCUUGCUUACCUAUCUUACUCUGGUUAUGUCGUGGACGAUUAUGCCGAAGCUAAAAUGGAAAACUUGUUUGAGGCUCGAAUCAGCCUUCUUGUAGUUGAAGGCGAUAUCAGCCGAGUAAGAGCGCUAAUAAACAAUGAUUUGUUAGAGGAUGAUGAGUACGAUGUUCUCCAAUUUGAAAAUGUGUGGAAGCUAAUGAAUGGUAUUCGAAAUAUUCGGUGUCUCUAUUUGUCUCCUAAUACUCUUGAGGUUAGUUUUUUUUGUUCUUUUCUCUAUUUAGCUGGUCUUGGUAAAAUAAAUGAAAGAUAACCAGUACUUCGUCUCAAUUUACGGAGCAUGGCAGUCAUGUUUCUUCGGUCCCAUUUUUAACAAAUAUAAUAAGCAAAGGUCUAAUUAUGGUUUCUCUUGUUAUGAGGUGCUUUCUCUAUGCUGUGAAUCGAUGCCAGUGUUCAAAAACCUCAAAUCUUUGUCUAUCAAGAGUGCCGAGAAUCGAGGAUGGCAAGCAAUGCCAGUUCUUCUAAGGAACUGUCCGCAUUUAGAAACUCUAGUCCUUGAGGUACGUAUAACACAAUUCAUUAAUUUGCCAAACAUGUACAAAAUAUCAUACUUUGAAUUUCUCAUUGUCACUUUUAUGCUUUCAGGGUCUAUUGCACCAUGUAACAGAUAAAUGUGGGGAUGCUUGUGACUGUGUUUCCCGAGAAGACAAAGGUCGUUCACUCACAUCGUGUCCAGUAAAAGUGUUGGAGAUUAAAGGGUUCCAAGGAACAACCAAAGAGAUGAACAUGAUAAAACAUUUCUUGGAAUAUUUUCCGUGUUUGAAAGAGCUAAAAAUGUAUAUGGAAGAGAAUGAUCCUGCACAGCUCAGAGUCCCUGAAGUUAUCACGGGGGAGAUGAUGGAACGCUACAAAAAGUCAUCAAGUUGCAAUGUCCAGCUCCUAGUAGGUGGUAAGUUGUAUAAGAAGUGGACUCCAUGAUGAAGCCUCUAAAGAAGAAAAGUUUUGGAAUUUGAUUUUGGUUUAAAUUGGCUUGAAAAACUGUUUCAAACCAAGACAAUCGGAAAGCCGUGGGUAAAGGGGAUUCUCCCAUUAAGAAAUGGGUAAAGGGGAUAGGGAUAGGGAUUCUUGCUUUUGUCCCUAAUCUUGAUAUCGAUGACAAUACUUUUCUGCAUCCGGAAAUGGGUAAAGGGGAUAGGGAAGAUAUUCGAGAGCUCUUCAUGGAUUUUGUUGAUAGAGUAUUGGCAUUGCAGGGUGAUUCUCCCAUUAAGAAAGUCUCCAUCAACUGUGUCGGUGUUGAUUCAGUUAGAGUGGAUGCUUGGAUACGUAAUGUGAUGUUACGUGGUGUUUCAGAGCUUGUUCUUUUAAUCGUUUUGGAUGUCCAGUCGAUUGGUAAGAAGUUUUGGGUGCCUCCAAAAUGUUUCGAGAGCAAGAAACUAGUUAAGCUAGAGAUAGGUUAUGGAGUUGAUAUUGGUUGGUUAGAUGGAAGCUUUUUCUUACUGAUGCUUAAAACUCUUGUUCUUAGGUUAGUUCAGUUAUCUGCUGAUAAGUUUAAGAUUCUUCUUCAUGAUUUGCCUGCGCUUGAGGAAUUAGCCAUGGGUUAUGUAACCUGGAGUGAAGAUGAUGCUGUUGUGUCAGAUGCAAGUCUAAAAGAGACUAACAAUAACUUCCAACCAUUAUGUCUGCUAUUCUUAUUAUUAUUUAGACACUUUUUCGGUUGAUACGCCGAGUCUCACUUACUUCUCUUACUCUGACUUGUUGCUAAAGACUACCCUGUAAUUAAGAUGGAAAACUAAUACACUUCUCUUACUUCACUUACUUCGGAAUUUGAUUUUUGUGUAAUUGGUGUAUAUAUAUAUCUAUAAACCAAUAAACCCCUCCUAAAUAUUCUGAAAUUCUUAGUUAUAUUAAUCAAAAUAAUACCUUUUUUUGCAAAAUUUAACCAAUUUUUUAAGUUUUUUAUUUUAUUUUCCAAAACCGAUCCAAAUCCAACACUUAUCAAUAGUCUUAAAGCUGUCCCGGAUUAUACAUGUUUGACCUCGUCACGGGGCUAAUGUUGUGAUGUCCAAUUCAUGAUCUGCGAUUCUUUGCGCGAUCAAAUCUUUAACGUGAAAAAGCUUGCUCUAUGUUUUUACCAAAGUCCUGCCCUUCAACGUGAAAAAGUUUGCUUUCUUCUGCAGCCUAACUCAAGCUGUCCCGGUUUACCGAAAUUAAACCAGUGAUUUUUAAGAACCGGAUUAAAUAAAACCCUAAUUUUGUUUUCUUAAAAUUUGGAUGUUUCGGCUUCUCCGAUGCCUUUUUCUUCAUAAAAUCAAAGAAACCAGCGAUAAAGCAACUCCCAAAUCUCUCUUUUCUUGAAAUCUCCAAUAUUUGUUUCUUGGUAAGUAUCGAAGUUUACUCAAUUCGCUUUUUAAGGUUUCGUAGUUCACAAGCUUCCUUUCGGAUGUAUUCCUAGUUGCGUUGUUAACUUAGCGUUUCUCUCUUUUAGGGUUUACCAGUUAUAAUUAAUUGCUUCCUUCUACAUGCUCGAAUUUUUACAUGAAUCUAAAGACCAAACCUUUCUCUGUUUGUAGUUGAACUGUUUGGUAAUAUACGAAGCUUUUCUAGAGAAAAUGGAUCUCUUAAGCAAUCUACCAGACGAGCUUCUUUGUCAUAUAUUGUCCUUCUUUACCACAAAGGAGGCUGCUUUGACUUCUGUUCUCUCAAAGAGGUGGCGACAUCUGUUUGCACUUGUCCCUAAUCUUGACAUUGAUGACUCUAUGUUUCUAUACCCUGAAGAGGGUAAGCGUGAUAGGAACGAAAUUCAACAGAGCUUCGUUGAAUUUGUCGAUAGAUUAUUGUUAUUGCAGGGUAAAUCUCCCACUAGAAAAGUCUCCCUCAAGUGUAUAAGUAUGUCUGAUCCAGACCGCCUAGAUGAUUGGAUAAGUAAUGUGUUGGCUCGUGGUGUUUCCGAACUUGAUCUGUCAAUCGAUUUGUGUAUGGAUGAAUACAUUCUCUUGUCUUCAAAACGUUUCGAGAGCAAGAAUCUAGUUAGGUUGAAAUUACACCGUAUUUGUAUUGGCCAACCGGAAAACCCUAUUGGUUGGUUGGCUGGGGGAAUAUUAUUACCAAUGCUUAAAACUGUCCUACUUGAGUCAGUUGGGUUUUAUGUUGAUGAGGUUUUUCUUAGAGCUUUGCCUGUUCUUGAGGAAUUAGUCAUGGUUGAUGUAUUCUGUUCUGGAGCGUUAAGGAUGUCAUCGUGUCAAAUGCAAGCCUCAAGACCCUAACAAUGAGUUCCAACCAUUAUACGGGAACUAUGUCAUUCGAUACACCUAGUCUAGUUUACUUUUGUUACUCUGACUAUGUUGCUAAAGACUACCCCUUAGUUAACAUGGAAAACUUACUUGAGGCUAGAAUCAAACUUUUGUUAACUGACGAUCAAGUCGAAAGAGCAAGAGAGCCAAAUAACGAUGGCGUGGAGGCUGAUGAGGACGAUGUUGUUCUACAAUUUGCAAAUGUGGGGAAGCUCAUGAAUGGCAUACGAAAUGUUCAGUAUCUAGUGUUUUCUGCUAAUACUCUCGAGGUCAGUUUUCUCUUCUUCUUUUCUUGAAACAUCUAUGGCAAAAUGUCUAAUUGACGUGUGUCUUGUGUUCAGGUGCUUUCUCUAUGCUUUGAAUCAAUGCCAGUGUUCAACAACCUAAAAUCGUUAACUAUUGAGGGUAAAAAGAGGCGAGGAUGGCAAGCACUGCCAGUUCUUCUAAGCAACUGUCCAUAUUUAGAAACUCUAGUCCUUGAGGUAUAAAAAAAUAACUAAUUUGCCAAAACAUGAACCAAGAUAGCUUUCAUAUAUACUUUGAAUUGAAUCUCUUAUUGUGUCCUUUAUGGUAUCACUCUUUCAGGGUCUCUUGCACUAUGUCACAGAUAAAUGCGGGGAUGCUUGUGGCUGCAUUUCUCGAGAGGAUAAGGGUCGUUCACUCACAUCUUGCCCAGUAAAAGUUAUAGAGAUUAAAGGGUUUCAAGGAAAAAAGAAAGAGAUGCACAUGAUAAAGCAUUUCUUGGUUUAUUUUCCGUGUUUGAAAGAGAUAAAAAUCUAUAUUGAAGAGAAUGCACUUGAAGUGUCUAAAGUUAUCGCAAAGAGGAUAAAUCGCUACAACAAGGUAUCGAAUUGCAACGUGCAGCUCCUGGUAAGUGGUUGCUUGUAUAAGGAGUGGAGUGCACAAUGAAGUCUUGGAAGAACGAAAGUUGUUUUGGUUUGAUUUCAUUUAAUUGGCUUGAAAACAUUUUUUACCCUAAACCAAACCAAUCGCAAAACUGUUGUUCUUUCUUCUCUUGCAUUCUUGUUGAACUCAUACAAAGCACCAGUGCACCACUAUCACGCAAAGGUUAGCUCUCACAUCUCUCACUCUCAUAUGCUCUGUUUCUCUUUCUCUGUUUUAACAGAAGCAUAUAGUUACUCUCUCUAAUCUCUGCCUCUUUUGUCUAACAUUUUAACAAAUACAUAAACGUUUUCAAAGAGAAGAGAAACAUUGAAUGUCUACAUGUUGGUAAAACUUGGAUACACUCUUACAAGACACACUCACACAUACUUAUACUACUUGUACUUGGCACACUUACACAUACAAACAUGCCUUAAUCACAUAAUUAACUCUAGACUCUACUACCUUGAAACUCUAACCACAACACUUGCACACUGCUUUACUUUAAUUAAACUUCAACCUCAAGCUAACCCAAAAAACACACUUUACUCUUGUUUGGGCCUUAACGAAAGCUGCAGCCACACAAGCCCAACAUAUCUUUAUGUUGACUUAGCUUCUUCUCCUUUGGCUCGAUUUCGUCUUCUUUCUUCAUCGUCUUUCUCUUUUACAGGUUUAAUCAAAGGCUCAAAUCUUCUUUCGUGCAGAGAAGAUGGAUCAUGUUAGCAGUCUACCAGACGGUGUUCUUUGUCAUAUAUUGUCCUUCCUCACCACAAAGGAAGCUACGUUGACUUCCAUUCUCUCCAAGAGAUGGCGCAAUCUGUUUGCGUUUGUCCCUAAUCUCGAUAUUGAUGACUCUAUCUUUCUCCAUAAUGAAGAUUUUAAGGAGGAUAGGUACGACAUUUAUCACUUAUCAGAGCUUCAUCGAUUUUGUUGAUAGAGUAUUGGCAAUGCAGGGUGAUUCUCCCAUUAAGAAACUCUCCCUCAAGUUUAGAACUGGCUUUGACUCACACCGAGCAGAUGGUUGGAUAAGUAACACGUUGGUUCGUGGUGUUUCCGAACUUGAUGUGCUAAUCAGUUUGCAUGGAACAGAUUACCAUUUUCUGUCUCCAAAAUGUUUCAAGACCAAGAAUCUGGUUACUCUGAAAUUAAACAGUCUUGCUAUUGACUGGGACAUAUUCUUACCAAUGCUUAAAACUCUCCUUCUUCACUCUGUUACGUUAUGUGUUGAUAAGAUGUUUUCUUAGUGCUUUGCCUGCGCUUGAGGAAUUAGUCUUGUUUGUUGUGCCCUGGGGAGGUAAGUCUAACGAUUUCCUCUUAAAACAUUCGAUGUUUCAGCUUCUCCGAUGUCUUUGCCUGUCUUCUCCAACCUGAAACCUUUGUAUCCUUUCUUCGAAUCUUCGCUAGUAGCUCCCUAGGAACAAGGUAGGUGUCGAACUUUACUAAAUUCUCCUUUAUUUGAGAUUUCUUAGUUCAGAAGUUUCCUUUUGGCUAUUUACGUUGUUAACUAAUUAGGGUUUCUCUCUGUUUUACCAACUCAUCUUCGCGUCAAUUUAAUAAUCAAAACUUUCUCUAAAAGGAUUUCAGAGUCUAAAGAGAUUCGUGUUAUUCAUCACAAUGAGCAACAUACAACAUAUAUAGAGUAGAUGUACAACCGAAAGCGUAAAUCUAGGGAAAUCUAUCUAGUUCAGAAGAUCUAGUUACACAGAAUAUAUGAAUCUGUUAGAGUAUAUUCGUAGAUGAUUAUGCCAAGAAUAACUGAAGAUAACCGAGCCAAAACAAACCCCUAAUAUUCUCUGUUUGUAUCGCUGAUUUCUCACAAGAGCUUGUCUUCUUUCGUGUAGAGAAGAUGGAUCUCUUAAGAAAUAUACCAGACGAGCUUAUUUGCCAUAUAUUGUCCUUCCUUACAACAAAGGAGGCUGCUUUGACAUCGGUUCUCUCCAAGAGGUGGCGCAAUCUGCUUGCUUUUGUCUCUAAUCUUCACAUUGAUGACUCUAUCUUUCUGCAUCCCGAAGAGGGUAAGCGUGACAGGAACGAAAUUCGACAGAGCUUCCUAGAUUUUGUGGGUAGAAUAUUGGCAUUGCAAGGUAAUUGUCCGGUUAAGAAAGUCUCCAUCAAGUUUCUAUUUAAGCUUGAUUCAGACCGAGUUGAUGGUUGGAUAAGUAAUGUGUUGGCACGUGGUGUUUCCGAACUUGAUCUGUCAAUCGAUUUGUGUAUGGAUGAAUACUUUCUGUUGUCUUCAAAACGUUUCGAGAGCAAGAAUCUAGUUAGGUUGAAAUUACACAGACUUUGUAUUGGCCAACGGGAAAAAACUGUUGGUUGGUUGGCUGGGGAGAUUUUCUUACCAAUGCUUAAAACUCUCGAACUUGAUUAUGUUGGGUUUUAUGGUGAUUUGUUGUUUCUUAGAGCUUUACCUGCGCUAGAGGAAUUAGUCAUUGUUGAUGCAUUCUGGUUCACGACCUUUACGGAUGUCACCGUGUCAAAUCCAAGCCUCAAGACCCUAACAAUGAGUUCCAAUAUUUAUUCAGGCAGUAUUUCAUUUGAUACACCUAGUCUUGUUUACUUUAGUCACUUUAAGUAUGUUGCUAAAGACUACCCCUUAGUUAACAUGGAAAACUUACUUGAGGCUAGGAUCAACCUUGGGGUAACUGAGGGUCAAAUCAGACGAGCAAGAGAGCCAAAUAACAAUGACGAGGUUGUUCUCCGGUUUCCAAAUGUGGGGAAGCUCAUGAAUGGCAUACGAAAUGUUCAGUGUCUAGACUUGUCUGCCAAUACUCUUGAGGUCAGUUUUUCUUUUUUCUUUUCUCUCGAGGUGAUAAAAUAGAGAAAUCCACGACGGUUAUGUUUAUUUAGUCCCAUUUUAACGAACUAGCGAGAGUCUUGUUUAGAGACAUGUAAUGGCAAAAUAUCUAAUUGUGGGUUGUCUUAUUAUCAGAUGCUUUCUCUAAGCUGUGAAUCAAUGCCAGUGUUCAAAAACCUCAAAUCUUUAUCUAUCAAGAGUGCCGAGAAUCGAGGAUGGCAAGCAAUGCCAGUUCUUCUGAGGAACUGUCCACAUCUAGAAACUCUAGUCCUUGAGGUAUAGAAAUAACUCAUUUAUCAAACAUGUACAAAGAUAUAGUUCAUACUUUGAUUUGAAUCUCUUAUUCAUGUCUUCUUUAUGCUCUCAGGGUCUCUUGCACUUUGUCACAGAUAAAUGCGGGGAUGCUUGUGACUGCGUUUCUCGAGAGGAAAAAGGUCGUUCGCUCACAUCUUGUCCAGUAAAAACGUUAGAGAUUAAAGAGUUUCAUGGAACAAUGGAAGAGAUGUACAUGAUAACGCAUUUCUUGGACUAUUUUCCGUGUUUGAAGGAGCUAAAGAUCUAUAUUGAAGGGAAUGAUCAUGCACAGCGCGAAGUGUCUGAAGUUAUCGCGGAGAAGAUAAAACUCUACAACAAAUCAUCGAGUAGCAAUGUCCAGCUUAUGGUUAGUGGUUACCAUGAAUAAGAAUACGACUGCACUGCACAAUGAAGCCUCUGAAGAACAAAACUAAAGCAUAGGUUUUUACUACCAUGAGAAAUAAGCCUAUUAUUGGUCCCGUGAAAUCUAGCAGGUAGAACAGAAUAAUAGAAAACAACGCAAUCCCAAACAAUGCAUUCGAAAGCAGUCUGUUACCAUUUUUUCUCCUUCAACUCAAUUAUGUUUAUAAGCCAACAAGAUUUCACGCGUUAUUUAACUCAGGCCAUAAACUGAUGUUUAACAUUUGUAUGAAUGCUAUACAUCAUGAACAUCGAACAUAGAAGACUUUCCUUUGUUUCUAUAUUCAUAUAUAUAUAGACUGUAGUAAAUAUUUCCCAAGUAAAGCACGAGACAAUUUUAUUAAGAUAUAGUAAUUGAGUUUCACAAGUAAUUAGCUUAAGACCUUGAAUGUUUGUAAAUUUCUACAAUGGUUUUUUUUUUUUAUCAUUCAAGAUAAAGUAAUGGGAAUCUAGCUAGAUUUUUAAAGUUUCUACAAAUUAUCAAACAAAAGACCAGAAACCAAUUCUAUUAUUCAAAUUAGAUUCGUUUUUCGAGUUGAUAAAUUUAGGUUCGGUUCACACCUCAACAAGGAGCAAAUUUUGGCCUUUUCGGAACUUCCUAUGUAGUGUAAACCUUGAAGAAAAGUCAAUCAGAAGUUUUACGUAACGCAUGCAUAUAUGUCCUCGUACUCAAAAGAAAAGCAUACACAAGAUACAUUGCAUUUACACAAACGAAACGCUCGAGCACCAUUAAUUAAUGAUGGAUUUACACUCGACAACUUUCAUUAUAUAACCAAGACUUCACGUUAUAAUCCUCUUUUCAUCUAAAACUUUUUGUGUUAUUACGAAUCUUGUUCUUUUGAAUAUUGUGUUCGAUUCUUUCCUCAAAUUUAUUGUUUCCCCUUUUUUGUGUUCGAUUCGUUGCUCUUACCAUUAUAGUUUUUGGAGCUCUUUUGACUUAAAAAAGAAAGAAAGAGAGAAAGCAAUCAAAGCCGUUGGAGACUCAUACCUGUACCCAUAACAACAAUACACGUUUUAUAAAUGGGAGAUAUUAAGUCUGACCAUAUUAUUCCAAGUUAUAAAACAUGUUGAUGUAAAAAAUGUGUGAAUGCACGUGGAUUCUAUGAAGAGAGCUCGUGUAAGCGCGGUGUAUGAAGGUAAAGAGAGAAAUAGAUCAAGCAACGGAGAGGAAACUCGAAGGGAACAGUCUAAACACGCGAGAAUGACGGCAAAAGCUCGGAUGAACGUUUACAAAGAGAGCAUGAAACCUCUGCCGCCUAAACGUAAGAAAUCGUUGAUGAUCAUAAGUUUGAUGAGAAAGAAGGAAGAUACGCAAGAUGAUCAAAAUAAUGUUACUGUUGUCGAAAAGGAAAAGGAGGAGAAAGAGAAAGGCACGGUGCAGAACAUCAGGGAAAAUGCGGAAAUGCUCUCAUCAAAAUGUGUUGAGGAGUGGCCGCACAUGUUAACAUAUGAAGAGGAAUGGACGUGGUUUGCGUUUGCGUUUGGGUGGGGAUGGUGGCAGCGUUAUGACGCGGUGAUGAGCGGUAAGAGUUGGUUUAACUAAAUAUUAAAGAUUAAGGUGUUUGUUACAAAUCAUUUUGGGUUGGUGAAACUAUAUACAUAGAUGAUAGUUGAUACUUGAUAGGAUUUCUUAAGAUAAAAGAAGAUAUUGAGAAAUCAGUGUAUGUAUAUCGACCGAAACGAAAAUAUAUCUUUAAAGGGUUCACUUUCGUUUAUGUUUAUAUACAGAGAUUUCUCAUAAUAGAUUUUCAGUAUUUUUUUUUGUUUUAUUUGGUGUUUCAAUAUUUCGAACAAAAUCCAAAAGCGUAUAUACAGACUUAGACGCUGGUGAAACAUGCAUGACUUGCAUUAUUAGAGCAUCCACAACGGUGGGAUCCAAAAAUCAAGAUUAUAGUUUGUUUUUUUCUAUUCCGCAAGAUUCAAACUAAUUGGAUUUUCGGUAGAUCUACCAACACAUAAACUACCUAUAUUGGGUUAACCAUUUUAGAAUCAAUUUUAGGAGAUAAACCCUAAUUUAAAUACAUUUUAGUUAAUAUUAAAGUUUAAACUACACGCAUGUAAGUCUACACAAAUUAUAUAAAAAACACUUCAAAGAACUUUCCGUUCACACAUUUGAUGAUUUCUUGUAGUUUCAUUAAGUCAAUGAACACACAAGUUUCAAAUUGAUAUUUCAGGUCAUUAAGACAAUGUUGACACACAAGUUUCAGAUUGAUAUGUGAGAUCAUUAAGAAAAGGGUCUUAAUCAUAAAUUUAAAAGUGGACUCUUAUCCGCAAGCCUAUCUUAUGUAUAUGGCACUGGCACCGUCCACAAAUGUGUCUAUCAUCCUUUCAAGUGGACCAUCCUUUUCCUUUAAGGUAAUAACUCUGUGUGACUGAGAUCUACAAACACAUGUUACACACUUCACAGUCCUUAUAAAGUAAAUUUACUUAUUAUUAAGAAAAUAAGAUUUUGUAACUUUUUUCCUCUUAAAACAAUGGACAAAUAUGAAUACAAAUCCAUAUGUCACUAUUAUCUAUAUUUACACAAUUUAUUCGAUUUUUUGUAUGUUGUCUUAUCUCAUCGGAAAUUUUCAAACUAGUUAACCAUCGGAAAAAAUCAAGACGCACGGAUAUAUAAAUUACAUAUUCAUAAAUCAGACAUUUGACAAUCCGAUAGAAAUUGUCUCAUAAAGAGAAAAAGAACACAGACAAUAGGAAAUGAAAUGAGCAGAGAUAAUUCAUAAGAAUGUUUUAGAAAAGAAAUUAAGCUUCGGUGAAGCUUGGGGGCUUGUAGGCAAUGAAACUGAUGCAUUGGACUUGACGGGUGUUGUCGAAUCCGAUGAUCCUAAUGAAGGCGCCCGGGUACUCCUUCUUGCAUUCUUCAACUUCCUUCAACACUUGAGCGGAGUCGGUGCAUCCGAACAAUGGAAGCUUCCACAUUGUCCAGUACCGUCCAUCGUAGUAUCCGGGAGUGUUUCCGUGCUCACGGUACACAAAUCCGUGCUAUAAACACAUAAGAAAACCAUUCAAUACAAUUGAUAUUGGAGGAUAUGCACAAGGUGAUAUAGUCUAUUUCGGUUCUACAAAAUCCGGUUAUAGGCUAAUAUUUCUAGCAAUGAAAACGAAUAAAUAAUAAUGAUUAGUAGACAAAAGAAAACUUUUGUGUUUAUUACCUCUAACUCGAAUUCAACACAAGGAAUCCACUUGUUGCGGAGAAGGUAGUCAACUUCCUUAGCCAAUUCGACGUCACUAAGGUCAGGGAGGUAAGAUAGAGUCUCAAACUUCUUCUUUCCAAUUGGUGGCCACACCUAUAAUCCCCAAAUCCAAUUCCAAAUUAAUAUAUCCUAUGUUUUGUUUUAUUGCACAUGACAAAAGACAGUUUUUAUUGAUGAUAUUACCUUCAUGCAGCUAACUCUUCCCCCGUUGCUUGCGAUGGAAGUGAUGUCCUUGUUGGUCUUGCGGGUGACCGGGAAUGCAGCGGAUGACUUCAAGCCGGUGAAUGGAGCGACCAUGGUGGCCUGAGCCGGGGAUGUAACCACAGCGGCGGAGGAGAGCAUAGAGGAAGCCAUUACUACUUCUUGUUGUUUCUCUUCUUCUUUUGCUCGUUUACUUACUGACUUGUUUUCCUACUGGUGUUGUCAUCUUUAUAUAAUGAGAACCCCCUAAAGGCGAAAAGCCCUCAUGAUCAAAGGGUCCAUGAUUCAUGAUAACGUCGUUUACUGCCACAGGAUUAAGGAAAGGUGUUGACACCCUUAUCGGUACGCACCACUAGGAUAAGGCCACGUGGCAGAAAACUCCAUUAUCUUAUCUUUUCUCUUGUGGGGGAAAUGAAGUGAAUGUGCGGUUACUGGUCUCCACUUGAUCGGUUGCUUUUGGCUCCUUUCGUUUGGGAGAAAAGAAACCAGACGCAUUACCUUAAAUUUAAUGCUUUUGGUCUUUUGGACCUCUUAUUUACCAUGUAUGAUUUAAUUUGGCUUAACACUUUCUUUGGAAAUAAGGUCGCAUUAAAAAAUAGUUAUAACAAAAUUAUUUAAAUUUGAUAUUUACAUAAAUAUAUUGUAUGAUAUUUAUCCGGACAAAAAAAAAAGCUUUAACCAUCUCCAAUAUUUGUUUCUAUUAUUUUCUUUCUGAAUAUAGAGGAAAAAAUAUAAUAGAGAUUUAUAUUUUAACUUCAAUGGUUCCUCAAAAAUUCGUUAGAAAAAAUAAAUAAGAGAAAAAAUAAAAAUCUCUAUUUUUUGCUUUAGAAAAAAAAUUAGAAAUUUCUAUUUUACAAAUGAAAAUAGAGAUGAGUUAGAGUUAAAUAAAUACAAAAAUAGAGUAUAUAAAUAAAAAUAGAGAUAGAUUCGAGAUGCUCUUAAAAAUAUUCAUUACUCUUUCCGUUUUAUUAAUAUCAAUUGUUAAGAUUUUUCAGGCAGACUUAUAAAUAAGAUUCCAUUUCAGACUAAUGGAAGUAAACCUAUCAAAAGAAUUCUAACGUGCUGUAGAGAGACUCCUUCGUCAUCGUCCCUUUUGUGAAAGAGUAAAUUAAAGAAUCCAUAAUGAGCAUAGUGUAAGAAGAACCAUUUAUCUAUUAGAUAUAUUCUAGUACUGGUAGACUGUCGAUUCUGGAUACAUCCUGAAAAUCAUUUACCACAAUAAAUUGUCGAUAAUCUUUUUGUUGGAAAAGUUAUAUAUUAUCUUCAAAUGAUAAUAUAUUAGUCGACAAAAGAAAAGCGAGACAAAAUUUGAAUACAUUGAUUUCGGUUAAUUCAAUACUUUCACUUCAUUUUUAGCAAAUAGUACUUUUAUUUCUGAUUUUUAUGUGGCUAGGAUAAAAGCAAAACCUUACUGGUUGGAGAGAGUAAAUAUUUGAGUCGAUACUAACAACAACUACAUCAUGCAAGAUAUGUUUGUGGGACAAAGAGACCGAGCGAACAAACGAAACGGCAAAACCAUCAUCUACAUGUAUCAAGUGCGCGGUAAACCCCUCAUGGAAGAAUUUCCAAGAAAACCUCCCAAAGUCCAUGGUAUCUUCUAUAUGAGGUAAUGCACGCUGCCUCUAGAUCAACAAGUAAUAUCAGCUCACGAUUAUCUUGCGACUCUGAUCACAUCACAAUAACAAUGGGGAACCCACAUACGCAACCGUUCUCCUUGGAGUACCAUGCCAUUGCACUUACGGCCCCCUCAAGCACAAAUAUGGCACCUCAAGCUGAUUUCCACCAUGCAAACUUGAGUAUGUAAUCAAAGGUGUAGAACGGAGUCAAGAACUCAUCUUAAAGUCACAUAAAACUAUGGUCAUGCACUCAUGGAUCACGACUACUACCUUCAGGCUCACAAAUUAAUGCCCCCUUUUCAAUCAUAUAUAUGAGAAGAAACGUGUACAAAGUACACAUUAACUGGUCACGAAAAAACUUUCGUGUAGGGAAAAGGAUCACAAGGUCCACUCCACUCCGCACCUCAGCUAAAUAAAUCAUUUUUCGAAAGUGAGAUAGUCUUAACUCUUAAGUCUUAACCCAUCCAUCUAAGUUACUAGUUUCUGUCUUUUAUAAGUCAUUUUGUUUCUUUUUCUUGGAUUUUAAUUGAAGCCAAAAUGUGUGAAUUAAAUCCGGGAGAUGGAAAAAAUGUUCGAUAAUUUGAAUUAUUAUUUUUAUAUGUAUUUUGUAUUUGAAUCAUGAAUUUUUUAUAUUUCGUUUGCAUAGAAGAAUCCAAAAACAUAUGAUUUUUUGUCAAAACAAAAACUUAAAACCAAACAUAUAGUAGAUGCGACGUUUUCAUUAUCAUUUGGAAUCUAGUUUUAUUUAGAACUUUUUGGGAACGUUAACUACUUUUCCUUCUAAAUAACUGUUUCAGCUUUUAAUGCAUAACCAAUGAUCAAAUUUAACGUAAACAAAAUUUCCAAAAUUUAGUAACUUCAUGCUUGACAAAUUUCAGUCUUUGUCGAUCCUUGCUUUAUGUAAUGCUAUUUCUUGACUUAAUAUCCCACUUAGGGGUUUGGAAUACAUGUUUUAUGUUUAUAAUUUUAAAAGAUGCAUUUGAAUUUUCUGUAUAUACUACCUUUUCCAAAUCUCCAAUGGCUAUGUCAUCUGAAAAAUGGUUACACUCCCUUACAUAAACUUUUCUCUAAAUAUCGAGGUUUGAUUGAUUGCUUUCAUGUGCAAAAUUUCUUAAAACAAUGUAGCAAGUUUUUCUUUUUUUAUUAGAGUUUAUUGGUUAGUCUAGGGAGUCAAAAGCAAGAAUUAUGAGGAUAAUUUAAAGGAGCCACAAUGUUGUUUAAAGGAGCUAAACGAAAAAUAAGAUUUCAAAGAUUUAAGGGCAAAAAUGAAAUGAAAUGAUAACUAUAAUUAUAGAGAAACUGAUAGGAAUAACAUUUUCACUUUCAAACAAUAGUUCCUCAACUGUUAAGUCGGCAAAUAAUUUCUUAAAUUUGCAUUGACCACAUAGAAAUGGGUUCCAGAAUAAUCAACGCUGAAUAUUCCAGAAAGGGGAUUAAGCUUCGGUGAAGCUUGGGGGCUUGUAGGCAAUGAAACUGAUGCAUUGGACUUGACGGGUGUUGUCGAAUCCGAUGAUCCUAAUGAAGGCGCCAGGGUACUCCUUCUUGCAUUCUUCAACUUCCUUCAACACUUGAGCGGAGUCGGUGCAUCCGAACAAUGGAAGCUUCCACAUUGUCCAGUAUCGUCCAUCAUAGUAUCCGGGAGUGUUUCCGUGCUCACGGUACACAAAUCCGUGCUAUAUAUAAAGAAAACCAUUCAAUACAAUUGAUAUAUAUAUUGGUGAUAGUCUAUUUCGGUUAUCCACUUAAGUUUCUAGCAAUGAAGAAGAAGAAUAAAGGAUGCUUAGAGACAAAGGAAAAGUUCAGUGUAUAUUACCUCCAACUCGAAUUCAACACAAGGAAUCCACUUGUUGCGGAGAAGGUAGUCAACUUCCUUAGCCAAUUCAACGUCACUAAGGUCAGGGAGGUAAGAUAGAGUCUCAAACUUCUUCUUUCCGAUUGGUGGCCACACCUAUAAAUUCGAAUUCCCAAUUAUUCUAAAGUAUUGUUCAGUUGCACUAAUUGCACAUGACAAAAGACAGUUUUCAUUAAUGACAUUUACCUUCAUGCAGCUAACUCUUCCUCCGUUGCUUGUGAUGGAAGUAAUGUCGUUGUUGGCCUUGCGGGUGACCGGGAAAGAAGCGGAUGACUUCAAGCCGGUGAAUGGAGCGACCAUGGUGGCUUGAGCCGGGGAGGUAACCACAGCGGUGGAGGAGAACAUAGAGGAAGCCAUUACUUCUUCUUGUUGUUUCUCUUCUUCUUUUGGUUUUUCUCUUACUUACUUGUUUGUCUGUUGGUUUUGUCAUCUUUAUAUAGUGGGAACCGCUAGAGGCAACUAGCCCUAAUGAUCAAAGGGGCCAUAAUUCAUGAUAACGUCGUUAAUUGCCACAGGAUUAAGGAAAGGUGUUGACACCCUUAUCGAUUUGGACCACUAGGAUAAGAUCACGUGGCAGAAAACUCCAUAAUCUUAUCUUUCUCAUGUAAGGGUAGGAGUGAAUGUGUAUGGCUACUGGUCUCCACUUGAUCGGUUGCUUUUGGCUCCUUUCAAUUGGGAGGCGUCAAAUUGUAGAUAUCGGUUAAAUACUUUUUACAUAUAGAUUAAAAAAAUGAUUAAAUUUCUAUUACCUUAUAUUAACACAUUCAUAUUUUUAUUUUUCCACUUGAUAAUCUUAAAUAAUAAGAAUAUAAGUAUAAUCUUUGAAUUCAUCCCACAUUUUAAAAGUAUAAUUAAAUCAGACAGAGUUCAUUCAAAAUGGUUUUUAAUUGGGAAAUGUAAACUAGUAUUUUGUGUUAUUAUUUUCUAUGUAGUAUGUACGAUCACUAGAACUUUUAGUCACAUAAUGGAUAUUAAAUUAGAAAACAAUCCAAAUGCUUGUGAAUUUUCAGGUUUUACGGCUAAUUAAUAUAUUUCUGAUGAACAAGAGGAACCCACGGCACCGUUCCUUUUGGAGCACAACGCAAUUGCACUUACGGCCCACUUAAGCACGAAUGUGGCACCUCAAGAUAAUUCCCACCAUGACAACUUAAGCACAAAAGCCAUGACGGAUCAUGGGGAAAUUUUAUAACACACUUCAAUGGAUGGUGUGGAUCCGAGGGAAGAAUCCACACUCUAAGGCCACAUGAAGAAGCUCAUAUGGUCAUGGGUCCACGAAUACCACGUAAAAGCUCAUAUAUGCCCCGGUCCAACCAUAUGAGAAGAAGUAGCCAAACCCAUUCAAGAAACAUUGAUUACUUUUCAUUGUAAAUAAGUGUUUUAGCUUUGAAUGUAUCGUAAACUAUCUAAUUUAAUGUAAAACAGUUUCCAAAUUAUAAAUAUUCAUGCUUUGUUAUCUCCAUUAUAAAUUUCAUUAAUUCUUGCGUGUCCUUGCUUGCUAUGAUGUCAUCUCUAAAUUUUUGGACUUGCGGCUCUAGAAUUCAUGUUUAUGGAUUUAAAAUAUACAGUUGGAUUUUUCUAUGUCAUUUUAAAAAAGAAAAUUUUUAGAUUAGAUUUUAAAAAGAGAAAUAAACGUGUUUACAACUUAAUGCAUACUUUUUUGAAAAACAAAUCUAAAACAGAGGAUUUGGUCUUAAGCUUGUCUUGUACCAAACCAAACUUGAAGACCUCCUUCAUACUUCAAAGCUCCCCCCACUCCGUAUUGUGCUCAGCCGGUUCCAAACAUUUUUGUCAAUUAACUUGACAAGUUUCUCCAUUGGUGAUGGUUGUUCACCAUGCUUUCAAGCAUUUCUUUCUCCCCAAAUCGAAUGAACCGUGUUUUGGAAGACAUACCGUAGAAUGAAGAUUUUUGUUUUGUCAUAGUUUUUGUCACAAAUGGUUUUAAAGACUUCCCUCCAAUAUGUCGAGUACUUAUCAAGUAGUAUUCCCCUUAUCAGCUUCUCCCAUACCUUCUGCGAGUAAGAGCACCCAAAAAAAAGAUGGUGUCUUGUUUCCAUAGGUUCGUGACAGAACAUGCAGUUUGUGUUCACUUGUUGAUUCCAUUUAAACAUUCUGUCUCCCGUGGCAACUCUGUUUUUUGAAGCUAGCCAACUGAGAAAGGAGUAGUUAGGGUAAAGUAAAAGAAACAGAUCCCUUUGUAUCCGUCCAUCGUAGGCUUAGUGUUGCGAAUUUUUGAGCAUGUAUCUCUUGUGACAAACUUUUGACGGUAGUGAUCAUUUUUUCCUUUCCAAAGGGCUAUGUAACUUUCAUCUUCUCUGAGACGACAUCUCUAUUUUCUACGUAUUUUUACUACCUUUACUGGCUGUUUUUCAUCUUUAAAUUAAAAUGUUCUAAAUCAACCCUCAAAAUUUGAUUGAUGGACGCAUCUUUGCUAUGCUUUCAAGUGCGAAAUGUACCUAAAAAGGGUACUCUUUCAUUAGAGAACCAAAGGCAAGAAUUAGGAGAGAAAUUUAAAGGAACUAAAAUGUUAGUUAAAAGAGAUAAAACGAAUAAAAAGAGUUAAAAGUGAUAAGAGCAGAAAUGAAGUGAUAUGAAUAGAGAUUUUUAUAGAGGAAACGAUAGAAAAACAAACCUUCAGUUUUUUCACUUUGGCAAAAUAAUUACUUAAAUUUACAUUGACCAUACAAAAUUGGGUUCCGGAUAGUCAACAUUGAAUAUUCCAGAAAAGGAUUUAAGCAUCAGUGAAGCUUGGGGGCUUGUAGGCAAUGAAACUGAUGCAUUGGACUUGACGGGUGUUGUCGAAUCCGAUGAUCCUAAUGAAGGCGCCCGGGUACUCCUUCUUGCAUUCUUCAACUUCCUUCAACACUUGAGCGGAGUCGGUGCAUCCGAACAAUGGAAGCUUCCACAUUGUCCAGUACCGUCCAUCGUAGUAUCCGGGAGUGUUUCCGUGCUCACGGUACACAAAUCCGUGCUAUAAACACAUAAGAAAACCAUUCAAUACAAUUGAUAUUGGAGGAUAUGCACAAGGUGAUAUAGUCUAUUUCGGUUCUAAAAAAUCCGGUUAUAGGCUAAUAUUUCUAGCAAUGAAAACGAAAAAAAUAAUAAUGAUUAGUAGACAAAGGAAAAGUUUUGUGUAUAUUACCUCCAACUCGAAUUCAACACAAGGAAUCCAUUUGUUGCGGAGAAGGUAGUCAACUUCCUUAGCCAAUUCGACGUCAGUAAGGUCAGGGAGGUAAGAUAGAGUCUCAAACUUCUUCUUUCCGAUUGGUGGCCACACCUAUAAUUCCCAAUUCCCAAUUAUUCUUAAGUAUUGUUCAGUUGCACUAAUUGCACAUGACAAAAGACAGUUUUCAUUAAUGACAUUACCUUCAUGCAGCUAACUCUUCCCCCAUUGCUUGUGAUGGAAGUAAUGUCGUUGUUGGCCUUGCGGGUGACCGGGAAAGAAGCGGAUGACUUCAAACCAGUGAAUGGAGCGACCAUGGUGGCUUGAGCCGGGGAGGUAACCACAGCGGCAGAGGAGAGCAUAGAGGAAGCCAUUACUUCUUCUUCUUCUUCUUUUGCUUAAUUGUUUUUCUAUUGGUUUUGUCAUCUUUAUAUAGUGAGAACCGUAAGAGGCAAAAAGCCCUAAUGAUCAAAGGGUCCGGGAUUCAUGAUAACUCGUUCACUACCACAUGAUUAAGGAAAGGUGUUGACACCCUUAUCUUAUCUUUCUUUUGUGAGGAAAUGAGUGAUUGUGUAUGGUUUACUAGUCUCCACUUGAUCGGUUGCUUUGGCUCCUUCCUUUUGGAAGAAAAGAAAUCAGAUGCAUGACCGUAAAUAUAAUGUUUUGGACCUUUUAUUUAUCUUGUAUGUAUUUUUAAAAUUUGGUUUACAUUACUUCGGUUAAUAAAUACUAUAACAGGAAUAUCUAUAAACAGAGUCAUGACUCAUAAUGCAUUUCACAAUGUCAAAGCUGAACGUUGAGAUAAAUUUAUCAAUAGCACUAAAUAUUAAUCCGCGGUAUACCGCGGGUCUAUAUUUUCAUUAAAUAAAAAAUAAUUGAAUAUUUCUUAGGAUGACUUAAUAAAUUUCUGCUAUUGUUUGAUUUAAAUGUAUAAUUCACCGCGAGACAAAAUUUUAUAACUCAAAUUUUAAAGUUUUAAGUUGUAUUUGUUUAUUUUGUUAAAUGUUUAAUAUUGUAUAAUUGUAUUUUGAUUGUUGUUUCUCGGAUUUCACCCGUAGUACACCAUCCCAUAUUAAUAUCGAAUCAAACCCGUCAAUUCUAGGAUUUCACCUGUGGUAGUAUUUAAUUGUAUAAUAAUAACUUGAUUGUCAUUCUAGGAUUUCACUCCUAGUUCUAUCGCAAAUUAUUAUCAACUCAAACCAGUCAAUUCUAAAAUUUCACCCGUUGUACACCAUCCCAUAUUAAUAUCGAAUCAAGCCCGUCAAUUCUAGGAUUUCACCCGUGGUAGUAUUUAAUUGUAUAAUUAUAUUUUAAUUGUCAUUCUAGAAUUUUACUCCUAAUUCUAUCGCAAAUUAUUAUCAACCUAAACCAGUCAAUUCUAAAAUAUCACCCGUAGUACACCAUCCCAUAUUAAUAUCGAUUCAAACUCGUCAAUUCUAGGAUUUCACCCGUGGUAGUAUUGCGAGAGAAAUCUUAUAAAAGAAUCGAAAUGUGUUUUAAAAAAAUUAAAGUUUUAAGUAUUUUUUUUUAAUAUUGUUAAUUUUGUUUAGUGCUUAAUAUUAUAUAAUUAUAUUAUGAUUGUUAAUUAUAGGUUUUUUUCGUAGCAUAUCAUCCAAUGUUAUAAUUCACUCAAAGCCGUCACACCAUAUAACCCCGUCCCGUUAAAUUAAACACAAAUUUGUCAUUUUAUUAUAAAUUUCAAAUAUUUAUAAAAUUAGAAACUUCAAAAAAGAUUAAUAUUGACCCAAACUUCAUCAUUGAAUUUUGAGUGUUAUAUCUAAGAUUUCUCUCGCAGUAUAUCGUCCCGUAUUAAUAUCUUUUAUAUUGUUUAAAUUUCUUGUAAAAUUUGAUUUAUAAUUUUUUGAAACUUUUUAAAGUUUCAAUUCUUUAAAAUAAAUAACCCUAGUAAACAAACCAUUUUAAUUUUGGACACCUCAUAAAUCAAGUUUCAUGCUCAUUCGUAAUCGAAAUUAUUUUGGUCCUUUUUAUAGUAUGGCUCUGAACCAUUGUCCAAUUUUUUUAAGCGAUGUGGGACAUUGUACAAUCGUAAUUAUUAUCCACCCAAACCCGUCCUACCAUAUAACCCAGUCCCGUGAAAUUAAACAUAAUUUUGUCAUUUUCUUAUAAAUUUCAAUAUUAUAAAAUUUGAAACUUACAAAAAAUAAAAUAUCGACCUUGAUUAUAUUUAAGAUUUUUCCUGUAAUAUAUCGUCUUGUAUUAAUAUAUUUUAUAUAUAUAUUUAUAAUGUUUAAAUUUCUUGUAAAAUUCAAUUUAUAAUUUUUAAAACUUUAUCAGUUUUAAAAUUAUAAAUAUUUAAAGUAUUUUUUAAAGAUAAACUUUAUAAAAAGUUUUUAAAAUUAUAAUAUUUAACUUUUGAUAAAGUUAUAAUAUUUAUAAUUUCUUGAAACAUUUUAAAGUUUCAAUUCUUUAAAAUAAAAAACCCAAGUAAAUCGGAUAACUAUUUUAAUUUUGGACGACUGAUAAAUCAAGCUUCCUGCUCAUUCGUAAUCAGAAUCAUUUUGGUCCUUUUAUAAUAUGGGUCUGAAACAUUGUCCAAUUUUUCUAAGCGAUGUGAGACAUUGUAUACAUAUUAUUUCUUCAUACUUUGAAUAAUAUAUGUCCGUUUAAAAAAAUUUGAAUUACAUCAUAUGCAGAAAAAAAUAUAAUAUUUUAUUAACUAUAUAUAUUUUAUAUAAAUUCAAAAUAAAUAAAGUAUAAGAUCAAAUAAAAGUGAAAGAAGAAUUAUAUAUUUAUGUUUAAAUUAGGUAAAAAUAUUUUAGGAAAUUAGUUAAGGUAAAUAACAAAUAUGGUUCGUUUAGAGAUAUUGUUUAUAUUAAAUUUGGUAAUUAAAUCAUUAAUUUUUGUUUUUAAUUAUUAGUUUUUAGGUAACUUUUCCAAAAAUUAAUGUUAUCGAAGAUCAGAACAUAAUUAAACAUGUUAUCCAAGAUCCGAACAGAGUUAAACCGGGUUAUACCCACCCAUUUGAAUUAAUUGUUGAAUUAUGGCUCAAAUCUUCAAUAUUAUCUUCUAAAAACGUCUACAAAAAUGUAUAUAUAGAAGAUUACUCUUUUUAACUAAAUGCAAAAAAGGAAAACCGAUAAGAAUAAGAAAAAAAUAGCAAAAUUGAUAAAUGGAUUAGUCAAGAAAACCAUGUUUAAAUAUAGGAAAUACCAAAAAUGAAAGGAUAGCCAUGUGAUACGCUUGUAUAAAAAGAAAUUGUCCCUAUUGAUUACUUCAAAAAAAAAAAAAAAAAAUAAAUAAAUAAAUAAAUAAAGAGGCCAAUUCGACAAUAAAGGCAAUGCAUAGUCUCUCGUGGUUUCUCCUCGUCAUUGGAUUAUCCGUAGGGUUGAGUAGCGGAAAGUGGAAUGAGAAAAACUCUGUCAUCUUUACGAAUUCUCUUGGUCGGAACAAAGUCUUGAAAGUAAAUUGCAUAUCAAAUGAUGACAAUCUAGGCUUCCACUUUUUGCGCCAUGGACAAACCUACGAUUUUAGUUUCCACGAUAGUCUUUUCAAAUCAGAAUUCUAUUGUGACCUAUGGCAAGGCCCUAAUUUCAAGUUGCAUGCAGCAUUUACGGCAUAUGAAGGUGGUGGUUUGAUAGUUCAUUAUGGUAAAAAGAACUUUUGGGAUGUUAGAGAUGAUGGGAUCUAUUUCACCCAUGGCCAAAAAAUGCCCAAGUUAGAGUAUACGUGGAAGUAAUAAUUAAUCACUCAAAGGGAAAAGAUGGAAUUUAACUCAUCUUUUUGUUUUAAAGUUUGACAGAAACUUCAUUUUCUUGUGUAUUAUAGUGGACGUGAAACAUUGUAAUAAAUCAUCAAAUUAAGGCACCUUAAUAUGUAAAUGUAUCUUUAGUGUAUUAAAGAGAAACUUUAUAAGUAUGUGAGUUUUUCAAUACGCAAACAUAUCCAAGGCUUACGUCCUAACCAAAACUAAUAUUAAUUUGCACAUAUAUACAUGAUUAAUGAAUAAUGUAAGUAGACAGAGUGAGAGAUCACCCACCAGCUCUCCCUCUCCCCAAGUCAGCUUUCAUUUCAAAUCCUGAAAGGUAUCGUCGCUUGGUAGGGCGACUUAGCUACUUAAUUAGCUGACACCUGAGUUAGCCUAUUCAGUUCACAAAUUAGCACAGUUCAUGCAACAUCCACUUUAAGAACACUGGGAUGCUGUGAUAUGGGUGGUUCCGAUAUCUAAAAUCCAAUCCGCGCCAAGGCCUUUUGCUUCCCAGCUCAUCGACUUUGCAGCGUCAUGGUUGGUGUGAUAGUGAUUGGGCCGCCUGUCCUCUUACUAGACGCUCUCUCACAGGUUAUUUUGUACAACUUGGUGACACAAAAAUCUCAUGGAAAAUGAAGAAACAACUGACUAUCACUCGCUCUUCCGCAGAAGUCGAAUAUCGAGCCAUGACAUUUCUUACUCAAGAACUUAUUUGGCUUAAAAAGGUGAUGCAUGAUCUUGGUGUCUCUCAAGAUCGACCUAUGCGCAUAUUCUCUAACAAUAAGUCCGCUAUUGCUCUAAGUGCCAAUCCGGUUCAACAUAAACGUACAAAACAUAUUGAGGUGGAUGGUCACUAUAUCCAUGAUAUCCAUGCUGGUAUUAUGACUACUACCCAUGUGUCCUCUCAACAACAAUUAGCAGACAUUCUCACUAAGGCGUUGGGACAAAGAGAGAACUCCAUUUCUUUCUCUGCAAGCUGGGCAUUCUUGAUGUAUAUGCUCCAACUUGAGGGAGGGUGUUAAAUAUAUUUGCUACUUAUAUUCUUAUUAUUAGAGUGCAUCUUAGUCAAUAGCUACUAGUCAAGCUUAGUCAACUCUACUUUGCCCCUUUUGGUUUUUCCAUGGUAACCACAUUAUGUACUUUAGGUUAUAUCAUCUUUUUGUAUAAUUAUGGCUUUUAACGCCUAAUCAAGAUAACACAAAUUAAAACCAAUCUCUGUCUCUUGCCUUAAAUCUGACACUCUUUUGGAUAAGUUUCUUUUAAAAGCGUUUAAGAAAAAUUUCAACAUUGCUAAUUAUGAGAUAUAUGUCAACAAACUCAAGGCAUUGUUUUAUAAGAAUACUAGAUAUUUCGCCAAACCACUCAUGCUAUAAUGGGAGUGAAAGUCUUAAAUUGGAAUAUUAAGAAUAAGAUCUUUUAUCAUGACUCGUAAUUCAUAUCACAAAUGUCAAAGCUGAACGUUUCAAUAAAUCUAUCGAAAGCAUUAAUCCUUUAAAUAGAUGUGAAACAGCGAAAUAGAUAAGGGCACAAAGAAAACAGUAAAAGCGAUCAACAAGUUCGUAUGAGUCAAAACUCAAAAAAAAAAACAUGUUUAAAAAUAGGAAAGACCAAAAACUAACGACUAACCAUGUAAUACACUUGUAUAAAAAGACACUAUCCGUCUGUCCCUUUUCAUUAUCUACAGAUUAAUUACUUCUGAAUUUAAAAGAAGGAAGGCCAAUUCAAACAGUCAACAAUGAAUCGGCUCUCGUGUUUUCUGCUCGUUAUUGGAUUGUGCAUAGGAUUGAGUAACGCAAAUUUAAUAUGGAAUGAGAAAAACACUGUAUUCUUCAAGAGUUCCCUUGGUCGAAACAAUGUUUUGAAGAUUCAUUGCACAUCAGAAGACAAUCUAGGUUUCCAUUUUUUGCGUCCUGGAGAAACCUAUGAUUUUAGUUUCCAUGAUAGUAUUGUGAGAUCAGACUUUUACUGUGAAUUAUGGCAAGGGCCUAAUUUCAAGUUUCAUGCAUCAUUUAUGGCAUAUCAAGGUGGUGGUCUCAUAGUUCAUUAUGGUAAAAAGAACUUUUGGGAUGCUAGAGAAGAUGGAAUCUAUUUCACUCAUGGCAAAGAAACGCCCAAGUUAGAGUAUAAGUGGAAAUAAUAAUUAACCACUCAAUGUAUGAUGGAAUUGAGAUCAUCUUUUUUUACUUUUAACAAAAGCUUAUUGUUCUUGUGUACUAUUGUGGAAGGGAAACCUUUGAAAUAAAUUUAUCGAAAGUAUGUGAACUUUUGAAGACGAAAACUUUCAAUACUUAAGUCCUCAUCUAAACUAAUAUUUGUAGUUAAAUGAUUAAUGAAUAAUUAAUGUGAGAAAAUCCCUAAAAGAAUGGUGGAAAAAAAGGAAGAUGUGUCAAAUGAUUUUUGACUCAAAUUAGUUAAUCGGUAAACUAAAUACCUGAGUUAUGUAUGCUUUGGCAAAACACACUUAAUUGGGCUCACUAAUUGAAUUUACAGAUUAAGAUUUCGUCAAAGCCCAACAAAUAACGAUAUCCUAAUAUUUUUGUAGUAUAUGCAGCCCAUCACUUUAAAAAUUCCCGAACCAGAAUGCUACAUCAAAAUUAUAGCAUUCACAACAUGUUUCUUUUUGUCCAAGUGAGUUUGGAUGUAGAAAUUUGGAUACAAAACAAGUUGCAUAUUAUGAUGCAAUCGAAACUAGAGUUUAAAUGCAUCAAUUCCAUCUAUAACUAAUUAACGUAAACGACUAAAAAUCAACUAAUAUUGUCUAUGUCGACCCAAGUUAAUUCGGGUCCGCUUUUGCGAUACUUCCAGGGAUUUGUUCUAUUUUACCUUGCUUGUAGGACAUGUUCUAUGUUCUAAGCUUUUACAAUUCAGGUUGUAAGUGAAGCGUAUUUUUGUUUCAUUGCUUGUAAAUGAAACAACACAUAGUUUGUUAACGGAGUUGAUGGUUUCUAACCGCUAUAUCUCGUAGAAAAACUCUUGCUCCCAAGCUUCACUAUAUAAGGAAGAGGUUGCACACAUGACAUCACUACUAACUUUCGAUGUUGUCUUUUAAUUUUACGUUCACUCCAGAAACACAAGGAUAAAAACAACACACACACACACAAACAAAACAAAACAAAACAAAACUUGCUUGGAAAAUCUUAGUUUUUCACUUUCUCUAAAACUCUUUUUUCUUUUUUCGUCUUGUAUCACUUAUUACAUUUAUAUCUGAGCCUUUGUUAUGUAUAUAUAGCUGUAUGCAUUUGGGGCAAAGCCCUUCCGAGAACAUGUCUCCCUUCUAUGUCAAACUUCGUCUUGUGACUCUUGACCAUGAAAGCCCAUUUUUUGGGUGUGUUAGAGCAUCUCCAACAAGCCUUCUAACCUUCAAUUUAUUUUGAACCCUCUAACCCUUAUAUUUUUAGGAUGUAAAUAGUGCACCUCGAAUUUUAUGGUGCAUUUUUUACACCCUCAGGCCUCAACAACCAAAACUGAUUAUUGUUAAUAUUGCACAUAACAAGAGAACGGAAAAAUACCUUGGUAGUUUCAUAUCUGUAACAUAGUCAGACGUAUCAUUAGUUUAUUUAAAACAGUUGUACCACGAUUGUCUACGAAUACAGAAAAGGAAAAAAAAAACGAAUAUGAAAUUUUUUCCAAGGAAAAAUAACUAGUACUACGAUUUAAUGUACAAAGAUAUAACUUAAAAACCUCUGUCAAAAAUAUCAUAUAAUAAAUAUUUCUUAUAUUAAAUAUAGGAAACACAAUUCAAUAUGUAUAAGAAAAACAAUAGUAUUUUCACAUUUCCACCAAAUCUUCUAUGAUUUCAAAGAUUUUUAAUCUUUUGAUAGUGGAAGGAUCUUUGUUUAUAAUCGUCAAAGAAGAUACAGUAUCACAAUUAGAUUUAGAUACACAUGCGUGUGCAUGUAUUUUCUAAAAACAAGAAAAAUUAUACUCUCAUAUAAUAUGCAUUCUCACUUACGAAUAACUAAUUUGCAUAGGGUGUUGAUUGCGAUACUGAAUUGAUCAAAAGAUUAUUUCUUUGCUAUGUUCUUUAUUGGGGCGUAUCUAAAAUUAUGACGAUAUGUUUUUGACUUGUCAAUUCAGAAGAUUGUACCACUGAAUUAUUCUAUACAUAUUAUAAAAAUUAUACAUUUCAAAUAUGUUUUUUUCCACAUUUUGUACGAUUUUCAGACUUGAACUUUCAGAAGAAAAAAAAAACAUUUGCCUUUAAAAAUACAAACUAUAUUCAAAAUCUAAUUGAAAACAAAGAAUGACAGAAGACAACACAAAUGCGCAAAAAAAAAUAAAAAAAUCAUGAUCGUACAUAUGAAAGAGUUUCUUUUAAAUUUAUCAAAAAAAAAAAAUCGUGAAGGAUUUUCUUUUAAAACUUUUUUUAACUUUCUGCAAUGUGGUAUUUUUAUACAUAUGCCACAUAACACAAAUGUUUUUUUUUCUUUUCCAUUUAAUCCGACUAAGACCUAAUAAUUAAAAGAUAUACCUAUCAUAAGUUACCAGUUUUAUUUAUUUCUGAUCAAUUUCAAAGGUUACUGACCACAUAUCAAAAAAUAUUAUAAGAUAUAAAGAAGCAAGAAUCAACCUUAGUCAUUGUAAGUGCAAAGGCUGCCACCAAACUUAACCAAGAAAAAUUAAAUAUGAACUCCUUUUCCCCCAUCACUAAUCAUUCUUUUUGUUUCUUUGAUUAUUAAAUUUCAUGUUUUAUGUUUGUUUAUUAUUUUAAGGCUUAUCUAGAUUGAACCCAUCUUAAUAUUACAUUAUGACUUAUUAUUAUUGAAUUUCAACUCACUUUCUAAGCCAAUAAAGGUGAUCGAUGGACAUAUGCUUUUGGCCUUAUGCCAGAGAGUUAUUGAUUUAUACCAGUUGCAGUCUCAAAGCACAUAAUAUGACCUUACACAUAGACAACAGUCACAACUUUUCAUAUCUUUGUGUCUUUAAAUUAGAACUAAGAAGAUUUAUUUAUAUAUGUACAACUAGUCUUUUUUGAAUAAACUAAAACAAAAGCUUUAAUUUGGCCUAAAGAAAACACAAUCAUUUGGAAGAUGUGGUAAUUAUAUAAUACAUUUAUUCGAAAUCUCCUUCUCAGCCUUCUUACUUCGAAUAACAUAUCUACUAUAUUUUUGGCAUAUCAAUAGUUUUUUUGGAGUUUUAAAAGUAUGUGUAUAAAAGAAGUUUAAGAAUAACAAUUCAAAGAUAUAUGUCAUCCAUAAACAUAUUUCUUCUACUACCAUAGAUCAUAUUAAAUUCAUUUACUACACAAGUUUAUGUUUCAAAUACUAUAUUUUAAAACAUGUUACAUAAACCAAUCAUGCGGGUUUUUGAGUUUGUUCUCGUCACACUUUACACAAAACAAUAGAAAAUGUCUUUUUGAGGAAAAAGAAUUAACAUAAUUUGAUGUCAUAGUAACAUUUAUUCCGAUUUGUAUCCCUCAUGAAAUUCAAAAUCUCCCUCAAUCUCAAAAUCUUCCUUCUAGCCGUGCUUUACCAAGGCAUUCCAAAUCAAACUAUUUAAACCGCGAAAAUCCUCAUGAAACCAAUGGCUUCAAUAUCACUUGAACUCCAUACUUAGGUUUUAUAGUAAGCACAACGAUUGGGGCAUGCCUAUAAUUCUUUGAUAUUGUGAAGUUAAACUUUGAAAUUAACGUGGCUAAUAUUAUUUUAGCUUCCAUCAACGCAAACUGUUGUCCGAUGCAGUUCCGUGGACCGGCUGCAAAUGGGAUGAAAUGGCGACCAGACGCGAAUGGUCUGCCUCCAAAACGUUCGGGAUUGAAUUGGUUCGCGUCUUUACCCCAUAAUUCUUCACUGUGAUGGAUAGCAAGAACCGGUAUCCAUAUUGAUAAACCUUUAGGAAUGGUUAGAUCACCUAGUUUUAGAUCUUCAAAUGCCAUCCUUGGUAGAAGAGUAGCUGGAGGGUAAAGUCUUAGUGACUCGUUAAUCACUUUGCUUAACUGUUCCAAAGACAAAGAAAAAGAAGUUAGAAGACUAUUCUAUUAAUUCAUUUUGGAAUCAUAUCUUUGUGAUCAUGCGAAGUGCUUCUUGACUCUUUCUCAAACAUCUUUUAGUUUGGGAAUUGACUUUUCCUUUUGAAAAAAAUAUCAAUGAAGCUGUCAAGAUCUAAUCAUUAGUUAAUACAUGUUUAGAUUUCUUAGAUAAUAUUUUAUGCAAAGCAUGCCUUAGUGCUAAUCACUAAACAAAUGGAAGAUGUCUUAUUUAACCAUUUAUUUAUGCCUGAAAGAUCUAUUUACCAAUAUCUAUAUCGUAUCAAAUUUCAAACCUGGCUUAACCAAUGCUAAUCAUAUCUAAAUAGUAUCACUAUAAAACUAAUCAGAAAGUAUGAUUCUAUGUAAAUCGGUUAUAAUAAACAUGUAACGAUUUAACCCAAUAUGAAUAUAUCUUUAAAGCUCAAUAAACAUACACAUUGUUAAAAAACAAUAUUUGUGUUCUAACUAGGAUUGAAGAUAAAGGAAUAAAGACAAAAUUAAAUGAUAUCUACUCAUUAGGGUUCUUCUGUGCCGACUAUGACUAUGUUAUAAGCUUAGUUAUGGAAGAAGCACUACGAUGCUAGUGGCAUUGUCUAUACUGUGUUAAAUGUUAAUACCCCACACGCACCCAUCCAUCCAUCAUAAAGCUAAUUCUACUAGUCAAAUAAAUUAAUAGGUUACUAUAAUAUAUAGUUAUAUGAUUAUUAUUUGGAGCAAACAACAAAUAUUAUCUUUUUAUAUCUAUGAGUUAAUGGAGUUCGAGUCACUGAUGCGUGGUCAGACAAAAACUUAAGGUUGAAAAGUUGAAACGGUCACUGAUGGAUUAGUACUAAACCGUAUUUUCAUGAUUUUUUAACAACACCAAACUCAUGAAUGGUGAGCCGACGUAACCGCAAGUAGACUAAUAUGUCUCGUCUGCUAGCUAUUUACGUUCCAAACUUAGGUAAAACUUAAUUCCUAUGUUAACAAUCUCACCAAAAGAUAAGACUUUGCAAGAGAAGGACUAAUUUUAUGUCUAGAUUUUAGAAGUUAUUGUAUAAUAUGUAUUGAAAAGUGAAUGUACGUACCGAGGUUAGCUUAGAUAGUUGAUCGACUGAGGGAAGGCCAUUGCGGCCAAAGACCUCCCUGACCUCCUCACGGACUUUUUCCUGCCAUGUGGGAUUAUCGGCGAGGAGCAUUGUUGUCCAUGUGAGGAGCAAAGCCGUGGUUUCAUGGCCAGCAAAGAAGAAUGUCUUGCAUUCAUCCAUUAUCAACUGAAGAUUGUUGUUGUUAUUGUUAUUGUUCUUGUCAAUAUCCAUUUCGUUCAAGAGAAGCCCGAGAAGGUCGUCACCGUGAGUGCUACUCCUACCCAUUUCAGCGCAGUCUCGCCUGCUUUGUAUGAUCUCAAUCAACAAACGCUCAACUUCUUUUUUCAGAGACUUGAUCUCUCUGUUGUAUUUGCUUGGAAGAAACCUACAUAUACAAAAGAUUUGUUAUUAAGUCAAUGUUAGACCACAGUUAAAGUUUAAUCCUAAAACAAUAUACGUUUUAAAGCUUCACCGAGGAUCACAACAAAUAAAUAGAAAAACUAAAUUUUGUUAUGUAUAACUUAAUGUUUAAGAAUUUGUAUGGUGGCAGCCGCGGUCUGUCUGCUGCCACCAUUACUGAAAAUAUAGAGAUUAAUUACGAUUUCUAGGGUGAGGAAGAAAACCAACCGGCUGCCGGGAAAGCAGAGGUGGCGGGUGGCUUGAGCGCAACGGCGCUGGAGGACAGUGAGGUGGUUGAAAAGCUCUUUGCCUUUCUCAAAGCUGCUUCCGAACUUUGUCCUCGAUAUAAUAUCAGCCGUGAGUUUAUGCAUCUCCUCUCCUAUCUCCACCUCAUUUGCUCCUUCCCCAACUUCCUUCCUCAACCUCUCAACUAGCUUGCUUGUGCACUCCACCAUAUGCCUUGCGUAUCCCUACAUCAUAAGGGUACUUCAGUCAUUCAACGUCAAGUAACUAAGCAUUGUUUUUUGCAUGAGGCUAGUUUAUUGACGUGCCUUGAGUCUUUCUCCGGUAAAUGCCGGUGCAGCAAGGUGGCGUUGGUGGUGCCAAUCUUGGCCAUUAGCCAUUAGGAGACCGCGACCGAUAAAAUUCUUAGUCCCUUGUUGUUGUAGCCACGAUCUUCCACUAACACCGUUGUGUUUCAUCAGCAACUCCUUUAUCAAUUCCGUUUCCGUUAAGCAAAGCCGAGGAUCCGUCCCGUUCCACACAAUAAACCUCUUCCCUGUUUCAUCAAAACGUAAAUUUAUCUAAGGAUUACUCAUUUUAUUACAUGUAACCCUCCUUUAAUCAAAGGCCAAACAUUCUUCAGUAUGUUUUACGGAGAAAAAACAAAAAAUACAUGGAGGGUAUUUCCGUCAUUUUAUCUGGCUCCAUUGAUAGAUGUCACUUACAAUUAACAGACCAACUUAAUAACGAAAUCUAUGUAUAGACUUCACGACCAAGAAAACACAAACUUGUUACAAUUCAAGACCAUACCGUAUUGUUUGGACCAAGCAACGUAAUGCGGGAGAAGGCGGCCGACGAUGUCAUGGUGAAUAGAGUCACAAUCCUUGGAAGCGGAUUGCGAAACCAUGGCCGAGAUUUCAAGGAUAUUUCCGGUUAACGGACGCGGUUUAGGACCCGUUACGCCUUGCUGUUCCAUGAUCUUCUUGAUUCGUCUAGGUGUUAGCCAGUAGCACGAUAUGGUGUCGUAUAAAACUCUCAAUAUCGUAGUCACGAAUAUCACGAGGAGUGAUUUUAAUAUAGUAAGCAACAUUUUUGGGUUUUUUCUUUUCUUCUUCCAGCAACAAAGAUUCGAAAAGAAAAACAAGAGAUAUUAAGAGGGUGAGAUAAAGAGUAAUGGUGUAUUUAUAGUGUCGAGAUACAAUAUAAAUUCAUGUAGGGUACUAAAUCUGGGAGAACUAAUUAUGGUAUAACUUUGUUGCAUAUUCUCACUUAAAGAAAUGGAAGAUAUUGAGACUAAUUAAAUUAGUAAAUCUCGUUAUUUUUUACCUUGCUUGGCUAAACGUUUCCAUUUAAUUCUUAUACUUUUAAGAGAGACACUCCAAAUUAUUAUUACAGAAACAAGUUGUGACAUUUCACAAAUGCCAACUUUGGGAAGUUUCCAGAACUACAAAAAAAAAAACAUUUAUGUUCACGAAGGGUUCCUAAAAGUUUAAGAAAUAAAGUAUCCCUAAAUUUUUAAGAACUCUUCUUAAAUUAUAAGAAAUGUUUCAAUCAUUUAGUAUUACUUCCUGAAUUUUUAAAACAUUUUAUAAGAUUAAAAUUUGUGGCCUUUUCUUAGAAAAUGUUGUAUACCAAAUAUGAUUAAAAAAAAAAAAAAAAAAACUCAUUUCCUGAGAAUCAAAAGAGAACAUCUCAGCUCAAUUAUGAUCGAAUCUUGACCAUAAUUAUGUACUAAAACUUAUAUAGCGUAUUACUGAGAGGGUCGAGAGAGAAAAGGACUUGAAAAUAAAAUUAAGUCUCCUGAAACAGUAAGAACUACCAAGAAUUGUUCUCGUAUUUGUCCCAGUCCCAGUCCCAGUCCCACACAAAGCUGGAUCACAUAAACCAUUCAAAAUCACUGCUUAGGUAUAAGUGUUUGAUUUCUCUUUUAAUUCGCCUAUGAUCCAAUCUUAACCAUAAUUAAUCUAUGAGAUGUAAAGUUUCAAGAAUUUGUUUCUAAAGACAACACAAAAAAAAAAGGUCGUGUUAAAUACAAUGUGCUUGAUAUAUAAAAAGUUCGAUCCUGGCCGUCUCAUUAAGGGGACAACAUAUUAAUCUGAUAGCUAUGACCUGUGUCGCUGUAACAUUCGGGACAUGAUUGCACAACACAAAAUUUCAUUAAAACCUUACGUUUCCUUUCAUAAAGGUAAAAUCUCUACCCCAAUUUUUGAAACCACCCCAAAUUUUGAAACCUACGUCAUCAACAAUUUAUACGCAUUGGAAUAUAGACCAACAUUUAGUAAAACCUGGACCAAAUACAACAAGUCUGAUGUUAAACCACCGUUUCUGUCUAGCUCGAUUCUACUGUGAUGAUCGGAGUUGGUUCGGUAAAGACCCUAAGCUACAUUAAAUCUAUAGGCAAAAAGACAGAGAAAACAAAAAUGGAACCGAGUUAAACAACCUUGCUCUUCAGAUUUGCUUCUUUUCUUUAUCAGAGGAUCCGAAAUGACUUGACAAAGUCCACUGCGUAUAGUUGGUGUAAAAGGCAAACAUUAUAAAGUAUGAGAAACAGAGAAUCAUGAUCAGUGCUUCGAAUAGGAAAGGGUACUUCUGAGGAGGUUUAAUGGUAAGAUAGAGGACAUGAAGAACUACGGAGAUGAAGAAAUGGGUUCGUAGUAAGAAAACAUAACCCGGGAAGUUUUUAAAGGAGAAAAAUGAAACGUCGGUUUUCUGUAUCGCAUGGUGAUUCCCGGGUGAAUGAUAGAUGACGGUGAAGAGAAAAGAUAGUGUUAAGUAAGGGAUCAAGAGUUUGUCACGGCAAAGAAGAGGGAACAUCGAGAAGAGAGCGUAAUAGGUUAAAUGACUGAAAUGGUCAGGUAGUUUGAGAGCUAAUAGUGUUGCGGAGAGAAAAGGCAUCAGGAUUGAUUUCUCAUGCACUGCAGAUUCAAACACAAUGAAAGAAAAAAAGGGACUGUUAGAUAUUAAUUGAUGGCAACCGUGAUCGAAGAUCAAAGUGAAAUAUUUAUACCUUGGAAGGAAAACAAGUAGAAAGCCAUUGAACUGUUGAGCAAGCCAUAUAGGAAACCUUCAUUGCUUGGUGACAAGAUUUGCUGAACCAUUGAAGGAAGAGAAGCCAAUAUAGUUGCAGCUAAGCUGAUAGACUUGAGGGAUUGUGUUGUGAACAGAUUUUUCCAUUUUAUGAGUAUGGAAGUAGUGCACCAGAAAUUUGCCACGUAAUCCUCGUAUAUUCCCCUCUCAAAUGGAGCAAGACGGGAGAGAACCUGCAUCAUCAGCCAUUUACUUCAUAUUAAUGAGCACGAAAACGAAUGAGACCUAUUGGGUGUAUGCAAUUUACAUCAGAGGAGGAAGCAAAGAGUACAAUCUCUUAGUUCUACCAGAGACAAACAAUUAGUUUUCUCGAGAAAUUAUCAAAUACGUAUUUACCAUUAAGAAGUCGUCCAAAGAAUGCACAUAUGGCCACCAAAAAAUAACAAAUGUCACUAUGACUGCAAUUCCAAGCUUAAUCACAGAAAGUAUAGGGCUCUUCCGUCUUAGGCAUUUACCCAGUAGAUGGCUGAAAAAGGCAGGAGCAAAGUAUGCACUCAUCUGCAACAUCGACACAAUGGAAAAAGUGUGACCAGCAUGUUAUAAACGGGAACAGAACAGAAAUGAGGUACAUACAUAAACAAAGGGGUAUAUCAAGCACCACAUAAGAUUAACAAUAUUGUAUGUAUAGAACAUUUUACAUAAAUGCAACGAUGUGAAAUAUGUAUGGCCAUAAACACUACACUACAGUCUCAACAAAUUAGACAUUUUGACAUAACGGUAGUAACUACUCAUAUUUUCCAGGGAACUAAAACCAUCUAGUUUUUCAGUCUAUGAGAUUGAUAAAAGCCAUUACGUGUCAGAUCAUCUACAAGUAUACCAACUUUCUACAAGGGAAACAUAAGAAUACAGAAAUGAAAUCCCAAAGUCACCUGUUUAUGGCUGAGGGCUAGACUGAACAAGACACAAGUGAGAACCUCGCUCUCACAUAGUACCGCAGCAAUAGCACCAACUGUAAGUCCCAAGCUGAUACAAUUGUACUAUAACAAAUAAAAAUUCUAAUGAGAAUCAUCUUACAACCAUAGAAAAAGGAUACAUAAUCACAACACCAAUAGAGGUAACGGUCAAUACAAACCUGAAAAUGACCGUGAUCAAUGAGGAUCAAGCAAGGGUUUAAGAGAAUCAUAGCAAUAUGCCAAGCCACUUCACUCUUACCACCCCUAGUUCGAUUCCUAUGGUACACCAACACGAAAAACAGAGCAGCUGGGAAAAAUAUGAAAGCAUCAGACGAUAAAACUGUCCAUCUCAUCAACAAUUUUCUGCAUAACAAAACUCGAAUUAGUAAACCCUAAUUACACAACAAGCAACCAAUUGAAGAAUCAGAUCAUUUACCCAAGAUAAGAUUCGUGACCACGAGAGCUUAGAAGAGCAACAGAUUCAGGAUUGAAGAAUCGGAGGAAGAUUCCAUGGAUGUAACUUUGAUAAGCAGUUAAAGGAGGAUAAUCUAAUCCCCAGUAAGUGAGAUCGUUGUAAGUGCCAUUUCUAUACCAAUCGAUAACUGGAAGAUUUGUGGUUAUCUCCAUCCAAUGUCUCUGAGCUUCGAAAUCGCCGAAUUUAGGAGGAAUUCCGGCGCCGGAGUAUGGAUACAUUGUUACAGCAGAUCGGAUCAGUAAUGCGAAGAGGGAGAUGCAGAGAAAUGAAGUUGUGGUUCCUUUAUGUGUUAGCCACCACCAAGUAUCAAUCGAAGAUCCGGUUUGUGGUGAUACCGGAAUGGUGAUGUCAUCUUCGCCGGAAUGUUUCGCCGGCUUCUUCUUCGGCAUCCUUUGUUUUGUUUGUCUUCUCCGUUUAGUUUUUUUCUCACCUAAGCUAAGCUGAUGCAAAAUCGAUUUACGGGGAUCGGUCUCAGUUUGGGUUUAGGAAAUAUUAAUAAAAGGCCCUUGUAUUUUUAUGUUUCUAUAAAUUUAUCCUUGAAAAAUACAAAAACACCAUUCGACUCACUUUUUAUUUUAUGUUAACAACUUGGCUAAAGACACAUCACUAACACCAUUCGACUCACUAAAACUAUGAAAUAUAACUUUCACAUUAUAGGUUAUAGACUCGUUUUGAAUAUUUUUAAAAAGACUAUAUGAAUAUUUUUAAAAAGACUAUAAUACAAUAUAUAUUAAAUUUUUGAGAUGAAAAUAGUAAAGAUGGUUGGUUUGAGAUGAAAAUAAUAAGGAUGGUUGCUAUGAGAAAAUGUUAUUCUUCAAAGGGAAAUAUUUUUUCUUAAAACAGGGAUUAGCGAUUCGCAUCCUCUUCUGUCUUUCUUAGUACGUUUGUGUUAUAGCUUCAUUUCGAAUGACUGGAUUGUCCGAAUUACUCAUGUGUAUAGGGAAGCUAAUCGUCUCGCAGAUGAAUUAGCGAAUCAUGCUUUUUUGUUACUUUUGGGGUUUCAUAGUAUUCUUCUUAGGCUUGAUUUUGCUACUUCGAUUAUUUUUGAGGAUGAUAGUGUUGUUACGCGCCCACGGAAUAUUCGUGUGUAAUUUUUUUUUUUUAUUUUUUUUUAAUAAUAUGGGAGACUAAUCUCCCUCAUUCUACCAAAAAAUUAAGGGAAAUAUUUUUUCUUAAAUUUGUUGAUAUGAUAAUUAUGGUCUACAUAAUAUCGUGUUUUAAAUCAAUAUAUAAUAAAUGUUGGUUAAAACAAGAGCAAUAACAUAAUUUUGGUGAAAUUUCUUGGGAAGGUAAGAGGAAAACUUCCUUGAUAGCAUGGAAGUAUGUAAAUUAGGAAAUUUCAACAAAGCCUUACUUGUGAAACAAUUCGGCCGGAUCGUACAUUUAUCGAAGCUAGUUACUUCCUUGUAAAAAGUUUUUUAUGUAGUGAUGGUGGUUGUAGACCUUUGUAUACUUGGAAUAGUGUUCUCUAUUGAUGAGAUCUCUUGAAAAGUGGCAUAAUAAGCAAUAUUGGACAAAUCUACUAGGGUUUGGCUUGAUAAAUGGCUUAUGGAUGAACAACCAAGGAGACCCACUAAGAAAUAAAUUUUAUUUAUUAUUAAACUUAAGGUUGCUAAUUUGUUGAAUGAGAGAGGUGUUAAUUUCUCCCAAAUGAUGUUAAUCAAGUCUUAUUGAUUUAUCUUAAUUCAAACAAGAAAGAUUUUUCGUUUUGGCGAUUCAAUAAAACUGGAGCUGAAAUCAAAAUUCUUUCUAGGGAUAUAAAGAGUUUGUUGGAUUCAUCUCUUGAAAAAUUCUUUAAAAGCAAAUCAGGGAACUAGACGAAGAUUUUAGCGGAAGUAGCUCAAAAAGCAAAAGCAUCCAUGAAAAUUGCUAUGGUAGAUGAAUCACGAAAAGCUGAAAAAGCUCUGAUCGCUAGUAAAUAGUAAUAAUAGAUUGAGUCUAGUUGAUCAGAAGAAACUUGCACAAGUUAUCAAGGUGGUGGUCGAAAUGGAGGAUGAACUCGAGGAGAAGGUUCAAAAAGUCGAGAAGAUAAACAGAAAGGUAGAUGAGAAGAUGAAGAAGAAGGCAAAGAAGAGACAUUUUUCGUUUUUGGUUUGUUGAAUGUUGAUUCGUCUUCAGCUAUCAUAUCAUGUCGGUGUUAGACUUAAAAUAAGUGUUUACCAAUAACUUAUACAAGAGAGGUUCUACACCGUUUACCAAGAGAAUCAAAGAAUGCAAAGUUUGUAACUUUUGUUUGUGGUUUAAAAGAACACCACAAUCAUUGUUGAAUGCAUAACAUAUUUCAACCAGAUAAGGAGUUAAAGAACUUUUAUAUGGAUCUAAUACUUAACCACUAAUACUAAAAAUUGAUCUUGAAGCAACAUAGGAGAUUUGAGUAGUUAGAACAUAUCUAGCAAAUUCUGAUCUAUUGUGAAAAGAAUAACUAGAGACGGAUGACUUAAUUUCUAUAUAGCAUUUGGAGGGUCAUAAUGACUUGUUUUUAUUUACGUGUUUUACGUUAUUUUGUUUUUGUCAAAAGGCUUUCAUAAAUUAGUAAUACUCUAUAAAUAAAUAAACACAAUAAAAUACUCUUUCUUAUCGAUUUAGGUAUGGCCAAUGUAAAAAACUAAAAAUUAACAAAAUUUUGAAACUUCUAUACAUUUUUAUGGUUCUAGUAAUAUUAUAAAUUUAUACAUAUAUAGCUAAGAUAAUAUUCUAAAUAUGACUAUAAUAUUGUUUGUAAUUUGAAUUAUUGUUAGCGUUAUUCUCUAAUGUUACUUAUUAUUCAAAAACUCUUCGGUGUUUUCGAUUUGUAUCCAAAUUUUAUGAUAAAUUCUAAACACGAUAAUUAAUUUACAAAAAUAAAGUACUUAUUUGAGUACCCUUAAAUUUAUGUUUACUUGACUUCCCAGUUCCCAGCCAGUAUAAAUCUUUUUCUUAUAUUUAAAUUAAUUAAUUAACUUUGGAUAUAGAAUUGAAUUAUUAGGAAAAUAUAUACAUAUCAAUCAAAAAUAUAAUAUUUAUAAGCUUAAUACAAACAUAGAAAUAUCUAUAUCUAUAUAUAUCUAGCUUAAUUAAUUGGAUAGUAAAAGCUUAUCUUUGCAUUUUUAUUAUUUUAAUUAAUUACUUGUAUAUAUAUAUUAUUUUAAAUACUUAUUAGCAUAUUGACAUUUAAGAUACAAGGUUUAAAUUUCUUUUGUUAUUUUGAACAGAAGUUUUGUUAAUCAGUAAAAUAAAAUUAUUGUAAAUAAAAGAAAAGAUUUUGUGCAAAACAAACUCCAAAGUCGUUUAUUUUUGUAACUUUAUCUUUCACGUUUAAAAAUACAAAACAAAAUUAUGAAGUAAAAAUAAUACGUAAUGUAGUCGAUUUUACAACUUUACAUCUAUUGUAAACGUUUUCACGAUCACAUAUAUUUGUUUUUAAAAGUUUUAAAGAUAUAGUUGAACUCCUCAUCUCAAGGGCUUUGAUUUGAUAAAUUAUCUAUCUAAAUUUUAAAAUUAUUUAUCAAAAUUUUAAAAUUUGACAAUAGCAAAAAAUUUGACAUAUGUAUAAUUUUUGAUUUAGUAUUAUUAUUCUGCAUUGUUAAGAUGUAAAAUGUAAAGUUGUAAAAAGUAAAUGAUUCCGAGGAUUUUGUGUAAAAAACCUUAAAAUGUUUUAGAGUUUCUUGCACUAAAAGGAUAACUUUUACUUUUUUUCCAAACCCCAAAGUCUGAUUUACCUGUGAGUUAACAACAAUUACUACUCUCUUUGAGUAAAAAUCGCAUGCCAAAAAGAUUAUAGAAAAUAUAAUACCGAAGAAAAUUCCAAAUAUACAAGCAGUAAAUUAAGUUGAUUUUGGGAAUAGUCUACAAUCCCAUGUACACAUCUCCACUACAUUCCAUACACCUUUUUUAAUCUAACGGCUCACAAACAAUAAAACUCUCCGAAUAAGUAAUCACCACGUGAUUUAUCUUGACACACCAAAGUUUGUAUAGACGUGCAUGUAUGUAAUUAAUUAACCUUUUAUGUACUAUGAAUUAACUGUGUUGAUAUAUAAAGGGUGACUCAAUACCCCAAAAGCGGUCUCUCUCUAUACUUUGCUUCUCUCUCUAAACUUCUCUCUUUCUUUUUUUCUCAAAGCUUUUUUCCUUCUCCCUAAACGAUGAAGAUUUUCGUGAAGACUCUCAGUGGUUCGAACUUCGAGAUCGAAGUAAAACCUGCAGAUAAGGUAUAGUGAUUUCUUGAAUUCGAAUCGUCUUCUCUGUUUCUUUAACUGUUUAUUAGGUCUGAUUUGGUUCCGUAAUUCGAUUUUGCCUUGGGGAAAAAUUCCGGUGAAUUAGCGAAUCUCGUAGUAUCUGAUUUAAAAUUCUAGGUUUCGUUUGCAUCGUACUCUUGUUUCGGGUUGGGAAUUGUUUGUGACGAUGCGUGUUUCUGUUUCUGUGAUUGGAUUCGAAUUCGAAUUAGGGUUUUUCGUGAGUAUGUAAGUAUAGUGAUUGUAUGUGUUGGGAAUUUAAUUAUAUACUGUGUAAAUUGUAUAUAGUUAUGGCUUCUUGUUUUCCCAUCAACAUUCGUUGCUUUAGUGAUCAUGCUGGAAUCUGAUUUUGCUUCUUUAAGAUUAUGUUAGAGCUAAUCAUACUUAGAUUCACAAUAUUAGUCAUUAUAUUUGCUAAACCUUGAGGCACCUAUGGAUUAUCAUACGUAAUGAUAUAGUAUUUGUGAAGUUUUCUUUGGUGUGACUUAUUUGUUUCAUUGCUAGUCUUAUAUCUUCUUGAUAGCCUUUAGCUUAAUGAUGUCUGUAUGAUUUGGUAUCUGAGUUUAUUUUUGGCUUUUUCUAGGCUAAGUUAUAUGUGUGAUUGAGAUGCUUAUUAACAUUGUUGUUGAUCGCAGGUUUCUGAUGUUAAAACGGCUAUAGAAACUGUUAAAGGUGCAGAAUACCCUGCUGCUAAGCAGAUGCUGAUCCACCAAGGAAAGGUUCUAAAGGAUGAGACCACAUUGGAAGAGAACAAUGUUGUUGAGAACAGUUUCAUUGUUAUCAUGUUGUCCAAGGUGAUGUACUAGGUCCACAGUUUCGCAUUAGUAUUAGUAACAGGAUUUUAGUAGUUAGUGGAUGCUAACAAGUUUUAACGUUUGUAUAUAGACCAAGGCUUCUCCAAGUGGGGCAUCAACCGCAUCUGCACCAGCACCUAGUGCUACACAGGUGAAUAAAAGUUCUUAUGUAAUAUGGUUAUGGUUUCUAUUUGUAAGUGACAACAAAAUAGUAUAUCUAGAUAACAGUUUUGUCUAAUAGAAUUGCUUGGAUUUUCUGUAACAGCCACAGACAGUAGCUACACCUCAGGUUUCUGCUCCUACUGCCUCAGUGUAAGUUGCCUUCCUCUGGCAUUGAUUUACCUCCUUUUGAAAGAGAAAUUGUCAGCUUCUUAUGUAGUUGCCGGUUUGCUGAUUCUCUGUUCUUUUUACUUGCGUUCUCAGUCCAGUUCCUACAAGUGGAACUGCAACCGCUGCAGCUCCAGCUACUGCUGCUUCGUAAGAACUUUUCAGAAGUAUACUAUAUUCAUUUUCGAAUAUCUGUUCAUUGAUUGUGUAAAUGUUGCCCACUUUCUUGGUUGAAACAGGGUUCAGACAGAUGUGUAUGGUCAAGCAGCAUCAAACCUUGUUGCUGGAACUACUUUAGAGUCCACUGUUCAGCAAAUUCUUGAUAUGGGUGGAGGUAGUUGGGACCGUGACACUGUUGUUCGUGCUCUGAGAGCUGCGUUCAACAAUCCUGAAAGAGCUGUUGAAUACCUGUACUCGGUAUGAUUCAUUCCACUUCUUGAUUUUACGUUUUUCUUUGAUAUAUUGUAUCUACCUUUGAUUUGCGGUUUGCCAGAAUUUAAGCAACAUUUGCUCUUGAACUUUUGGUUGAUACAUUUCAGGGUAUCCCUGCUCAAGCUGAAAUCCCACCAGUUGCUCAAGCCCCAGCUACUGGGGAACAGGCAGCCAAUCCUCUAGCACAGCCCCAACAAGCAGCAGCUCCAGCAGCUGCAACUGGUGGUCCAAACGCAAAUCCAUUAAACCUGUUCCCCCAGGUAGGGUUUUUAAACUGGUGAACCGAUUUCAUUUGCUCGUUUUCCCUUGUGAAUUUGUUUUAUUGACAUCCACUCUUAUCUGUCUCUAUCCAGGGCAUGCCCGCUGCAGAUGCUGGUGCUGGAGCUGGUAAUCUUGAUUUCCUGCGUAACAGUCAACAGGUAUUUUCAAUUUCUUUUCCAUUCGAGAACGGAAAUCUUCAUUUCUCUCCUCUUAUGUCAUUUGCAAUUCUUUUGCCUUUUCAUAGUUCCAAGCCUUGCGAGCUAUGGUACAAGCAAACCCACAAAUUCUACAGGUAAAAUUUUUAACCUCUUAUUCUUUAUUUGGUAGGUUAUAUGAUAUUGAUUUCCCACUUAUACUGUUUCGUUUUGCAGCCUAUGCUUCAGGAGCUCGGUAAACAAAACCCCCAGCUUGUGCGACUAAUUCAAGAGCACCAGGCUGACUUCCUACGCUUGAUAAACGAACCUGUCGAGGGAGAAGAGUGGGUUUAAUAUCAUGAUUCUCCUUUACGUUUUCAUUUUAUUCUUUUUUCUCAAUAAAGCAUGUAAUCUGACAUUUCAUUCGAUGCCACCAGGAAUGUUAUGGAACAGUUGGAAGCAGCAAUGCCACAAGCUGUUACCGUUACACCUGAAGAGCGUGAAGCCAUUGAACGGGUUUGUUCCUAUGAUCUUUACAUUUGUACCUUUACUAGAUGCUCUGGUUCCUCAAAAUAUAUGGCUUGUAUUGAAAUUUGAUUUUGCUGUUGUUUGUUUUGGUUUAGCUUGAAGGGAUGGGGUUUGAUCGUGCGAUGGUCUUGGAAGUGUUCUUUGCGUGUAACAAGAAUGAAGAACUUGCAGCUAAUUACCUUCUAGAUCACAUGCAUGAGUUUGAAGAUCAAUAAACAGAGCAAAUCCAUUCCUCCCUCUAAACUCAGACCAUCUUUCUGUUUCUUUUUCUUCUUCUUUUUAAUAUGAUAAUCUCUUCUCCAAUGCCAUUUGACAGUUUCAUGUUUAUGUUCAUGGGAGUUGAUGUGUUUAUGUUACUAUUAAAACUAUCAUAGUUUAUCUGGUUUGAAGAUGCUCCUCUUUUAUCAUAUUAUUAGCCUUUGAAUCCUUCCUCUCUUUAGGUCUCAGAUGCACCAAUAUUAGCUAAGAUUAAAAGUGGAUAUUUUGGUUCUAUAUGACUCAUCUCGAGUUAGGAAUGGUAUGUCGAAUCUGGUUUAACAGAUCUGGCCUAAAACGAAACCGCUAUUCAGAUCCAAUUAUUGGCGCUUACAUUGUUUUCUCAUAGCCUCAAGCUAUGCAAUAUCAAUUAUUGCACAUUUGAAUUAACACAAACCCAUCAAUUAAUAUAUCAACAAAAACCCAUCAUCAAUUAACACAUCAACACAAACAUAAAGACAUAUAAGUUGCUCAUGAAGAACUUAUAAUGGUGGAACCAGUGAGCCUUUGAGAUCUGUCAUAAUCGUCUCUGAAAUUGUCUCAAAUCGAGAGAGAAAUGAGAAAUCUUAAAAUUUUACCCUAAAUAAUUAAACCCUAGCUUUUAAUUAUUACUGCACAAAUUAUGUCUAAAUAAUUUUGCCCAUUUACUAGCGAGCUUAUAUGGUUUGUAAUCCAUUUUAAACACUUUAAUUUUGGGCUUCACCAAAACCCAACCAUUAUUAUUUGGACGUGGACAUCCCAUGGUCAGAAAACUCAUUCGAUAACCCUACAUUUGAUGAUCAAAGUGGCACGGAAGCUCGUUCGAUCUACAAGUUUUGUGGUGAGGAGACUUCUCAGUUUUUCUUCUAGUGUGGUUGUACUUCAGGUAAAUUCUUUUCAAUACUUAGUGGAAUUUUUCGCUAACUGUUUUGUGUAAAUAAGGACGAGGCCUCCAUAGCGUUCAGUGCUUUAACAAUGCCGUAUCCACUCUGCUAAUCUUGGAUUUCAAGAGGUAUGACAGUUUGUGUUGUGAUAGGAGCCUUCAUUAAAUUAAAUAAUUUCAACAAUUUAUUUAUUUUUAGAACCAAAAGAUUUUUCAAAAAUUUUGAUUAUCAAAAAAAAAUCCAACAGAUUUUCUGUUAAAAUGAAAAUAUAUAUUAGAUUGUUUUUAAAAAAAAUCAUCUGCCGGAAUUUGAAUCUGGACAUGCUUAUUUUCAAAAAAACAUUUUAGCUAAUGUGCUAGUGCAUAUGUUUUUGCUAAGGUAUGAAUUUAAAUUGGAUAUAUAGAUCAAUUUAUUUAUUUUAAAACCAAAAAAAAUUUAAAAAGAAACUUAGCGGGAUAUAAAAUAAAUAUAUAUUAAAUUUAAAAAAAAAAGAUUUUCCGCUACGGGAAUUUGAACCUGAAAAUGCUGAUUUUUAAAGAAAAUUUAGCUAAUGUGCUACAUGAGAUGUUUUUUUUGCUAAAGUAUGAGUUUAAAUUGGAUAUAUACAUCAUUCAAUUUAUUUUUCUAAUCUAGAAUUUGCUUUCCUAGGACAAAUAUAGGUACUGAAUUAUUAAAGAACAUAUUUUUUGGUAAGAUAUAAGUGAGUUUUUAUAUAAUUUUGAUGAUUUUAGGUAAGUUGAUGUGAUUUACUGUAAAGUCUUUUCAAAUUCUAUCUAAAACUAUGAGAUUUAGAUUUCUGUAUUUUUAACUAAAGAAGUCUUUUCAAAUCCUUUCAAAUCCUUCAAAAUUAAUAAGAAUCAAAUCCACUAACUAUUUUCAGUAACAGUAAAAAGGUUGAUUUUUAAAUUUUUAAUUUAAUAACACUCAAUUUCAUUUAAAAAUUUAAAAUCCAUAAUUAAAUAACAUAAAAUUUAUAAAUUUUACAUAAAUUAUUAGAUUGAAUACACCGCUCUAAAUAUACACAAUGUAAAAAGUCUGUUUAAGAUCAAUUAUAGAUUUAACUUAAAUCUAAAGGCCCAUAAUACCGUCCUGUACAUCAUAUAGUUAUCUCAAGUUGUAAUACUGUAAUACCCGUUGGGCCCAGUGGCCCAUUUAUCAGAUUUCAAAUAACAGAUCUCAACACUAGCAUGGCUACACACGUGUCAGAUUCAAUGCAUCAGUCAUAUCUUCAGCAUCCAACACUUGUCAACCUUCCAUUGGAUCUCUUAACUCUACGCCUCGAAAACAGUUUUUAUUUAUUUAUCAUUCCAUUUCUCAUUGUAUCUUCAUCAGUCUCUUCUUAUUCCAUUUUUUCAAACCACUUGCAAAAUUCGAAUCAGAUCUUCUCUUCAAUCGAAAAAAAAGAAAGGUAAAUCUCUCUCUCUCUAAUCAUCGUUCGUUUCGUAGUUUCUUCUUCUACGUGUAGAUCUGAUCUUUGAUUGUAUGUUUCUGGAGAUCUCGAUCUCAUCGAUUCUCUGUUCUUAUCACUGAUUCAGUGUGUUUGAUAUCUAAAUCCGAUUUGUGUGUAGGAUGUUAAAAUUUAGGUUUCGGUUUUGUUUCUGCUUUUGAACGAUUUUGCUCUAGAUUCGUUAUCCGUGAAGAACAUAGACGAGUAUGUAGAUCUUACUUCGGAUUCGCGUUGAAGAAUUUUCUCUAGAUUCGUCACCUAUGAAGAAGAUUCAUUGUGUUCUUAAUCUAGAUGAUUAGGUUAUUGUUUCGACUCAUUUGUUUAUGCCUAUUUUCUCUAUGUUCUUAAUCGGUGAAGAAAUGUAUCAAUGUGUGUAUGUUUUGGGUUCUGAUUUUGUAGGAUUUGCUCUAGAUUGUUGAAUCGAAGAUGUCGACAAGGGAAGAGAAUGUUUACAUGGCGAAAUUAGCCGAACAAGCUGAACGUUACGAAGAAAUGGUUGAAUUCAUGGAGAAAGUUGCGAAAACUGUUGAUGUUGAGGAACUUUCAGUUGAAGAGAGGAAUCUUCUCUCUGUUGCUUACAAGAACGUGAUUGGAGCGAGAAGAGCUUCGUGGAGAAUCAUUUCUUCGAUUGAGCAGAAAGAAGAGAGCAAAGGGAACGAAGAUCAUGUUGCUAUUAUCAAGGAUUACAGAGGAAAGAUUGAAUCCGAGCUUAGCAAAAUCUGUGAUGGGAUUUUGAAUGUUCUUGAAGCUCAUCUUAUUCCUUCUGCUUCACCAGCUGAAUCUAAAGUGUUUUAUCUUAAGAUGAAGGGUGAUUAUCAUAGGUAUCUUGCUGAGUUUAAGGCUGGUGCUGAAAGGAAAGAAGCUGCUGAAAGCACUUUGGUUGCUUACAAGUCUGCUUCCGUAAGUCAUUCUUUACAACGUUUUUGAAUGUUGUUUUCUUUUGUGGGUAUGAUUGAUUUUGUUGUUGUGAUAAUGCAGGACAUUGCCACUGCUGAGUUAGCUCCUACUCACCCGAUAAGGCUUGGUCUUGCACUCAACUUCUCUGUGUUUUACUAUGAAAUCCUCAACUCGCCUGAUCGUGCUUGCAGCCUCGCAAAGCAGGUUUGUGUAGUACACCUGAUUUUCACUUUUUGCUUCGUGUGUUAUUAUUAUCUCAGUGAAUGAAACAGCUAUUUUGGGUUUGUGCAGGCGUUUGAUGAUGCAAUCGCUGAGUUAGAUACAUUGGGUGAGGAAUCAUACAAGGACAGUACACUGAUUAUGCAGCUUCUUAGAGACAAUCUCACUCUCUGGACUUCAGAUAUGACUGUAAGUAUUAACAACACAAUAUACGUUGAUCACUAAGUUAUGUUGUUGACAUGAUGGUUUCUUUUUUGGUGAAUAGGACGAAGCAGGAGAUGAGAUUAAGGAGGCAUCAAAGCCCGAUGGUGCCGAGUAAACCCGAAGAAGAGGAAGAGUCAUUUUAUAAUGGUAGAAAACUUUCAUGUGAUAAUCUGAGUGAGGGAUAGCUCAGGAUUCUUAUAAGAGACACAGUUUUAUUGUUGUUUGUUUGUUUUGAAACUACUUGCGAUUUAUCAUUCCUCCUUUAGCUUCCUCAAUAUUUCCUAUUCUCCUUUCUAAUGAAAUCAAAACUUGGUUAUUUCUGAUAUGGUAGUUGUCUUUAUUUUCUAUUUUUUUGGUUAUUGAUUUGAUCAACUAAAAAAGUGUGAUAACUUUCUCAAAUUGAUUAAUUAAUGUACGAAAACACUUGCUGCAAAUGGAUCACUUCCAUGACAUUAUACUUUGAUAUAAUAUAUUACAAGAAAUAAAAGGUAACUAAAGUAGAGAAAACAAGAAACCAUAUUUAUAACAAAAUAUUUCAUUUCAAACAAUGGUAAAAGAUCUCAGAUAACAUAGGAGACAGACAAGUUACUACUAAUAAAGGAGAGAACCACACCAAAAUCCUAAUCUUGUUAAUUAACACUUCCAAUAAGUUACUGAAACUCAAAAUCACUGAAUAAGCUAGUGAACAAGUGAAGAGCUACUCUGUGUCAAGUGCAAAGCAGAGGACUCCACGGCACCUGAAAGUCCAAAGGCUGAUCUUGUCGCCGACUUUUAAGCUGCUACUUUUGACGACAUCAUUCCAACCCCAAUUCAAAGUGUAAUUCAAUGUUCCAUGUCCAGAGUCCUUCUCCAUCGCCCAUAUCUUGAAACGCAAACCCCACUUUUGAAAUCUUUGGUUCACAAGAACCGUUCCCACACCAAUAUUCUCGUCGUCUUCUUCAUCAUUGUCUUCGUCUUUCUGCAUAGCUCUACACUCCGCAGGAGUCAGGAAAUCGUUUCUGAUUAGCUUCUGGAAAGGCAUUAAGAGACGACUAAGGUUUGAGUUGACAUCACUCUUAAACAGAGUCCUCUCAAAUAUCAGCCUCGGGGUUUCAGCAUCAGCGUUCAUGUAUCUCAUCACUUGGAAAAUCCACUCAGGCAUCUCUGUACACAACCUUGGCAAAGGAGAAACCUUAACUUUCUUGACUUUACCACUCUUCCUCUGCUCCACGGCACGCCUCUUGCGGUUUGUCUUCCCUGUUAGGCAUGAAGACGGAGACGAAGAUUGGUAAUUAGGGUUUGGUACGUCUUUUGUCUCUGUCGAAGGUUCAAGACAAGGAAGGUUCAGGAGCGAUGAAGAAGAAGUAGAAGCUCCAUUAAGAUUAUCAAAGAGUUUCUUUUCACUCUCGUCAUCAUAAUCUUCAUCGUAGACAAUCUUGGAUUUACCUUUCUUUAAACGUUGUUCUUCAUCACACACCAUAGGUUCAUCAAAACAAGGGUUUUGUAGGUUGUCUGUCUCAAAAUCAGUAGGGAUUAGGUUAAGAUCGGGAAGCGAUGACGAACAAGUAGAAGCCCCAUUAGGGUUUUGUUGUGUGUAUCUUCUCUUCGCCAAAGACGAUUUGAUUUUCCUCGGGAAAAGAUAGAAGAAACUCAUCUUGCACUUGGAUUCUUCUCGUUUCUCUGCAAGAAGACGACUACGUUGUUCUUCUUCCUCCGCAACCAUAACCGUCACAUACGCCAGUAAACUUAAACCCGACGACAUAUUCUUCCCCGAAUCCGUGAGAUGAUUAUCGUGAUACAUAAUACUACUCAUCGUGAUUGAAUCGAAAGACUGGAAAGUUUCUGAGAGCGACGACGUGAGGAACAAGAAACUUGUAUAUAGAGAGACGAGAAACUGAUCGACGAUUAGAAAAGAAGUACCUUCUCUUGCCUUAUAUAUACUUUACAAUAGGGUUUCAGGUUUCUUUGUUUUCCUAUUUCUCCAUUGAGUUUAGUUGUUUAAUUACUGUCAUUAGUAACUAAUUAUAGCCGUUGUGAUCAAGUGUUUCCUUUUUCACAAGUGUGAGAGAUAGUGAAUUUUUAGGAAGUUUCCUUUCCUUUCAAAUUUCAAUAGCUUUGCUUCACUUUUUUGUAUUUGAUGUAUUAUUAUAUUUUUUGGGCACUUGCCGACUUUGAUAUAAAUUAAAUAAAAUGCAGAAAACAGUGGAGUCUCAAAAAAAUUCAGAUCUUUAGAAAAACAAAACCAAUAUUGUUGUCGAUUGAAUCGAAAAUAGUUUCGAGUAUCCAUUUAUCAUCAAAAAAAAAAAAAAAACAAUUCCUUGAAUAAUUUUUAUGUUUUUUGAAUUUUAUUGGAUGUACGUACAUAAUCAUUUCAACAAAAUUGCAUAAAAAUAGUUGAUGCAAAACCAAAUAUGGGGAGAAAAUUCAAAUAGUUUUCUCAAUUUGAGGUAACUACGAAAUUGCCCCACAUCCUUUAGUAAUUACGAAUUGGACCUAAAACUAUAGAUAAUUACGAUUUUUUCCCUCGAAUAAUAACGAAAUUGCCUCAGUUAUUUCGUUAUUUGUUAAUGCACCCCACAUCUCUCGGUAAUUACAAAAUUUCUGCAAAUCUUCCAAAAUGAAAUUUCUGGUAAUUUCUUAUUUGGUAAACUACGAAUGAACAACAAAGAACAAUGAAUUGGUAAAAUACACAUUUUGGAAUACUCAAUCUCUCAUAUUAUUGCUUAUCCACAAUCAAAUCACACAAUUGUAACAAUGAACAACAAAGAACAAUGAAUCAACAAGAACAAAUGAAAUUAGAAUCUUCGCUCACAUCCCUCAGAUUAUAAUCGCACCCUUCACAGUCUCAUAGCGAAUGAAUCAACAUGCCUUGCUCUGUAACCGCUCCUCAUAUUUAUAGAUGCCUCUGAUACUUGCUUAUUUCACAAGCUUCCCUCUGUUUCCUCACGUGCCUUGCACACACACUCUUAUCAUGCAUUCGCAGUCAUUAAACAGUGUCAUAGUUAUUCUUUAUGGUUACAAGUGUGGGGUUGGUGACUGAUGAAGACAACUGAUCUUAUUCAUCUACUUCUUGGAGCUGGAGUUGGAGAAAUUCGAGAAGAAUGAACAAAUUACGACAAGGUACAUUGAGAAAAUCUCCGGUGAAGCAUAAAAGCACAACUUAUACGUAAUAUUUCUAUAUUUGCUUUUGGAGACAGAACAUGUGUCAGUAAUCGUUGGUUUAGACUUCUAGGUCUGGUUUGGGGUUUGGUACAGAUGGUUUUAUGGCUGCAAAUGUCUUAUGUUGUUGAACGCCCACAAGAUGCUCGAUGAAAUGCCGAAGAGAGUGGCUUGUUUGUAAAAUUGCAGUUUUUUGGUGGUAUAUGGAUGAGAAGCAGAUGAUAGUGAGUAGAGUUUUGUUACUUGGGGGUAGAAAAUUCUCUUCGCCAUGAGAUAGACUAUUAGAGUUAAGCGGGUAAAAACCCGGACUCGUUUUGUGAGACAAAAGAACCUGAAAAAGUUCUCACUUUGACUAUUCUUGCUUCUAUCAAGCCAUUGCAAUUGUUCUUGGAAAAGUGAAACACACACUCUCGUUGUCUCAUCUUGCUGUGAAUUAUCAUUCUUAUCUGCUGAGUUCAAGACUGGAUUAAGCAUGAUUCUUGAAGAUAGGAGUGUGACUGAGAUAAUAUGCAUUCACUGGAAACCAUGGUCUACUUUUCAAAGGUAAUGUCUCUGUUCUUUCAAUUUGAGACAGAACAAAAGGAAAGAAGUAGAUAUUAAGUUAAGUGUGGUAGCUUGAGAAAUGGGAACAAAUGGUUAGAUUUGUAGGACUGGAAAUCUUUAUGCUAGAAAGAAAUAGGGGUAGUAUUGGACAUAACUCUCAAAAGGAAAGGAGAAGGGACAUUGUGUUUGAUUCAAAGCUAAGACAAGGCUGCAUUUGUGUCACUCAAAGGAGAAUAGGAAUUACCUCUGACAGAGUUUGAAAGAAAAACUCUACAAGUAUCAGAAUGUUUAAGAUCGUUCCUGGAGUACAUUCAGUCAUUCAGAUGAAAAGACGGAGAAACGGAGCUGUGGCGGGAAUGUAACUAGUAAAGUACUUUCUUGAGGAUUCGGCAGUGCUCAAGAAGUUUAUGCUGCGUUUGGGUUGUGAGAGAAUGAACAAAGAGUCUAUCAUUUUAAUGGAACUAUUGAGGUUAAGGAGAUAUACUAUGCUUAUUGUAUAGUCAUUGUUGAACUUGCUGAGACUGAUAAUGAUACAUAGGUGUUUCUACACUUAAAUGUGCAAUUUCCAUUUAGGAAAGUUUAGUAUUGGGAUUUGAUGUAUAUAUUCUUACCAGAACCAGUUCUCCAACUUAGGAAAUUUAUUUGUAAUAAUCUGAGUGACGCUCAGUAUUCUUCCAAGGACAAUUUGACAACUACUUGCUAUGGAUUCCUCCUUUAGGUUCCUCAAAAGUUCAUGUUCUCCAUGUAAUGAAAUCAAAACUUGCUUUUUCUCUGACAUUUUUGAUUGUUUUGGUUCUAAAUUUGAUCAAACUGACUGCAUCGAGCAUUUCGGAGGAAUAGUACACAAAACAUUAGCAGGAAUAGAUCAUUUCCAUCAUUACAACAGGUUUAGAGGAGAGAUCUGAGACAACACAAAGGUAUAUUGAACAAUGCAGUAAGUAAAGUAGACAAAACAAGAAACCAUAUUUAUGACCAAAUGUGUUCAUUUCAAACAAUGGUAAAGGUCUGAAACAACAGAGGAGACGGACAAGUUAAUACUACUACUACUAAUCCUAACAAUAGAGGAGAGAACCAGUUACUAUACUAAAAAGCCAAAAACCUCAAGAAUCACUUGAAAUUUGUUAAAUGAGACCUCAAGAGACAAAUGAAACAUAUCAGAGAGCUACCUACCAUGUGUCAAGAGCAAAGCAGAGGACUCCACGGCACCUGAAAGUCCAAAGACCGAUAUUGUCGCCGGCUUUUAAGCUGUUACCUUUGACGACAUCAUUCCAGUCCCAAUUCAAAAUGUAAUUCAAGGUUCCAUGUCCAGAGUCCUUCUCCAUCCCCCAUAUCUUGAAACGCAAACCCCACAUUUUAAAUCUUUGGUUCACAAGAAUCGUUCCCGCACCAAUAUCUUCGUCGUCUUUGUCUUCGUCUUCCUGCUUGGCUUGACACACAAGAAUCGUUCCCACACUAAUAUCUUCGUCGUCUUUGUCUUUGUCUUCCUGCAUGGCUCGACACUCCUCUGGCGUCAAGAAGUCGUUUCUGAUUAGCUUCUGGAAUGGGAUUAAGAGACGGCUGAGGUUAGAGUUGACAUCACUCUUGAACAGAGUCCUUUCAAAGAUCAGCUUCGGGGUUUCAGCAUCAGCGUUCAUGUGUCCCAUCGCUUGGAAAACCCACUCAGGCGUCUCUGUAGACAACCUUGGCAAAGGAGAAACCUUUACUUUCUUGACUUUACCACUCUUCCUCUGUUCCACGGCACGCCUCUUGCGACUUGUGUCGUUCUCCGUUAGGCAUGAAGACGGAGAAGAAGAUUGGUAAUUAGGGUUUGGUAGAACUUUCGUCUCUGUCUUCUCUGACUCAACCGUGUUGUAAUCCAAGAAUAACGAAGCCUCAUAACAACGAAGGUUUAAGAACGAUGAAGAAGAUGAAGCCCCAUUGAGAGUUUCAAACUUUUGUUGUUGUUGGCUGUGUCCUACAAAUUUCAUCAGGUUCUUCUCGAAAAGUCUCUUCUCGCUGUCUUCGUCCGCUUCCUCCUCUUCUUCCCAUAUAAUCCUGGAUUUGCCUUUCUUCACACGUUGUUCUUCAUCACACACCAAACGCUCAAUAAAACUAGGGUUUUGUUUGGUUUCAGUCUCGUAAUCAAUGGGGAUUUGGUUAAGAUCAGGAAGCGACGAAGAAGAAGUAGAAACACCAUUAGGUUUUUGUUGUCUCUUUACCAAAGACGACCUUUUUUUCCUCGGGACAUGAGAUAAGAAUCUCUUCUCGCUAUCGUCUUCUUCAGAGACAGUCUUCUUCUGACUCUUUGAAUCUUCUCUUUUCUCUGCAAGUAGACGACGACGUUGUUCUUCUUCCUCCGCAGCCAUAACCACAGUUUCCGCCAGUAAACACAGCCUCGACCACAUAUCCUUCCCUGAAUCCAUUGUGAUUGAACAAAAAAAACUCAAAAGUUCUUAGAAUGAUGACGUAAGGAUCAAGGAGAUUAGAGUUAUAGAGAGAGGCUAAGCGAGAACGAGAAUUAAAACUGCCUUCUGUUGCCUUAUAUACUUACAUUAGGUUCUAGGUCUUUUUGUUUUUUCCAUUUUUUUUGUGUUUAGUGGUUUGAUUACUGUGAUUAGCAACUAAUUAUUGUGAUUAGCAACUAAUUAUAGCCGUUGUGAUCAAGUUAACAUUGUAAUUAACAUUGUAAUUAUGAAGUAAUAUUGUAAUUAUGAAGUAACUGAGAAGUUUCGUUUCUUUUUUUUUGUAUUUAAUUUUAUUAUUUGAUAUAUAUAUAUAUAUAUAUAUUGUUAACUUGAUUUCAGUUAAAUACAAAAACUGAAGGUAUAUUAUUAAACAAAAUGUGAGAAGAAUUCAAUAUAAUAGUUUUUCUCAUUUUCCUAUACCAUAAACCAAAAGAAGUAAAGAACUCUCUCUCGUUUACCAAUACUCAAAUUCAUCUUUUCCACUACAUAAACACACACAAACACAAGCCUUAUUAUAUAGUUUGAUGUCUUGAUGAUGAUACACUAAAUGAGAGAAUACACAACAUCAUCGUACGUUGGGAAGUCCAAUGGACCGUCCCCAAUCAGUAGCAGAGAAGUCACAAUAACCGCGACGAAGAUUGUGAAAAGCAGAAACGAUUUACACGGGUCAGCGCUGUUUUGUUUCUCUGGUCCAACCGUCACAAUCCCUUCUUGCCUUUCACUUCCGCCGCUACCAAGUUGUAGCACCGGACAAGUGAAAAACCCGUAUACAAUCCCUGCUAUAAGUGCUCCCAGAUUUGUCCUGUCAUGACUUAUUGGUUAGAAGAAAAACACAAUAUCCUUGGUUAACAUGUUAUUGCUUACGUAUAGUCUAUGUUGUAGAUCUUUGGUCGAUUGAAUAAAGUAAGAGUUAAGCAGUUUGAAACCUAUCAAUCUUGUUUAUGAUCCAUUGAUCCUACUACUUAUCAAACCAAAGAUCAUAGGACAAUUCAAAGAACCAUAUGUGCAGAUGGGUGUCAUGAUUCUUUAUAAUGAACUGAACCUAAGAAGAGGCUGCUUACGUAGAAACAACUAGCUGAAGAAAUAAUAAAGAAUGCUGAACAAGAAACAACUAGCUGAAGAAAUAUUGAUGGAUAUUGGAAACUUACCAGUCAUCAAUUGGACCGAAAUGGCUUAAUAUGAGACCAAAUCCUGUCAUUAUAAUGGCCUUCUGAAACAAGUCCUCAUAUUCGUUGCUUUUGAUCAUCUCUUUGUUCUGAUUUUGGUCAACGAGCCAAGCUCCUAUUAACGCAAAUGCUGGUCCCUGCACCCACCCAUAUACACGAAGACGAUUGAGAACAGAAUGUAUGGUGCAGUUUGGUAAUAUCACAUGGGAAAGAUUAGUGAAACUUACAGUUCCUCCAACUGUAGGAUCUGCUGUAUGCAGAAAGCUCAUGAAAUUUCCAGAGACUCCUCCGAGAAUGUAAAUGAGACAAAACGUGAAUAAUCCAUAGUCACGGCAGACUUUUGGUCCAAAAGUAAGCAGAGCCCAGGAGCUAAGGGCUACAUGAGGAAUUCCAGAGUGCUGCAGAUGUAAAAUGGAAGUGUUUCAUUGACGAAAAGGGGAUAUUACAUGAAACCAAGUCAUCAAGAGUGCUAAAUGUGACAUGCAAAAAGAUGCAACGGAAUGAGGAACUAAAGCAAUAUAUACUUAUGAUAUUAACAAUGUUGUUGUCAGGUAUUUAAAAUCUCUAGCUGUUUUGGUCAAGUGUGUUUUUAAAACAGUAAAGAAUGGGAACACAGACCCAAUUUGUUGGUCUUGUACCAGAAACAUGGGUGUGACCAGCCUCCACCAUUCUCCAGCAAGGAUUAGAUCAUUUAUCUUUGCUCCAUAUAACAAAGGGAGUGAUAAGAGUCCCAUAUUGUUGUUCCUAACUGGCGCUGCCGCCUCAAACAAGCAGACACCAACAUUGAUGGAUGCUAAUAUGCUCCUGCAAUUUUAAUGGAGAGAAAUAUAUUUCUAAGCAUCAAUAAGAAGAACAUGUGUGGCAUUGCAUCUAAAACGAACAAGAAGUGAUUAAGAGUUUUUACACAGCAUAGAAGUUCAAUGUAUCUUCUGCUUGAUCUUCAUCAUCAAACUGCUGGAAAGGACUAUUAUUGUUUUCAAUACCAGUCUUUCUCAAUUUGCUUGCUACUGAACCGCCUUCUGAUUUUACCACGUCCAAGGUGGACGAGACUAAACCUUUAGAUUUUGCAUCUGACAAACAGCAAAAUAAGUGAACAUUAACAAGAGGAAAAAGCCAGAAAAAUCAAGCAACAAGACACCAAAAACAAGAAUACCUUUUUGGAGUUUGUCAAGAUAAGCACUCAAAGAAUCCAACUCUUCAUUCACAUUGAGUUCAGCUUUGCGAUCAAUAUCAUCUCCUGUUGAGAUAGAAGGCUUCUCAUCAUCGUUUUGAAGUUUCCCAAAGUAAGAAUCCAACAGUUUAAGUCUCUGUUUGGUAAUCUUGUUCUCUGAUGACGCUCUAACUAAACAUAACCUUCUUCUUGGUGAACGACAAUACGGGAUUGAUUUCAUAUAACUCUUCAUCCUACAAUCCCUGCCAAGCGUGGUUGCUUCAGCCAUUGUUCUAUGUUUCAGACCAGACGAAAAACGUCUUAAACCAUUUGAAUCAAACAAUACUUCUCCUUUACAAGGGACUUCAUGGUGAAGAGGAAACAGUGCCAUCUUCAGGUCCUGUCCAUUUCAGAGAAACAUGUCAUCAUCAAAUCUCAUCAUUCACCACCAAACCCCAAAGAAGAUUAUACAAAAACAUGUGAAUGAUUUUGAUAAAAACACAAACUUUAGAGACGCACUUAACAAGUUAGUCCUAAGAUAAUCAAAGAAGCUAUUUGGGAUUAAACCCAUUUCACAACCGAAAAGAACAAACAGAGAUACGAUUCACGAAAAGCUUUAAAUUAAGUAAUCUCAUUGAGGCAUUUAACCAAACAACAAAAGGGCAUAACGUUUUCAAGAAUCCAAUAACGAAACGAGUAUCAAAAUCACUUCUUUGAAGUGAGACAUUUGUCUUCUUCCUCACCGUUUGCGUGAGACUUUUCAAUUUACGAAGUACAGAGACGAGUAUCAACACAAUUGGGAAGAAGAAUUAGAAUUUGAGAAAGUGAUAAGAUUUUACCUUUGAACGAAGAAACCUGAUCCUAAUCUUGAAGAUUGAAGAUUUGUGGUUGCGAGGAUUAGGAAAAAUUGGAGUUCGAAUAACGAAGCAGUGACUUGUGAAAAUUACGUUUAGGAACAGAACAUAAAGCGACUAAGGAAACAAUAUUUUUUAUUUAAUGGUUCAAAUUUCGUCGUGUUGGAUAUUUUAUUGUUGACAAAACAAAAGAAGAGAUAUUUUAUUCUUGAACAUUACUGACUCACAAGUACAACUCAAGAAUUGACCAUUUUAUUUGCUUUUUCUUUUCUGUUUUUGAUCAAAUUGGUUUGCUUUUUCUAAUUUAAUGUUCUGAUGAAUAUGAAUAGCAUAAAUAUUUUUUUUUGACUAAGGGCUUGACUCGUUUAAACGCAGCGGAUACGGUUGUUGUUGCGAGAGUUUGCUUUAUCCCUGUGAUUUAAUUUAUAAACUUCAAAUCUACCAAUAUUUUAGUAUGCAAAAUGUUAUUGUGCAACAUACAAUAAUAUGAUGGUACGAACCUUUUGGGAAGUGGAUGGAAAAAAUACAGACUAACAAUAAAUUUAGGAUGGUACGAAGUUGUAUGCUCAAUUACAUAUUACUAGUGAAAUUUUUUAAUCUAUAUUAAUGCAUAUUAGUCCGCAAUAGUGAAUGAUGAAUUAAAUACGGACUGAUUCGAUUUCAGUCAGAUUUGCAUCAUACUACACAACUAUUUAUAUUUUAGAUUUGGUUAACCAACUUAUAAAAACUUUAAAUACUACACAACCAUUUGUUUUUUAGAUUUGGUUAACCAACUUAUAAAAACUUAAUUUAUAUAAUCUUGUUGGUUUUUGUUAAUUUUCACAUAGUUGUCCAAUUGUUCCCACACAUCUCAGUAUUGAUAUCCAUCUUCUUAUCUUCGUUAACCACCUACCAAAUGUCACGUGGACGCUCCAUUUCGGUUUCUAUCCGGAUUCGCGGUGGAUUCUCCUCCCACCCCAAUCAUCGGUUCAUUUCAGCAUUUGGUUAUAUCCAAAUUAUUUUAACCGGUUUAUACCGAAACUACUCGAACCAGACAAUCUUUGAUUGGUAGAAAGAGAGCCACGUAGGAUUAUCUCUUCUAAUGGCAAAUUAACCAAAAACGUAACUGAAGAUCAAAAGAGAAAGAGAGAAAAAAGACGAUGAGAGCUCUAACAUGGACGGCAAUGUCGCCGCCGGUGAUGUCACGGACGGCGACUUCUACGGUUAACUUACGACGUAUCAGCCUACGGAGAGAUCGCGUCUGUGUUAGAGCCACGGCUUCGUCUAGCGCCACGGUUUCCGGCGGAGGAGUAGUAGAGGCGGUAGAAUUGGCAGAGAUAGGAGAAAGAAGCAAGAAAUGGAAGUGGAAAGGAGAAUAUUCUGUUAACUACUUUGUCAAAGAUUCGCCGGAGGAAGUUACUCCGGCGAGUCAAACUGUUCUUUUGGUUCAUGGCUUUGGUGCUUCUAUUCCUCACUGGCGAAGGUAUUAAUCAUUCAUCAUUCAUGUUUUAAGAGUAAAUGUAUGAAUCUUGUUGAGAUAGUGUUUUUUUUUAGUUAAGUAUCAAUAAAUUGUUGUAUGUGGAAGAUUUUUAUGUAUAGGCAUUGCUUUUAACAAGAACGAAUGAAACUACUUUUGCAGGAACAUAAAUGCUUUGUCUAAAAACCAUACAGUGUAUGCAAUUGAUCUUCUCGGGUUUGGUGCUUCGGAUAAGCCACCUGGUUUUAGCUAUACCAUGGAGUCAUGGGCUGAGGUAAACAAUCUUUGAAAUACUCUGGCAUGUUUUUGUUGUUUAAAGAAGUGUUUUGGUUUGGUUUGGUUUGAUUUGAUUUAUUUUGGUGUAGUUGAUACUCAACUUCUUGGAGGAAGUGGUUCAGAAACCGACUAUUUUGAUUGGAAACUCUGUUGGAAGCCUUGCUUGUGUCAUCGCUGCCUCAGGUCUAAACCCUUUUCACUAUUUGAGUUUGUUUCUACGUCUAAUGAUAUAAACUUCGAUUACUUGAGCUAAAGAUGUCACAAGUAUAUGAAUCUUAGGUACUAAGUUUCUCAUAUAUUUGGAAAAAAAAACAGAAUCACGAGGAGAUCUGGUCAAAGGUCUUGUUCUAUUGAAUUGUGCUGGUGGUAUGAACAACAAAGCUGUCUUUGAUGACUGGAGAAUCAAGCUACUGAUGCCUUUACUCUUACUUAUCGACUUCUUACUCAAGCAAAGAGGAAUUGCUUCUGCACUCUUCAACCGUGUUAAAGACAGGUAUGUCCUUAUUCACUUUUUCCCUGACUUUGAAACGAUUUAUUCGAGAGCUCUAACGCAUUGACGAAUAUACGAAACGCAGGGAAAAUCUGAAGAACAUCUUGACAAAUGUUUACGGGAACAAGGACAAUGUAGAUGACACCCUUGUAGAGGUAUUGUCAUUAUUACUCACUCUCAAUGACAAAGAACAAUGAAAGUUUUAUUCACUUUUUAUGUGAAAAUGUUAUGUUAGAUCAUUGCUGGACCAGCAAAUACCGAAGGUGCACUAGAUGCUUUUGUUUCAAUCUUAACGGGUCCUCCUGGACCAAAUCCGAUUAAGCUGAUACCGGAAAUAACCAAACCGGUUCUUGUCUUAUGGGGAGAUCAAGAUGGACUAACCCCUCUUGAUGGUCCAGUAGGUAAGUACUUCACUUCCCUUCCGGAUCAGUUACCUAACUUCAACCUCUAUGUUCUACAAGGCGUUGGACAUUGCCCGCAAGAUGAUCGUCCGGAUCUUGUCCAUGAGCGUCUCCUUCCAUGGCUGGCUCAACUUUCUUCCACCUAGUUUCGAUUUGUUUAGCCGUGUACACUUGUUUAUAAAUGUAAAACAAAUCUAUCUAAUUGGAAAAAGACAGAUUCAAAAUGAUAUUUCUUGACACAUUUUGUGGUGUCUGAAUGUAAGUUGUAAAGAAGUCAUGGUGGUAGUAACUUGGUAAAGGAGUUUGUUUUUGGAAUAAACGCAAAUUACAUGGUUUGUAACUGAAUACCAAAUGUCAAAGCCAAAAAUAUACUAAACUAAAAGAUAGGCUUAUUUAGUCAAAGCUCAAUGCUAUUGACUUGGUAGUCAUUUUUGGUAAAAGAAUCGUUACAAAUGUAGAAAGUGACUAGUUAGGUUGAUGAAUGAUUGAUGGUCCUAUACAAUUGAUAAUUUGCUACUUUUGUUGGUAGGCAAGUAAAAGACACUUAAUGAGCUGCUAGAAGCUAUUUUUGGCCACAAAAUCUACAAAUUUGUUUGGUUGUUGAAUCUUUAAAAGGACAUUCAUGCUGCAAUAUCAUCAACAUAGUGAAGAUGAUAAUUUUCAAACUUGAAAUUCAAAAGUGUAUAUAUAUGAAUAUGAUGAUUGAAUAUUGAUUAUCAGUGUGAAUGAAAAACCAUUGUUAUAAAUUUUCAGUUUUCAUCAAAAAAAUGAUGCCAAAGAAGAAGAGUAAACAAAACAAGACAAAAAGAGUUAAAUGGAGUGGUCCAAUAAAAAUAAAAAUAAAGAAGACAAAACAAAUUUGUAUUAAAAUGGUUAGAUGUCGUUGGGUGCCGGGAAGUCUUCGUUGGAGUCUAUUAUUUAAAUGCUUCACCGAUCUCUCAUUACUCUCUAGUCAAUAUCCCAAAAUCCCUAAUUCAUAUCUUUGAAACUGAUAAAGAUAACAAAGAAAUGGCCUCUCAAUUGCUUUUACCUCCAAACCAAUUCACUAAAUCAGUCUCACCUCAAGUUUUCAUUACUGGUAAGUUCACUGUUGAUCUCUUGAUUCUUUUGUCAAAACUUUAUUCUUGAUUUGAUUGCUUCAAAGUUGAAUAUUUGAUGUCUUGUGUGUUUUAUUUUGAUUUGAUUAGGUGAUUGUCAAGGAUUUAGUGACUUAACUCUGAAAAGAAAAUCAAACCAAGCUACAAGAGUUUCAAAUGGAUCUAGCUUAAGAGUAAAAGCAGCUUUGAGAUCUACUCACAACAAAUCAGUGGUUGAGAUUCCAAAACAAUGGUAUAAUCUUGUUGCUGAUCUUUCAGUCAAGCCUCCUCCACCGUUGCAUCCAAAGACUUUCGAACCGAUAAAACCCGAAGAUUUGGCUCAUCUUUUCCCCAAUGAGUUGAUUAAACAAGAAGCUACACAAGAGAGGUUUAUUGAUAUCCCUGAGGAAGUUCUUGAAAUCUAUAAGCUUUGGCGUCCAACUCCUCUAAUCAGGUUCUUGAUUUUUUUAUUUAGUUUUCUUAUUUUGAUUGUUUUUUUGUGUGUUUUCUUUUAUAUUUAUAAUUUAGCCAUAGAUGAUUUAAAGAUAAUAAAAAGGAUUUGUUUCUGUUUUUCAUAAUCAAGAUUUUGAAUAUUAGCUGAAGUGUCAUCAGUCUUAGUAUUAGUUUAGCCAAAUUUCAUAUCAGAUUAUUUAUUUUGCUUUGAUUAUAGAGCAAAGAGAUUAGAGAAGCUUCUUCAAACACCGGCAAGGAUUUACUUCAAGUAUGAAGGUGGUAGCCCAGCUGGUUCACACAAACCAAACACAGCGGUUCCACAAGCUUAUUACAAUGCGAAAGAAGGCGUCAAGAACGUUGUGACGGAAACCGGUGCUGGUCAAUGGGGAAGUUCUUUAGCCUUUGCUUCUAGUCUAUUUGGUCUCGACUGCGAAGUAAGCAUAAAUAUUAGAAUUUUGCUUUGGUAUCUUGAAAAAUGUAAUGUUUUGAUUAUAAGUGACAUUGUUUCUUUUAUACUUUUCAAAACAUUAUAGGUAUGGCAAGUAGCCAACUCUUACCAUACAAAGCCAUAUCGCCGGUUAAUGAUGCAAACUUGGGGUGCAAAGGUUCAUCCGUCGCCAUCGGAUCUCACUGAGGCGGGUAGAAGAAUCCUCGAAUCCGAUCCAUCAAGUCCGGGAAGUUUAGGCAUUGCGAUAUCAGAAGCGGUUGAAGUUGCAGCGAGAAACGAGGAUACAAAAUACUGCCUAGGGAGUGUAUUGAACCAUGUGUUGUUACACCAAACAAUUAUUGGAGAAGAAUGCAUUCAACAAAUGGAGAAUUUUGGUGAAACACCUGACCUGAUCAUAGGGUGUACUGGUGGAGGAUCAAAUUUUGCUGGUUUGAGUUUUCCUUUUAUCCGGGAGAAACUCAAAGGCAAAAUCAACCCUGUUAUAAGAGCGGUUGAGCCAUCUGCUUGUCCUUCCUUGACCAAAGGGGUUUAUGCUUAUGAUUUUGGCGAUACGGCUGGAUUGACUCCUUUGAUGAAGAUGCAUACUUUGGGACAUGACUUCAUUCCUGAUCCUAUCCAUGCCGGUAAUAAAAUAAGCUUUAAACUAACUAUCUUAAACAAAACGCUUCUUGAUUCUCAAUAUUCUGUUUUCUUGAUUUCUUGGAUCUUUGGUUCUUGAUUCUUGAAACCUGAAUCUUUUAUUUUUGGCUUAAUUUUGUUGUAUUAUACGUCUAUGGUUGUUGGCAGGUGGAUUAAGGUACCAUGGGAUGGCACCAUUGAUCUCACAUGUUUAUGAACAAGGAUUCAUGGAAGCAAUUUCAAUUCCUCAAAUUGAGUGUUUCCAAGGUGGUUCUUCGAUCGCUGAAAUUCCUCAAAUCUCAUUUAACUUUUGCAUUUGAUUGUAAUACAAACUUUUCAUGUUUAAUUGUCUUUCAGGUGCUAUUCAGUUUGCAAGAACAGAAGGGAUCAUACCCGCACCAGAACCGACCCACGCCAUUGCUGCAACCAUAAGAGAGGCUCUCCGAUGUAAAGAGACGGGAGAAGCAAAAGUGAUACUAAUGGCGAUGUGUGGACAUGGCCAUUUCGACCUUACUUCUUACGACAAGUAUUUAAAAGGCGAGUUGGUGGAUUUAUCAUUCAGCGAAGAGAAGAUACGAGAGUCUUUGUCCAAGGUUCCUCAUGUUGUUUAAGCUCGAAUGGCCCCAUAACCACGGGAAACCAAUGUCCCAUGUUCCAAACUAGACGUGAGACAGAAGUUAGGUUUAAUCUUGGCUUUUGAAAUGAAGAGUGAGAGAGAGGACAACUUCAAAACAUGAACAAAAUUAUCUCUUGAAAUAAGAAUAAAAAAGGCAUUUACAGAAACACCACAUUUUGGGGUUAGGUCUCUAUUUUUCACUCUAUAUAUGGAGAAAUCUUUGCAAGAUAUGAAGCUCGACGAUAAGUCGAUGAUGAACCUUUAAUUCUUCCAAAACCAUCAACACUUGCUGAAGAAGCAUCAGAACUUAAGUUUUAGAAAACAAAAUUAUAUUACGUGAUAGUACUGUCGAAAGACAUACAACAUAGGAAGACGCAACACGUAGAAGUGAGUUGAAGAUGCGAUGUCAUUAAAACAUGACUUAUAACAUGAGAUUAUCGGAAGACACACACGCCACACAUUAAAAUGAGAAAACACAUGUAGUAGAGUAAAAAAAAGGGUACGAGAUCCUUAAGAAACAAAUUUAAAACCAUUGGGUAGAACAUGGACCCCAAGUUGAUGAAGCAUGUUACUGGAUUUUCCAUGGAACCCAACGAUCUGGUGAUUAUCCUUGUGAAGCACGAAGCUUGGUAAUGUACCGAAUCCAAAGUACGGAGAGUCUUUUUUGUUGGUCUUGAACCUAAGCAUGGUUAUACCUCCGAUUUUAUCAUCAUAAGUACCCUCCACUGAUGUGAUACGUUCAAGAGGAUCCAACUCGAACUGCAAAACAAGAAAAAGAAAUACAUUGAGAAUGAUAAUAAGUUGACCAAGUACUAUAUAUUACGGAAAUUGUAUCAGUGACCUCUUGGUCUUCAGAUAUCGUGGUCUUGUUGCCAUGAUCAUCUCCGAUGACAACACGAGUGCUUUUGUAGUACAUAAACUUGACAAAGCCUACAACAUUUUCGUUUAGUCCAAUGUAGAUCUUUCUUACACUGUUGAAAGUACCACCAUCAUCCCAAGAAGCUCCUCCACACCACCUUGUGCUUUUAGUUUCUCCACAUCAGGAGUAGGAGGAAUCGGGCGAUAAUAUGCUCCAAGAGAAUUAAGAGUAUUCCCAACACUAUUAUAUCCAUGGAACCCAACAAGAGGACUACCAUUCUUCUCCAGCACAAAUUUUCUACUACUAGCUGAUCCAAAUGUUGGAGAGCUUCUCUUUUUUGAUGUUUUGAAUGUCAAUGACGUAAUCCACGUGAUGUUAACACUUUUCGGAGCUGCUAAGGUCCCCUCCACAGACGUGAUAAAUUCAUUUGGAUAAUCAAGCACAAACUGCAAUCACAAAAUGUUUUGUAUAAGCGCCUCAAGAACCCAUAUUUAAAUAUUCAUUGUCGAUGAAUUUUUACGUAAUAAAGUUUAAAGAAUCAUGACCUCCUUCUCAUUUUUAACAUCACGUCGAUACGGUGUCUUUUCCACUUUUCCGCCAUUAUCGUACUCAAACCUGACAGUAUAUAUUUCGUUACCUAUACCAUCGACGAACACCUUUCUAACUCCGUCAUAAUUACAACCAUCAUCCCAAGACAUUCCUCUACAAUCACCUUGGCAUUCCAAUUUGUUAGGAGUGGCCCUACUGAAAUAUGCUCCAAGAGAGUUUAGACUUUUGUCGGCAUAUCCAUGAAACCCAAUGAUCUUAUUUCCAUUGGAUGCAAGUAAAAACUUCCUGCCCUUUUUAUACCCCAUCAUAACAGGAUUGUUGAGGUUAGUUUGGAAAUGAAGCCCUUGAAUGGUUUCAGAAGCAUCAUCGUAGUAACCUUCAACAUAUACUAGAUAUUCGUUCUUUGACUGGUUAAUCUCCAUCUGAAAAUUUGAUAAAGCGUUUACUACAAGAUUUAAUAAUAUAUAUACUCAAAUAAAUGAACCUAUAGUUAUAAUUAAUAGCUACGUACCUUCUGUAAAAAACCAUCACCACCAGAGUCACCAUGGAUUAAUCCAGUUUCUAGUUUUCCAUUCUUGAUAUAGUCAACUUUGAUGUACAGUAUGCCUUCAAAACCACCUAGCACUUGGAUCUUUGAUACAUUGUCAUGGUCGAAUCCAUCCUCCCACUUCUUGCCUCCCAUACCACCUUUCACUUCCAAUCUCGUAGGAGUAAUGGAAGUGAAGUAAGCUCCAAGAGAGUAUAUAUGUACAUUAUCAGAUCCAUGAAACCCAAUGAUCUUCUUUCCUUUGACGGCUAGCGUAAACAUGGUACACUCAUAACUAUACCCCAUCAGUUCAGAGGUCCUGAAAUUGGUUUUGAAUUGAAUUGCUUGCAAACCAUAAGACUUUUUGUUGUAGUAAGCGUCAACAGAUUCAAGAUGUUCAUCUUGUAGAUGGUUUAUCUCAAACUGCAAAAAUAGUGAGAAUAAAAAUACCACAGAGUCAGCAUUAUAUAUCAACAUCACCUCAAAUUAAAUAAGUUAGGGAAUAGAGUAAACCUCUAUUAAUCAAUACUCUAUAAAUUAAUAUACACAAUAAAUUAACAAAUCAUGUUGUACCACUGUGAAUAUUAACAAAACUCGAUAAAAUAAUAAUACUUUUCAAAAAUCUUAUAUAAAAAUAUGGUCCUAAUAACACAUAAAUUAAUAAUCAUAUAUAUAUAUAUAUAUAUAUAUAUAUAUAAAAUAAUAUAUAAUAUAUGGUUUAUGGUAUGUUAAACAUUGAAUUUUUGUUAGGGUUUGUGUAUCAAACAAUUGUUACGUUAUGUUUAUAAUAAUCGUAAUAAAAAGUAGUCAUAAUUUUUUUAUUAGUUUCGAAAUGCUUAAUAUGCAUCAGUUUCAUUUUAAUAGUUUUAUAGACUUUAAAAAUACGAUAGUUGAUAAAUUUAUACAUAUAUAAAUUAUCUAAAUGAAUUCAACUAUAGUCUUUGGGAUUCAUUCUCAAAGGAGUUUUUUGAAAUAUUAAAUUUUCAAAUACAAUACUACACAAAUAUAAGAUAUCAAAAUUAUUAAUUUUAUGUGUAUCCAAUUCUCUCAAUUAACAUUUUUCUUAAAUUUUAAAAAAAAACUUAAAGUAAAUAUCUCUAUAAAUUAAUAUUUAUUAAUAUUUUGGUUCCGAGUCCCGACAUUAUUAAUUUAUAGAGGUUUUACUUAUAUUGAUCUUCUAAGAGAUGAACGUAAAUUUCUAAUAUGGACUUAAAUGGGUGAUUGGUUGGGCUGUAACUCUAGAAUUUUUGCUGUAGAGAUUUUGCUGUAGCUGUGUUGGUUGUAGCUGUAACUGUUAUUGCUGUAAAAUUAUUGCUGUAAGUUUUGAACUUUAAAUAUUUAUAAAAAAUGGAUUAAUAAAUAUAAUAAUUGUAAUAAGAGUUUAUUUUUAUAGUAAAUAAAAUCCCUUGUAUUACUAAUUUAAAUAUAUAUAUUAUGCUGAUAUAAAAAUAAAAAAAAUCCUAUGAAUUCUUAAUAAAAUAAAUCUAAAUUUUACAUAUUCCAUAGAUUAAUUUUGUUAUAUAUUUAUGUUGAUAAUUUAAUUUUUUGUAUUUAUCUAAUGAAUUAAAAUUUCUACAGCCAAGAAAAUAGGGCUUUGAGAAAUUACUCUACUACAGCCUUAAAAAAAAAAUAAAAAAAAUUUGGACUGUAAGUUUAAAAAUAAAGGUAUAACACGAUUGGUUUGUAAUCAACGCUUUAAAAAAAAAUAAGGUUGUAAGUCAGACUUAAAGCCCAACCAAUCAUGCACUAAAUGAGUCUAAAUUAGUAUUGUUCAAUCCGGAGCUGGAAAGGAUCUAGCCCUUGAAUUUUCUAUUAUAUAUAAAAUUCGUAUAAAUGUUAACCAUACAUUUUUUUACCUUUAAGAAUAGUUUACCCUAUUUUAAAAGUAAAUUAAAAGCAAAUAAAAAUAGCAAAAACUAAAACUUUUCUUUUGGGUAUUUGCGAAUAUUAAAAUUUCUAUGUGAUUUUGGCCGCGUAGACAUACCGUUUGUGUGAAACCAUAGUUAAAGAAACCAUGGAUUGAUCCAUCUUUUGGAUUUCCACUCUUCACAUAGUUGAAAUAAAAGGAUCCUAUGCCUUGGGGACCCCCUUUUACGUAUAUCUUUGUUACGUCAUCAUGGUCAGAACCAUCAUCCCACAGACGACGUUCAUCUAACUUGAUUCCUUUCGCUCCCAACUUUAUGAUCAUCUUGAACUAAUAUCAAUCUUCAGCUGGGUAUGAAGGUGUAUUGUUUUUCCUAUUCAGUAAUCUGCAUCAGUACCACAUGCAUGUGUUCCUUAAGUUGGGAAGAACCAACACAAUAUCUAAACUAGAAGGAAGAAAAACCAAUUGAUUAUACUACCAUGGAUUAGUUAACAUAAAGGGAUAUUUAAAUUUCUACAACUUUAAAUAUAUAGCUCAUUACGUUUACAGUGAUAGAUUUGAUAAGAUCUCACUUAAGGUUAAAGUUAAAACAUUAGUGCGAAUAAAGAGUAAGCAUGCUUAUGGGAGAGAGAGAAAAGGGCUGACCUCUGAAGAUGAACAGACUUCCGUAAGUUUAGCGAUGGACUUGUGUUUUUCAUAUAUACAAGUUUUGGUCAUUUUUCAAAAAUGGAUAUUGAUAUUAUUAUAUAUGAGGCUGCUGGUUGCAAGAUUAAAUAUUAAAUUUGUGAAAAUAUAAACUAAUUGUUAAAUAAUUAUUCAAAGACGACCAAAAGUACGUCUUCCACAAACAAACGAUUAUUUAAGACGACCUUGCAUGAUUGCAUCUCAUCGACAGCGUAGACUUUGUUUUUUAUGAUGACAAACCUACUCGUAAAACUUAACAAACAAAAGUAAUAUUUCAACCCGAACAUUUUUCUAUCGACAUAAUAGAAUAGAUUUUUUAGACCUAGACUCCAAUUAAAACAGGGGUCGUUUCUAUAUUAAAAAACAUUUAACUUUUUAUUUUACAAAUUUUUUUUACUAAAAUCAAAAAAGUUAUAUAUUCUAUCUUGUAUAUAUAUAAAAAAAACAUUGCGAUUUUUUUUGUUUUUUACGCUUUAUUGCGAGAAUUUUUCUUAAUAAUUUUAAUUAGAAACAUUAACAAUAUAUUACACAAUAAAAGUUUAAAAAAAAUAAGACUAAAAAGUAUAUUAAAACUUCUAUAGCUUUUUUAAAUAUACGCAAUAACAAUUUUGAUUUUUGCCAACAAAAAUAUAAUUAUUUUUUAUCAUGCAAUUUUAGACCAAAUCAGAGUCAUAUACUCAUAUUUUAUAAAGUAUAUCUCAUGGACCAUUACCUCCUAGUCUUUGUUGAUCGGUUAUGUCAUGGGGCGAGACAAUAAUUUACGCCUGCCGGAUUAAUAAAAUAGAAAUGGAUUAUACAUUGCUUUUUUUUUCCAACUCUUUAUAGUUUAUUACUUUAUUUGUUUAUUAUUAUGUGAGAAAUUGCCAUCGCCAAGAUUGAAAAAUUAAAUGAGCAAUCUUGCAAUUGUUUUUUUUUAUUUUUGUUUUUUUCUAUCAAUCUAACCACUUGUUAUCAGUAUUCUGAAAUGCAGUUGGUUGAUGUGGUCUAAAAAGUAGAAGAUGCUUCCAAAUAUGGAAAAAAACAAUGUUUGGAAUUAUAUUAAAACAGUAACACUAAAUUUUCUAAGUAGAAACGUACGAAAAUUACUUUUUACUGUAUAAAUAGAGCUGUCAAAUGGUCCGUCCAAAGAUCAUUGGGCGUGUCCGUACAGACAGUUUUUUUUAUGGGCCAAGUUGGACGGUCCAUAAUGGACAAUGGUCUGAAAAUGUCCAUGCCCAAUAAAGACCAUGUCCAUAAUGAUCAGCCCAUUUUAUUAUUGUUAUUAUUGAUAAAUCAAAAAUCAUGAUUUUAAAGAAAAAUUCAAAAAUUGUAUUUUUCCGCAAAAAUUGUAAAAAUCGGAGACUUGCAUUUUUCCGACAAAACGGUAAAAUUGUGUUUUUCUUACCAAUACAAUAAAAUCACGAUUUUGGCGGAAAAAUUAUGGAAUUGCGUUUUCCCGCCAAAACCGUAAAAUUAGAGAAUUGCGUUUUUCCGUGAAAACCGUAAAAUUAGAGAAUUGCGUUUUUCCGUCAAAAUUAUAAAAUCGGAGAAUUGUAUUUUUCCCGUCAAAACCGUAAUCGAAAAUUUGCGUAUUCCAAAAAAUUGUGGAAUACUAUUUUUCCUUCAAAACCGUAAAUAAUUUAAUAAGAAAUAAUUUAUUAAAAUUUAAAAUUUUCAUAAAAAUAGAAACUUAUAAUGUAAAAUAUAUAAUUUGAAAAUUAUUUAGUUGUAAUUGUAAUUAAAAUUAUAAAAAUAUGAUUAAAAUGAAGACAUGUCUAUUGACUCAAUUCAUGCCCAUGGGCAGCCCAUUGUUCAUACGGUCAAGCCCAUAUUGUCCAUGGACAAAACUGGUAAUAUGCCCAAUUAGACCAUUUUUUUUUAGUCCGGAAUAUAGGCCGCCCAUAUGCAUUUGGACUGGGCAAGCCCAUGGACGUCCUGCCCAAUUGACAGCUCUAUGUAUAACACGCAUUGCCAAAAUUUCUACAUGUAUGUGUGUAUAUAGAUUUAGCUCAUAAAUGUAAAUUAUGGAACCAAACCGUAAGACGAAUUUGGGACAAUGUGUUUUUGCAUUUUGGGUAAGAAAAUCAACACUUGCUGAGAAGUAUCAGAGCUUAAAUGUUAGGAGAAGAAAAUUAUAUUGUGAUAGUUGAAGAUGUGAUGUCAUUAAAACAUGACUUAUUAAAAGAAAAAGUAAGAGAACGUUAUUAAAUAAAUUUAAAACCGUUGGGUAUAACGUGGACCCCAAGUUGAUGAAGCAUGUUACUGGAUUUUCCAUGGAAUCCAACGAUCUGGUGAUUAUCCUUGUGAAGCAAGAAGUUUGAUGUUGUACCAAAUCCAAAGUAUGGAGAUUUUUGUAAGUUGGUCUCGAACCUAAGCAUGGUUAUACCUCCAGAUGUAUCAUCAUAAGUACCCUCCACUGAUAUGAUAUGUUCAAACGGAUCCAACAAGAACUGCAAAACAAGAAAAAAAAAAUACAUCGAGAAUGAUAAUAAGUUGACCAAGUACGAUAGAAAUCUAGAACUUUAAAUUAUGGAAAUUGAAUCAGUGACCUCUAGGAGAUCAGAUGAAAGGGUCUUGUUGCCAUGAUCAUCUCCGAUGACAACACGAGCGUUUUUGUAGUACAAAAACUUGACAAAGCCUACAACGUUUUUGCCUAGUCCAAUGUAGAUCUUUCUAACACUGUUGAAAGUACCACCAUCAUCCCAAGAAGCUCCUCCAUCACCACCUUGUGCUUCUAGUCUUUUCACAUCAGGAGUAGGAGGAAUCGGGCGAUAAUAUGCUCCAAGAGCUUUAAUAUUAUAACCAGGACCAAUAUAUCCAUGGAACCCAACAAGAGCGCUACCAUUCUUCUCCAGCACAAAUUUUCUACCAGGAGACGAUGAUCCAAAUGUUGGAGAGGUUCUCCCUUUUGAUGUUUUGAAUGUCAGUGAGAGAAUCCACGUAAUGUCAAAAUUAGUCGGAGUUGCUAAGGUCCCCUCCACAGACGUGAUAAACUCAUUUGGAUAGUCAAGCACAAACUGCAAUCAGAAAACAACUUCGUAUAAGCGCCUAAAGAACCAAUAUAUAGUAUCAAUGAAAUUUUACGUUACUAGAUUUAAAGAAUCAUGACCUCCUUCUCAUUUGUAACAUCACGCCGGUACGGAGUCUUUUCCACUUUUCCGCCAUUAUCGUACUCAAACCUGACACUAUCUAUAUCACUUAUACUAUCGACAUACACCUUUUUUACGCCGUCAUAAUUACAACCAUCAUCCCAAGGCAGUCCUUUACGAUCACCUUGGCAUUCCAGUUUAUUAGGAGUGGUCGUACUGAAAUAUGCUCCAAGAGAGUUUAGGCUUUUGUCGGCAUAUCCAUGAAACCCAAUGAUCUUAUUUCCAUUGGAUGCAAGUAAAAACUUCCUGCCCUUUUUAUACCCCAUCAUAACAGGAUUGUUGAGGUUAGUUUGGAAAUGAAGCCCUUGAAUGGUUUCAGAAGCAUCAUCGUAGUAACCUUCAACAUAUACUAGAUAUUCGUUCUUUGACUGGUUAAUCUCCAUCUAAAAAUUUGAUUAAACGUUUACUACAAGAUUUAAUAAUAUACUCAAAUAAAUGAACCUAUAGUUAUAAUUAAUAGCUACAUACCUUCUGUAAAAAACCAUCACCACCAGAGUGACCAUGGACUAAUCCAGUUUCUAGUUUUCCAUUCUUGAUAUAGUCAACUUUGAUGUACAGUAUGCCUUCAAAACCACCUAGUACCUCGAUCUUUGAUACAUUUUCAUGGUCAAAUCCAUCGUCCCACUUCUUGCUUCCCUUACUACCUUUCACUUCCAAUCUCGUAGGAGCAAUGGAAAUGAAGUAAGCUCCAAGAGAUAAUAUAUGUACAUAAUUAGAUCCAUGAAAUCCAAUGAUCUUCUUUCCUUGGACGGCUAGCGUAAACAUAGUACACUCAUAACUAUACCCCAUCAGUUCAGAAGUCCUGAAGUUAGUUUUGAAUUGAAUUGCUUGCAUACCGUAGGACUUUUUGUCGUAGUAAGCGUCAACAGAUUCAAGAUAUUCACCUCGUAGAUGGUUAAUCUCAAACUGCAUAAUUAGUGAAAAUACAAAUACCACAAAGUCAGCAUUAUAUAUCAACUUCACCUCAAUAUAAAAUGAGUUAAGGAAUAUGUUGAUUUUCUAGACGAUGAACGAGAAUUGCUAAUUAUAGACUUUAAAAGAACUUAGAGUAAACUUUUACUACUUACAUUUUACCGUUAAAGGAUAAUUUUCCCUUUUAAAAAUGAAUUAAAAAGCAAAUAGAAAAUUAAAAAAAAAAAAACUAAAUUAAUCGGCAGCCUUAUCAGAUCUACAUCAAAAUAACAUUGACUUUUCUUUUGACGGAUAUUGCCAAUAUAAUAUCAAAAUGUUUAUGUGAUUUGGCCUUGUAGACGCAUAGGUAGCCGCCGAUUUUUAGAAUACCGUAUAUGUUCCAGAACAUACCGUUUGUGUGAAACCAGAGUCAAAGUAACCAUGGAUUGAUCCAUCUUUGGGUUUUCCAUUCUUCACAUAGUUGAAAUAAAUGGAUCUUAUUCCUUCACGACCACCUCGUACGUAUAUCUUUGUUACAUCAUCAUGUUCAGAUCCAUCAUCCCACUCCCGCUGAUUACGUUCAUCUGACUUGAUUCCUUUCGCUCCCAACUUUUGGAUCAUCUUGAACUGAUGUUAUCAAUAUUCAGCUGGAUAUGAAGUGGUUCUUGUGUUUCCUAGUACAAUAAUCUGCAUCAAUAUCCACAUGUGUUCCUUAAUUAAAUUGGGAAUAUUAAAAAAACAAAACAUAUUGUCAAGCGAAGAACCAACACAAUAUUUAAGAUCACCAAUUGCAGAAACGGAACUACUGUAAGAGGAUAUCUAAAACUAUGCUCAUUACGUUCACAUAAAUAAUAGAUUUCGAUAAGAUCUUAUUUAAGGUUAAAACAUUGGUGCGAAUAAGAAGUAAGCAUGCUUAUGAGGGAAAGAGAAAAGAGCUGACCUCUGAAGAUGAACAGACUGCUAUGCUGAUCAGUAAGUUUAGCGAUGGACUUGGCUUUUUUCAUAUAUACAAGUUUUGGCCAUUUUUCUAAAAUGUAUAUUUAUAUUGUUAUAUAUGAGGCUGCUGGUUGCAAGAUUAAAUAUUAAAUUUGUGAAAAUAUAAACUAGUUGUGAAAUAAUUAUUCAAAGACUACCUAAAGUACGUCUUCCACAAACAAACGAUUAUUUUAAAACGACCUUGCAUGAUUGCAUCUCAUCGACAGCGUAGAUUUUGUUUUUUAUGAUAUGACAAACCUACUCGUAAAACUUGUAGGUGGACUUCAGUUUCGAGCAUUUAUUGUUUGGCAUUAUUUUUAGAAACAUAAAACCAACUUCAACGUGACAUGUGAUCAAAUGUGCUCUUGGUCAUCGAAUCUCAAUCCAACAUGUGUGUUUUGUCAAGUUCCAUUUGAGACAAGGGAUCAUUUGUUUUUCAGCUGCACAUUCUCGGCUCAAAUCUGGGAACAUCUUGCCAAGCGAAUUCUCAUGCAAGAUUUUACUUUGGAUUACUCUGCUUUGCUAAGUAUUGUCUCCACUUCUCAGUUCUCGAAGACGCAUCAAUUCAUUUUACGCUACGUAUAUUUAAAGCGACAGUCCAUUCAAUUUGGACGGAAAGAAAUCGAAGAAGACAUGGUGAGCUUCCCAUCUCUGCAUCGGUAAUAAUUCAAGUGAUUGACCGGACAGUUCGGAAUCGGCUUCUAUAUAUAUCUUCAAAUGGGUUCAACCUCCAUGAGAGAUGGACUGCAACUCUGGUUUGCAACCAAACCGUAAAGCUUCAGCAUUGGUCAUUCAUUCAAAAAAAGAAAAAAAAAAUCUGCACGUCCAAUCCUACUGGUUAACCAGUGUUACAGAUAUUUAUCGGGUUUGAGUUUACUGUUAAUAUCCGACAAUUUAAAAAGCGCAAAAAUCCACAAAAAUUUGGCACUAACUUGUGAUCUGGUAAACUGGUCGGGUAUUCGUUUAAAAAUAUAUAUAUUUGAUUUUGGACAAAAAGAUAGAGUUUUAGUGUAUUCACUGUUCAUUAUUGAAUUAUUUCAAAACUUUUUUAAGUUCUUCGUAUUCACUAUCCUACUAUCUUAGUAUUUUUUUACCGUGUUUUAGUUAGAUUUAUAAAUUUUAAUCACUUUCUUAUUAUUGUUAGACUUUAUAUUUUGUUAAACAUGAUCUGAUUAUUUUUAUUAUUAAUAAAACUCAAACAUAUCUUUUCUCGCGAUUUCAUGAAGAAAAAUAUUUUAAAUUUGUUUAUACAAUAUUUCUCAAACAAUAAAUCAAACUCAAAAUGAUGAAUAUUAUAAAUUGUUGUUGUUAUUUUAGAAAAAUAAAUUUUAAUGAAAAAACCCUCAAGUUUAGACUUAUCCAUUUUAAAACUCUCAACUUAUUUUUAAAUAGAAAAACCCAGUGGUCAGUGUUUUCACACUCGGUCCGACCGGUUGAACCGUGACCCAAACAUUUUUCUGAUUUAGGUUUAGUGCUAAAACCCGACAAGUUCAAAAUCAAAAAAACCCACAAAAACUCACUAUUAACCUAUGAUCCGGUGAACCGGUCGGGUGUGGGUUUUAAAAUAUUCUCUUUAUUUUGGAAUAUAAUAUGAGAUUUUAGACUUUAUUCAAUCAUUUUUAGAAAUCUUUUCAGUUCGUAAACUCAUUUUAUGGUUUACAUUUUGACGAAGACUUUACAAUGCCGCCUUAAAAAUGAAACGAAUGGUGAGUGAGACACCCGAUAUUAGUUGUGUAAAUUCACGAUGUUUUACUAGUUUAUUUCCGUCAUUGGUGAUCUACUACUAUAUUUGUUAUGGUAUUAGACGUUUAGUUGGAUUUAAAAAAUUUAAUCACUUUAUUAUUAUUGUUUGAUUAUAUAUAUAUAUAUUAUUUAUUUUUUUUAUUAUUAUUUUUUGGUAUAAAUGAUUUUAUAUUUUAUUAAACAUAAUCUGAUUUUAUAUUUUAUAAACAUGAUUAUUUUUAUUUUUUAAUUUAUAAGAACUCUAAAAUCUUAUUAAUAUUAAAUUUAUUAAAUAAAUUUUAAUUAAUUGACUUAUGGUCCAACCUGGUUAACCCGAUGACCCAAUAAUCGAGAAGGUAGUCGGGUUCACUGUCCGGGUCGGGUUUAAUCUUGGACCAUCAAUCAUCUUUAAAAAAACAAUUGUCAGAAGAUUGAAUAUUUGGUAAACAAAGUAUAUAGAGUUCAGAAGAUAUAAACAAUUAAAUUGACACAAAUAUUUGUAAAAUAUUUAAUUUUUAGAAAGAAAUAAUUGUGAUAAGGAAAAUACAAAUAAAUAUGGAGAAAAGACACUUUGUAAGAAGACAUAACUGCAAAGAUAUUUUAAUUAAAAAAAUUAAAAUAUUUAACGAAUAGUAACGAUGAAAAAUGCAAUUAUAAACGAGGAAAACGAUAGGGAAAACUCUCUGAUUCACAUUAGGGCAAACAUGCCUCAUAUAUAUAUAUCCAUACAUGAGACCGUCACAUGAAACCCAACUUAAGCCCAUCUAUAGAUACGUAAGCCCAUAUUCUAUAUCCAAACUAAGCAUGUGCAUUUGCUUGAAGUCUAAUCUUGAACACUUUAAUCAUCUUUGAAACUCAGUGUGUCCUCCCACACUACUUCAAAACCUUAAUAGCCAUGAUAUGAGCCAAUCACCUCGUGUCAAGUAUAUAUGCAAGUUUAAUUCAUCCAUAAAACAUAGAAUAUAUGCUUUGAGAUAAAAUCCUAUUUAGCAAGGAUCUAGGCACUUAGAUUCUUUCCAAAACAUAUCAACAUCUCUGCUACACCAAUUUUUUUGUGAGUUAAUCUCAGUGACCUACGAAUGAGUGAAAACUCUACUUCACAAGAUAUUCAAUAGCGAUAAGAUCGUACAAGAUACAAACUCGAACAUUCACAUUACUUAACAUCAAUAGGAAAAGAAAAAAAAUAUGACCAAAAAAAGAAAACCAAUUGGAACCUAAGCUAAACCGAGUAUCUAUGGUCAUAAGACACUAUCACUAAUUACAGGAUUCCACUAAAUUACUCGUAUGCGAACUACGCAUGUGCAUUUAAUUUGCUUGCAGCCUAAUCUUGAACAUUUUAAUCUUCUUUUUAACUCAAGAGUGUUGUUCUCCCACACUACUUUAAAACCUUAAUAACCGUGUACACGUCGGUAAUUAGUCAAGUAAAACACUCCAAUAUCCAAUAAUUAAAAAGAGCAAAUUUAGGGAACAAACAUGCGCACAAACUUUCAAACAUCAACCAUGAUUAGAGUGCACAUGUACACCAUAGACAUUUUUCCUUGUUAAUUUACUAAAUUACCAUAAACACUUUUUUCUCUCUUUUAUUAUUCCUUUUCCACCCAUACCCACUUUUUAACUUUCCAUUUUUAAAUCAUUCCUCGUGAAAAUAGUAAAACUCCUUUAUGCAAUAAAGUUUUCUUGAAUUUUACAACGUACAAAAAAAAAAAAACCGCGUGGCAUUUUAUGUGGUUAUGAUGUGAGAAUAAUUUGUGAAAACGAAACUCAAGUCAAUGAAUAAAAAGACGAAACAAUGCUAUGAUAAGAAAAGAAACAACACUCGAAAAAGUUCUUCUUUUUCUUCCGCACAUGUCUGACUCUCUCAUAAGCGUAAAUCGCUCUGUCAAAUAUCUCUGACCAGAGAGACAGAGUUGCCUCCACGUUUCUUCAGACAAGACUCACGCUCUUCCCUUUCACCACAUUCCCUUCUCCAUUUCUCAAUCUCACUUACCUUCUCGAUUCUUGCUCCAAUUUCGAAUCUUCCGAGUGAAAAAAGCUUCAAAGUUUGGAACUUUCUAGUGUUUAUUAAUCUGGGUCUGCUCUGAGUUUCGUGUGUAGCUGCAUAUGAGCUUAAAGCUCGAGUUUUUCCAUCUGGGUUUGGAAUUCUAGGGCUAGUGAUUGGAGAUUUUGGGAAUUUAGGUUGAUUUUAGUAGGUUUGACUUCAGGUUGCGUAAUUUAGGUUGAUUUUGAUCCGAUUUGUGGAAUUAGGGUUUGUUUGUUCACAAAGCUUCAAUUUUUGGAGUUUAAAUGGAUCGAUAACGACUGUGUUAGAAGAAAGUUUGCUGCUUCAGAUUCGUAUUCGAUAUAGAAAUGAGUUUGGUUCCUCCUUUACCGAUUUUAUCACCACCGUCGUCAAAUUCUUCAACAACUGCACCUCCUCCGUUACAGACUCAGCCCACCACUCCAUCUGCUCCACCUCCGGUUACACCACCUCCUUCUCCGCCGCAAUCUCCGCCGCCGGUUGUAUCAUCAUCACCACCACCACCGGUUGUUUCGUCACCUCCACCGUCUUCUUCUCCACCACCGUCACCUCCUGUCAUCACUUCACCUCCUCCCACCGUUGCUUCUUCCCCUCCACCUCCUGUGGUGAUUGCUUCCCCUCCUCCCUCAACUCCGGCGACAACACCACCAGCUCCUCCGCAAACUGUCUCACCUCCACCGCCUCCUGAUGCUUCUCCAUCACCUCCCGCACCAACAACAACAAAUCCUCCUCCUAAACCUUCUCCUUCACCGCCGGGAGAAACACCUUCACCACCGGGAGAAACACCUUCACCGCCUAAACCUUCUCCGUCAACUCCAACUCCAACAACAACCACAUCUCCUCCUCCUCCUCCAGCUACCUCUGCUUCUCCUCCGUCUUCAAAUCCUACUGAUCCUUCUACGUUAGCUCCUCCUCCAACUCCAUUACCUGUUGUUCCCAGAGAGAAACCAAUUGCUAAACCAACUGGACCAGCUUCAAACAAUGGAAACAACACUUUGCCGUCUAGUUCACCAGGUAAAAGCGAAGUUGGUACUGGAGGUAUUGUAGCUAUCGGAGUGAUUGUGGGAUUGGUUUUUCUUAGCCUUUUUGUGAUGGGUGUGUGGUUCACUCGGAAACGAAAGCGAAAGGACCCUGGAACCUUUGUUGGAUACACAAUGCCUCCUUCCGCUUAUUCAUCUCCUCAAGGCUCAGGUAAUAUAACAUAGAAGAAUACAUCUCAGGUUCUGUAAAGGCAUUUUGUAGUUGGAUAAUCUAAGAUCCUUUUGCAUUUAGGGUGCGGUUAGAAACCCUAGUUGGUUUGUUCAUUAACGGUUCGAGAACUGUUGAAAGAACUGUGUACUGAGUAGUAUGGUUAGUUUUAGUAACUUAAUGAGCAUGGAACACUCACUAAGUUUUGGAUAAUGUGUAUUGUUAAUGUCUUGAUCAAUCUGCAUUUGGUUCUGCCAGUGUGGUUUCUGUGUCUUCUCUUUACAGUAUAUAUUGAGUGUUGUGAGUAGUAUGAUUAGUUUCAGAAGCUUAAGAAGCAUGACACUCUCGCUGAGUUUUGACUGCUUGAUUUUGCUUAAUGUCUUGAUCAAUCUGAUCAUCCCCUUUUAAUGUAGUUAGCUUCUGACUAUGUGUUUCUCUGUGUUGUCGGUACAAUGCUGUGGUUAUACUUUCAGUCUAGGAUAUGAGACCAAAUAUGUAACUAGAGAAGCAGCUAUUUUUGAUACGUGCGACAAAUAAAAAAGGAAAAGAAUAAUCUUUUAGUUCUGAUCAAAUGUAUAGAUUGUCUCCGUGGUAAUCAUCAAUGCAUGAACCAACACAUUCUUACUUGUUUGUUUACCCAGUAUUGAGUUGUUUAUUAACAGAAAACUCGUGUUGACAGAUGUAGUGCUCUUCAACUCGCGUUCUUCAGCUCCUCCUAAAAUGAGAAGCCAUUCUGGUAGCGAUUACAUGUAUGCGUCAUCUGAUUCAGGCAUGGUUAGCAACCAAAGAUCAUGGUUUUCAUAUGAUGAGUUAUCUCAAGUUACCAGUGGGUUCUCCGAGAAGAAUCUUCUCGGUGAAGGAGGGUUUGGCUGUGUAUACAAAGGCGUUCUUUCUGACGGAAGGGAAGUGGCAGUUAAACAGUUAAAGAUUGGUGGAAGCCAAGGGGAGAGAGAGUUCAAAGCAGAAGUUGAAAUCAUUUCUCGGGUUCAUCACCGCCAUUUGGUUACACUAGUUGGUUAUUGCAUCUCAGAGCAACAUAGGUUGCUUGUAUAUGAUUAUGUACCUAACAACACUCUCCAUUAUCAUCUCCAUGGUACCAAAUGCCUCAUCUUCUUAAACCAUAAACUUAUCCUUUUAUAACUACAUAAACUUCAAUGCAUGUGUAUGCGCAGCUCCAGGAAGACCAGUUAUGACUUGGGAAACUCGGGUAAGGGUCGCUGCUGGUGCAGCUCGUGGAAUCGCCUACUUACAUGAAGACUGUAAGUUACUGAUGCUUUUUUGUUUUUCCAUGAUAUUUAGUUUUCAUAAUUUUGUUACCUUCUAAUGCUCUGCUUUUUUUUUUUGCGUUGGCAGGUCAUCCCCGCAUUAUUCACCGUGACAUAAAAUCUUCCAACAUACUUCUUGAUAACAGCUUUGAAGCCUUGGUAACAUCAUAUGAGCUUUAUUCUAGUCAUUAAACGGUCUUUCUUUCACAACGCUGACCUCUUAAGCAAGUUUUUUGUCACAGGUUGCGGAUUUUGGACUUGCAAAAAUUGCACAAGAACUGGAUUUAAACACACACGUCUCAACGCGCGUAAUGGGAACCUUUGGGUGUGUGUGUAUGCACUAUUUAUUAGAACGUUCUUUGUGUGAAAAUCAACUACUCACAGAAGAACUAACCGAUAUUAACUGUCAAAUUCUCUUAGGUACAUGGCUCCUGAAUAUGCAACAAGUGGAAAGCUGUCUGAAAAAGCAGAUGUUUAUUCGUAUGGGGUAAUACUGUUGGAGCUUAUAACUGGCCGUAAACCCGUAGAUACGUCUCAACCACUUGGUGAUGAGAGCCUUGUUGAAUGGGUAAGUGCAGCUCUAGUUUUACCAUAUUUCUUGAACUUCCAUGAUUCAACAAGUGUCUUCUAACCCCCUUUGGUUACAUAACUUUUAUUAGGCAAGACCCUUGCUGGGUCAAGCAAUCGAGAACGAAGAAUUCGACGAGCUAGUAGAUCCGAGGCUAGGGAAAAACUUCAUCCCAGGAGAGAUGUUCAGAAUGGUAGAAGCUGCGGCUGCAUGUGUCCGCCACUCAGCUGCAAAAAGACCAAAGAUGAGUCAAGUGGUGAGAGCUUUGGACACACUUGAAGAAGCAACGGACAUAACCAACGGAAUGAGACCAGGACAGAGCCAAGUGUUUGACUCGAGACAACAAUCUGCUCAGAUAAGGAUGUUUCAAAGAAUGGCUUUUGGGAGUCAAGAUUAUAGUUCUGACUUCUUUGAUCGCUCACAGUCACAUAGUAGCUGGGGCAGUCGUGACCAGUCCAGAUUUGUACCUUAGUAGUUUUUAUUGCCUUUGCUUCUUUCUUCUUUCCCUUUAAACAUGUCCUCGAUCUUGUAUAUUCUUUUGCAUGAUAUAAUGUAUUUUUGAAAUAUACAUACAUACACACAUAAAAUUUGGUAGUCUUUUGAAGAAAAAGAAUAACAGAUGUAUUUGAUAGAUAGUGGUCCUUGCUUUAUCUAAUGAUUGCUGAACCGGGUUAACAAAUUGAGUCUUGGUUUCUCUUGUUUACUUGCUUAAUCGUUUCUUUGUACUGAGUUCUUAAUCGGAUUUGUGAGCUGUGAGUUGCGAAUCAAAGCUUAGUGAGGUCUAUCGAAGAUAGGAUUUACAACAUCUCUUCUUCGUAAUCGCCCUUAAAUCCUGUUUGCUUUCUGGCAAUGAGCUAGCUUAACCCUGAUUGCGACAGGCUUAAUACAGUCAUGUUGGAUCUCCUAUUCGUUCUGCUACCAGGAAGAGAAAGAAAGACUGAUUGCGACAGCUCAACCGGAUGAGACAUCUCUUAUUUACAAAUGAAGUAGAAGAACCCAGAUUCCAAAUGAACAAAUUCAAACUUGAAAAAGUAAAUAGUUACACAAUAAACAACAUUUUCUUGUUUCUUGCUUUCCAAGAGGACAAGUUUUGUCUAGUAGACAAAAUUAAGUAAACAAACCUCAUUGAGAUAUUUAGAUCAAACAGAUCAUCAACUCUGGAUUUGCCGUGAGUUUCAAAAAGCCACUCCAAAAUAACAAUGAUGUAUCUUGAUUGAAGCAUAUACUGAUCAAGUUGAUUUUCAGCUCAAUCUUCAAAAACAAUUGAAGAAUGAAAGUGAAAUCGAGCUAUCUAAAUUCAUUUAUGAAAUGAAGUAAAAAAGAGAGUUUCACAUACAAAACAAAACAUCUAAUGCUAAAGUCUCUCGAUAUAAUCCAAGUCCUAAGCGAAUACGAGUGGGCAUGUGCUUGAAGCUCGGGGAGAAAGUCUCAACACCUUGAUCAUCUCAAGUUUUGGAACAACAGUAUCAACCAAGAAUGUUGCCUUCUUUAAGUGACAAGCGUUUUUCAAAAUGUAAACAGCAAUAUCUCUAUCUCGUGGCCUAAGUAUAGUGACCAUUUGAAAAUUUGUAGGCUCGACAACAAGCAUCAAGGAACAUAAGUCAGUUGAUUCCACUUCCAGCAAACAAUACCAUAUACGCUUAUCAUCCCCAUGAUUCUAAGACCAAUCAGAAUAAUAAGACUAAAAGUAAUAAGAAAUAGGAGUACCAAAAUAUAUAUAUAUAUAUAUAUAUAUAUCCGAGAAAGAAAAACAAAAUAAGAAUAAUCGAAGAUGAACAAGCAAAACAAGCUACUCUCGCUCUAGUUUUAGCUAUAGAUGCAUUGCACAUAGCAGUGUCAAUGAACAAAAAAUACUCACGCCCUAGCCAUUCAUUGAGUACAUAGUUUUUGUCUAUGUUAAAAACAUACGGGAAUCAAAGGAAAAUAAAUAUUUGGUAUACAAACGAAAACAUCUAAUAAUGAUUCAAGUCUCUCAAUGUGAUCCAAGUCUGCAGCGAAUACUUAGUUGGCAUGUGCUUGAAGCUCUGGAAGAGUGUCAACUCCUUUCUGAUCCAAGUCCGCAGCGAAUACUUAGUUGGCAUGUGCUUGAAGCUCUGGGAGAAAGUGUCAGCUCCUUAAGGUUUGGAACAAGAUGUUCGGGUUCAUCAGCCAGGAUUGUUGCCGUCUUUAAGUGACAAGCGUUCUUCAAGAUGUAAACAACAAAAUCUAGAUCUUGCUGUUUUCCAAAGUAAUGUGACAAGUUGAAUAUUUGUAGACUCUCCAGCAAGCAUUCGGGUACAGAAAUCGGUUGAUUCCAACAAUCCACACCAGUAGAAAGAGUCACAUGACCCUAAGACCAAGCAGAAGAAUAAGAUUAAAACCAAACAGAGUAACAAGAAAUAGUUUAUGAAUGAAACAUACUUGCACUUUAAAGAUAUUCAAUACUCGCAAGUUAGGAGAAUCCUUGAGCAACUGGCCAAGGAUUUUCGACUUUUCUGGCAUGCAAACACAUAGGUUCAGAUGUUCGAGCUGGUUGAAAACAAAGCCAUCAUCAUACGAAUCCUGUCCACAAAAUAUUAAAAUCAAUAACAAAGGAUUCCAUAAUUGAGAUUGACAAGUUUCAGUUGAUAAAUGGAAACUAGUUACCUCUGAACAUAUGGUUAAGACGCUUGACAGAUGUGAUUGAUCCAAUAAGACUCUUGAGAUCAUCUAAUUGAACAUCGACAUACGCUUCCCUCAGCUUAGGCAUUUUCUUAAGUAAACAGUAGUGUUCCUCUUCAUGCACGUCUUCAAGUUUCAAAUACUUUAAAGGAGUAUCUAUCACAUACCCAUCAAAAACCUCACAAUUUUCUAUAAAGAGAGUUAAACUCUGCAGAGAUGGGACGAUAAUAGUGAACUCUUUAACAUCUUGAUGCACAGAACAUAUCACCGAUAGAUCAUCAAGAACAGGACAAAUAGAUAGAAUGUCCUGAAGAGAUUUUCCUUCUACAAAUGUCACACUGUCAAGUUGCAAAGUUUUCAGAGAGGGAAAAGAAACAGUAGAGGGAACAUCAAUGAGAACCACGUUGUCGAGUUUCAAGGUGACGUACAUGGAAAUAUGUUUUCAUCCCAACAUUCAUAAGAAAUUUCCAGCACACGUACAUGGCGAGAAACUGCAAUUUCAAUCCACCGUUCGAUAUAUUCAGGUUCAAUAUGUGUG